UUUUUUUUUUUUUGGGGGUUUGAGAAUGGCUGGCUUUAAUUUUAAGAGUAGCAUUGUGCAACCCAUAAAAAAGAAAGUCAAAGAAACAUAGCACAGGAAGAGGAGCCACAGCAAAUAAAAGGAUUGUGAUGUGACAACAAUUCAAGUAAUUUCCUUGGUGUUUAUAUUAUCGAUAUACAAAGAGUGUUCCAUUCUUAAGAAGCACAGCAGGUCAUAGUUAGCAUAACUUGUUCAUUUCAGCCUUUGAACUGCUAGCAUGGCUUGAGUUUCCUCAUUCCACAUGUGAAAAACCCCCACCUUCAGCCUUUGUCCUGCAAACAAGCACACAAUUGACAAACAACAAAACCACAUACAUCAGUUCUUUUCUCCACUGGUAAAUAGUCUCAAAUUCUUUCGACAAGACAUGAAACUCUACAUUUUUUUUACUGAUAAACCCACAAAAAGUAACCCACAUUUCUUUGAAAAAGACCAAAUUUUCCGUUCCUCAAGGAUAACGAAAGCUUACUUGUGAUCGGAAGGAUUUGGCCUGAGUUCAUAAACAAUUGUUGCAACAACAUCCCUCUUCAACUGUUCAUCAAAGAAAAGAAAAUGAUGUAUUAGUUAUUUGCACAAUUAACGCAACAGAAUAUGCUCAUAUGGAAUGAAAUUACCUGAGUAGCCUCGCCUUUAAAGCCAAUGUACUCUAUCUUAGUUGUAUCACCACCAAAACUAUCAGGAAAAUGCAAUGUGAUGCUGGCCACGUUUUGAAACUUGGAAUACCUAAUUAUACGGAGAAAUGUUACAUUAGAGGGAUAACAGAUGGUAAAAUAAAAAUCAAACAAAACAAAAAACAACAAAAGAACUCAUUUCAGUGGCAAUUCAAAGUAAUUUACCGUCACUGUUCAAUUUGAAAAAGAAUAAGGUUUCUUUCAUUGUGCUCAAGUUUUAUAGUUUUCAUGUUCUAGAAAAUUAAACAACAUGGUUUUUGAAGUAGUAGUACUCCAAAAGGCAGUGAAUAAAUACCUUGUCUGGUACUCCAACACUCCUUGAAAAUUUUCGACCAAAUCCCACUCCUUAAAACAAUAAGAACACAUGUUUCAAGGCUGAAACGUUGAAUUUUUUCAAUUAACUCUUGAACAAGCUAAUAUGAAAGCAAUACCUGAAUGGCUUGCAUUCCUUGAACAUCUGAAAAGUCAAUGCCAUCUCGGUUGAUGAACCUAAUUAAGCAAUGCAGUCAUGUUUUUAGUUUUUUCAAAUAUAAAAAAUGUGAUCGAUAUUGAACAUCUGUCAAAGACUGAUUUGAUAUUUAUUUUGUCAGAAUCAUAUAGAACAAGACUCGUGAUCAGUACUAUUAAAGUUUGAACUUACACCCUCAUCUUGCUAGGACUUGUUCCGUCAGCACCGCCAAUAAUUGAUAUGCUCUUGAUCUUGACAUCUGAUGUAAAUCUAUCACAAAUAAAUGAAAAAAAUAUAGCUCAAUCAGAAUGUAAAGAAACAACAUCAAAGAUGACUUCAUCUAAUAAGUUGGUGUCAGAAUGGUAUGCUUUAAGAAAACUUAUCAAGAUGCCGACCAAAUGUUUGAACAAUAAAUACAACUAUAUUAAGCAUCAGAUAUAGGAGAUGAGCACAAGACAAAAGGAUAAUUAUAAAUGACACACAAAUUAACAGUUGUGUUUUGCUUUAGGUGUACCUGGAGAUGCUACUAAGGUUGAAUCCCUUACUCAAAACUCAUACAAACCCAACUAUGGAGAUCUAACAAAAUCAGACACAUAUUAUCAUUGUAAUUGAAUGAAAAGAUGGAAAAAUGUGUAAAAGUACUCAACCAAUGGAUCUACCUGAUCCCAUGCAUUUCGUAAUUAUGCAGUCUAUAACUCAUUUCAUGAAGAUAUCACAUAAAACAACAAGACGGGACACUCACGGAAUGUAAACAAGUAACUCGGGAUCACCCUCAUUGCUCUCCAAGUGUUCCUGUUGCAGAAAGUAGAAUCAAAAUGAGGCUUCAUAUGCCUAGUAAUUGAACAUAAAUUACAACCAAAAUAUAAGGUAAACCUGAACUAAAUCUCAAUCAAUGAUUCCUACAAAUUUUCGUAAAUGUCAUUCUGAGCUUUCAAGUAGAUUAACUUAUGAAGUUUGGAUCAUUACUUUUAACAAGGACGUAUAGAGAAGUAAAUAGAUAGCUCAUUACCCCAGUAGAAUUCAGCCGUUGCUCCCAAGCUUUAAAAACCGACUUGACACUUCCUGGAACCGCCUCAUUCAAAGCCGAAACCUAAAAACAGAAUAAGACAUUCUCUCAAGGAGAACACGUCAUCAUGUCAAUCAGCAAGAGGAAGCUCCAACGAAAUAUUAAUUUACAAAAUAACAAAGUGUGAAAAUAUUGCAAAGUAUAAAUCACCCCACAUCAACAAUCAUCAAUUACCAGUCAUAUAGCCACCCACAACCAAACUGCCCAAACCACAACACACAAGCACCCGUCUCCCAAAAAAAAAAAAAAAAAAGUUUCUAAACAUUUCUGGAAACUAGCAAUAACAGCAUCUGCAUGGAGUAUCAUUAACAAAGCUUCAUAUCCAACUAUUUUCAUUUACAACCAAGAAGCCUACACAUAAGAACCAUUAUGCUUACGGAUAAAUGCUUAUGAGAUUCAGCAUUUGAGCUUGAGGGUUUAUGUUGAUCACUGUUCUUUCAACUAAUUUUCAUUUGGGCACUUCCAGAUAAAACCAAAACAAUCACAAAAUGGGAGCAGACUGAAACGUACCAGUAUACGCAGAGCAGCAGUGUGAUAGCUAACAACGAAAACAUAGGAAUAGAAAAAUUAAGACUGAGCAAAGAAAAAGGCAGAGAAAUAGGACCUUGGGGAGGUCUAUAUGCUUGUAGAGAGACCAAUCAGAAGAACAAUCAUGCUCUUCGCAGCUGUGGUCAUGUAAGCAAGCCAUCUCUCUCUUUCCCUGGAUCACCAAAUUUCUAAGAAGCAGCACAAAAAGGCGAAGAAGAAAUAGAAGCAACCAGAAAUAGGGAGCGAACCGUGGCUUUUUCUGUGCAUAGUGCCGAAAAGGCCCUUGUAUCGGUACAAUAAAACGCACCGUUUACCUGUACAUAUAUGUCCUUUUAGGCUUUUACUGUGAAAUGCAAACGAGACUGUUUUCGCAAAACUUUCUUCUUUGCUUUCAUUUGGGAAGUUCAGCUCUGAGCUCUGUGAGAGAUGGAGGAAAUAGUAGAAGGGGACGGGUCGGGUGCGGGCAGAUACACGCUGAGACCAACGAGGCUAAGCAACGAGGACAUUCUGUUCUGUAUAGAUGUUGACCCAGAGUCUAUGGUGGAGAUGAAAGCCGCGAUGGGCCCAAAUGGGCGACCUUUAACCCGCUUGGACUCGAUCAAGCAAGCCAUACUUGUCUUCAUCAACGCCAAGCUCACCAUCAACCCAGAGCACCGAUUCGCCUUUGCCUGUCUCGGAAAGUCCGCGUCUUGGGUAGGUUCUCUCUGUUCAUCUCUCUCUUUAUUGCUUGGUUUCUGUUCGGUUUCCGAGAAAAUUUGCGAUCAAGGGCAGAGGAUUUUAUGGUUAUUAUGUGUUUUUUAGGAAUUGAACUCCUGGAAACCAUGAUUAUGGCUUUGGGUCAUAGUUUUGAGGUUUUUUGUGAUAUAUACGGUUAUGGGUAGAUUAAAAUUUUCAUUUGCAGGAAAUGUAAGCAAUUGCGUGCCAUGAAUUUGGUUUCUGGAUGAAUCAAUGAAGGAAAAUUAGUUUAAAUCACUAUUUUCAAGUAGCCCAUUGUACAGAGUCUCACCAAGUCAAAAACGUUUUGAUAGCAUGAAAGAGUUUAGACAGAAGUGUGAAACCCACGAUACAAUAUGGGGUUGCUGUGCAUGUAUAUUUAUAAGAAGUACUACGUCGGUAAACAAGAUUUGGAUAUGAACACUACUACUGAGGAGGCUUAUCAGAGAAUACUAAUGAUGAACCCUUGAAAUAAAAUACAUGAUAAAUAUAAACAGAUAAACACGUGAGGAAACUAAGCAGGUAGCACUUCUAUCAGUUUUCCUUUGAUUAAGCUUUGGUCACUUUUAUUGAAUGCGGGUGAGAAAUCAAUUCCUUUACUAUCUGUUAAGGAGAUUUCGGAUCUUGAUCAUAGUUUCAAAGUGUACUUUCCAAGAAUCAUCCGCAUACCUUGAUCAUUUUUGGUCCUAGACUUAUUUUAUGGGGUGCAGUACCAAGAAUCGUUCACAUACCUUGCUGUAGGGUUGAGUUUUGAUGCAUGAUAUGCAUAAUUAUCAUGCAAAUACCCCAUUAGUAGUAAAUAUUUAUGCAGUGUAAGCAAACCUUCUGCAGGUCUUUGUUCAAAACACUCAAUUUAUCCUUUGUGUCUGUUUGUUUGAUUUAUGUUUCUGUAAUUGAUUUGGAACCUUUUGUUUUUCGUUUUUAUGAAGCUUCGGAAAGAGUUUAGCAGUGAAGUCGAUUCUGCUAUUGCUGCAUUUCGAGUACUCUCAGCUACUUCAUCUUCUAGUAAUGCAGAUCUUACCAGUCUAUUUCGAGUAGCAGCUCAUGAAGCAAAGAAAUCUCGUGCUCAAAACAGACUUUUAAGGGUGGUAAGCAAUGGUUGGCUUAACUUUUCAUGCAAUUACAUUGGUUAAUUAUUACAUCCGUGCCAUUGUGAUAUUCCAUCUUAUCCCUUCCAUGAUGUUGAAAUUUUUGUGUGUUGAUUGCUAAAGGCUGACAUGCUUGCCCUUAGAUUCUUAUUUACUGUAGAUCAUCUGUAAGACCAAAUCAUCAAUGGCCUGUGAACCAGAAACUCUUCACUCUGGAUGUAGUUUACCUUCACGACAAGCCUGGACCUGAAAACUGCCCUCAAGAGGUCUAUGAUUCACUUGUGGAUGCCCUGGAACUUGUUAGCGAAUAUGAGGGCUACAUCUUGGAGAGCGGUCAGGGAUUAACUCGAGUUCUCUUCCGUUACAUGUGCAUGCUGCUAUCACACCCUCAGCAGCGUUGCCCACAAGACCAUCUGGACAUACCUAAGCCUCUUGCGAAAAAGUUGCCGGCAGCAGAUUCAACGACUACUGAUGAUAGUAUUAUAACUGUGUCCGGCAUAUCAGAAGUUCAGAACAUUAGAAAUUAAUUUUACUGAGGUCAUUUUGCUUCUAAAAGUCUCAUAUGUAUGUAGUUUGUCUGAUGUUGAUGUAAACCUCUUGUUGAGUGAGAAUGAGUAGCCGAUUUGAUCUUGGUCCUAUCUGUCUGUACAAAUUGUGAAUGUUAUGAAUCCCAAUGUUUAUUUUAACCUAUCUGUCGAAGAAUUUUUUAUGACAUUCAAGAUCACGUAAAAUAUAGCAAAAGCAAGAAGUUCUUAGUACUAGUUUGUAUGUGUAUCCCCAUUAAUAUGAAGAGGGAGGUGGGAGCUGGCUUGCUACGCCGCGUCACACGGCACGCGGCAGCUAGGCAUAUUAGACGUCGAAGGAUUCUGGCAUUAAAUGUUAAGCAUUUAUAAACUUUGCCAAGGCUCAAAUUCUCCCAUAAGCAGCCUAAAAUGAGGAUGUUGUAAGUUGAAUUUUGCUACAUAGAACUACAUUCUCGGAAAACAGCUUAGUUGCCACUUUGCCAGUCACAUCACGAGACAUGUGUCGAAAUCUCCCCCGCUCGAAAAAAUAAAAAAUAAAUAAAACAAAAAAAAAAGGUAAGCCUUCCUCAAAGUCUAACGCUACUAGAUUGAAAGGUGAAAAAACUUGAUUGCAUAAGUAUACUACCCAUUGGUAUUGAUGAAAGACUUAUGAGGUUUGAAAUUAAAUCUUUCAAGUUCCCCGCAGAACCCUGCCUUGCCCUUUGGAGUGAGGCUAAGGUUUUCUUCUCUUAUUAAAAAAACCAAUCGACUAUUAUUUGCAUUCCCACAAAACCGUAUGACUCAUUGCUUCCAAUGGUGAGGUCAACAUAUUGGUAAUCAGAAAGAAAAAAAAAAUGCAGAGCUCGAAAAGUUGAAAUGAUAACCAAAAUCCCUCAUCCAUAUAAUUUUUUUUAAGUAGAAGUCAACUUGGAGGGAUGAUCUUAAUCACACAAAUUGUCUGUGACAUCUCUAGAAUUAGUUUUAGUAAUGAAAUAAAUCGUUUAACUCUUUCGCUCAAGAAAUCUGCCGGCAUGACGUGUCGCUUGUGCGUUCCUUGUCCACUUGUGCAUGCUUAUAUAUUGCUUGCACGAGUACAAAGAAAAACUCCAGUUUGAAAAACUUUUUAUACUAAAAAUAAACCCUAAGCAUUAUUAAAUUUGUAUUGUUUUUAAAGUUUGACCAACUGUUUUGAUCUUUUUUUCAUGAACUUGUCCAAGCCGUUCUGGCGCUCUUUAACUAUUAUUAGUCUUAAUAAUCUAUUUCUAAUUGUCAUGAGUCAUGACCAAUCUCCCUUCUCUGUAAAGUGCAUCAAGUUGGUCAUGUCAACUCAUUCUUUUCUUUUUACAAGUGAUGGUGGGGAUAACUAGGUUAACACUUAAAAUUGCUUCCAUCUUCACCUACUUGAAUGACAGAAGAACAUGGGCUCGUGCCUUGUGGGUCACUUAUCUUAUCUUAUUUAACUUUUUUUUAUUGCUUUUAGGUGAAUCGACUGCACAAUCUUAAAUGCAUGAAUGAAUGCUUUAAACUAUUUAAAUUACGAGCUCUUUAUUGUGUUCCUUAGACAGAAGUUAAAACCAUCAUGAUUUGCUGGUUUUGAGUUGGUUAAUUAGUGUUUACAUGGUGUGAAUGUAAAAGUAAAUGGUAAAUGGCUUACAUAGCAAGUUAGUUAUAUAUAAGUUAAAGAAGACACCUCUCAAGUGGUAUGCGAAUCUUGGGGUGGCAUAAAAUAAUUGAGAAUUUAUUUAAAUAUAGUCAAAUUAUUGAAGCUCCUUCAGCUCUCUGUGGAGCCACUUUAAUUUGCUCCAAUAGAUGAUCAUUUUGCUAACAUGUGCCCUUUAUAUUCAUGAUUAAAGAGAAGAGGACUUCAAAUGAACUUUGGACUAUAGGAGAUAGAUAGGAGGAGGAGGAGGAGGAGGAGAUAAAGGAAAAAUCCAUUUCCAGUUUUAAUGGGACUCUGCAUAUCUUCUUCAGCUCACAAAAUUCAGGAUGGCCAUGAAGCUCCAAUGUCCUUUGAAAGGACUGACGAUUCUAAUGGAAUUCAGAUGCACGGUUCCCUUUAUUCUUUGGAAGGAAGCAAAGGAGUAAACCAAGAUAGUGCCAUUCUUUACCAGGUUUGUGAAUAUUUCUUUCCCCUUUAUUAUAUGGAAGGAAGCAAAGGAAUUGUUCUGUGUGUUUCUCUAGCUGCUCAUUUCAAAACCAUAUUGUUUGUUUUUCGCUUUGUCUAUACAUAAAUAUAUAGAAUGGCAAGGCUUGUUUUCUUAGAAAAUCAUCAGCAAUUUCGUUUCAAAAGCAUUCAUGCAAAGCAUGUUGCAUAAUCGGGUUUCAUAUUAUUUUACUAGGCUUCUGAAAGUCUGUUGAUUAUAGCUUUAACCUCUUCUUAUUUUUCUUGUCUUUUCAAUAGGGCUAUGGAUUGGAAGCUGAAGCUUUCUGUGGAGUUUUCGAUGGACAUGGAAGAUUCGGGCACCGAGUGAGUCAGCUGGUGAGAAGCAACCUGCCAUCACUCUUACAAGGCCAGAUGAAAGCUCUUGAUCAACAAGCCAUUGCAGUAGCAGAGGAUGAUGAUUCGAAAAAUCACAUUGACAGAAUAGAAACCGAGUCAGAAGAUUCAGAACCAAGCAAGAAAUUUCACAAAUGGAAAGAAGCCUUUGUUAGCUCCUUCAAAGUCAUGGACAAGGAGAUUAAGCUUCAAGAAAAUCUGGACAGCUCUUGUAGUGGAACCACUGCUGUUGUUGUCAUAAAACAGGUGAGAAAAACUACACAUGAUCAUUGAACAAAUUAUUUAUCUUUCUUUAUUUCUUUGUGUUCGGCUUUAAUUCAAGAAUCAAACAGGGUGAGGAUCUUUUUAUAGCUAAUCUGGGUGACUCAAGGGCAGUCCUAGGAACCACUAGAGAGAAUGGAAUUGAGGCCAUUCAAUUGACCACUGAUCUAAAGCCUGCUUUACCUAGUAAGAAGUUCAUCAUUUUUUUCCAUUUUUUUCCUCUUGUUUAAUUUGAAGUGAUUAUCUGACAGGUGAUCGUUUUUAAUGCAGGUGAAGCAGAACGAAUAAGGGCGUGUGAUGGUCGAGUGGUUGCACUAAAGCAAGAACCUAACAUCCAAAGAGUGUGGUUGCCUCAUAUUGACCUCCCAGGCCUAGCCAUGUCCUGAGCUUUCGGAGACUUCAUACUCAAGGACCAUGGCAUCAUUGCCACCCCUGACGUCUCCUAUCGCCGCCUGACUUCCAAAGAUCGAUUUGUCGUUCUUGCAACGGAUGGGGUAAGCCCUAUUGGAAAUGAAAUGUGUACUUGUUAAGAGUUUUAGCGUUGCCAAAGAAAAAAGGGCACAGUUGCUUUCCUAUGAAUGGCAUUUUAACCACAAUGAUGCGUUUUGUUCUUGGGCUUGGUAUUUAGGUUUGGGAUGUGCUCAGCAACCUUGAAGUUGCAUCCAUUGUGUGGGAAGCUGAUAGUGCACAAGCAGCGGCAAAGGCGGUGACGGAGACUGCGGUGGCCACAUGGAGAAGGAAGUUCCCUUCUGCUAAGAUAGAUGACUGCACUGUGGUUUGCUUGUUUUUGCAAGACAAACUACAUGAUCAUGUUGUGCCUGUAAAGAUAUGAGCUUUUGAGCAAUGCUUGUUGCUUUGUGAUCUUUUUUUAUCUUCAUACAUUUUAACACGACACUAUACUUUUUCAAUUUCUGAUAAGCUAUACUUUUUCAAUUUCUGAUAAGCUACCCGUCCAAUUAUGUACAUAAGCCCACAGGUUCCAUUUUUGGUUAAGACAACAGUUGCUUUCAAGAAUAAAUUUUUGGUCAAAUCAUCCGCCAGUAAAUGAAAUCUUUCAAAACCAAACAGAACCAUUGGCAACCUUCAAAAUGCUCAGUAAAUUUUCAAAAUGUCCACGAAUAAACAAUGAUGUUUUGAUUUGUUUUCUCCAGGCAAUUCUAGAAAGACAUCACAGGGCUAGAAAUUCAUGAACAUAAAUAUAAUAAGACUUGACAUAGUGGCAAAAGGCAUUCUUGAAAUUUCAUUGAAAUGCUUUUAAUCACAAUAGGAUAAGGCCGAUAAACUUCAGUUAAACUCUUUAAUAGGGGAAAAGAAUUAUGUUGCCUCCAGGCAAACGAAACAAAAGAGAACUUUCUGCAUAUAAAAACCCCAUUUGUGAGUAAACUCAAUGCCUACCAUCUGGAUGAAAAAAUAGAAACAGAAGAUCCCGGGCGAAUAUAAAUCCAUUUCCUCUAAUAUUCAAGUGCAUCAUCUUUGGGCGCCUCUCCAAGCAGGUCAUCAUCAUAUGAAACAGGUACCCUUAACCUAUCAUGAACAGAAAGUUGUUUCCCUUCAGUAUUUGACUGAAUGCCUUGAGUUUGCAUUUGACAAAUAACCGGUACGGCAUCUGAAAUAUUAGCUGGAGUAUCAUCCUUGAAUGAAUUCACAAUUGCUUUAGAUGAACCUUCUUUCCCUUGCUGUAUUGGUUGUCUAUUAUUUGUUGACCUGAAUUGCUUCUGCAUGGAGAUAGAAAACAUAAAAAGUAAUCAACGAUGCUGUAGUUUUACACUUUUUCUAAUAAAAGUGAUAUUUAAUUGACGUUUGGGAAAUAACAUCAGAAACAACACUAUGAAUCUAUGAUCCACUACUGCGCACCUCAAAUUCCCUUCCUUUUUUCAUUAUCUCUUUGUAGGCCUUUGGUUCUCGUGCUUUGAUGAUACUCCAUAGUACUCCACCACCAAAUCGGAAACGUUUGCCAUCAUGAGUCAUCUGACCUCCACAAGCCUGGAUCGCAUCCACCUGAAAUUUUUCAUCAUUUCACAAAUGAUAUCCUAGAUACACCAUGGUUUCUAGCAGGGAAAAAGUAUCCAUUCUCCUGAUACUGGAUUCCAUCCGGACUACAAAUAACUAAUAUACGAGAAACAUAGAAACACUUGUAACAACCACAUUUAAUAAAAUUCAGAAAUUACUUAACUAAGGAUAUCGUUCCCUACAAUCAAAGUAAGCUCAAAGAUGUUCAUAAUCACAAAAGUUUCUGUAAACCAUCUCCGGAUAGAGCUUAUGGUUCCUGGGGGAGGAGCAAACAUGAAUGAUGAGCUUUUUGGAGCAAAAAUAGAUGUGUAUUGCUUUGUUACGCGUAUCUAUUAGAGUACUCUUACAUGUGUUUUGCAUGCAUAUUGGCUAAUGCAACUCCAAGAAAAAAUGAUAUCAACCUACACAAAUAGCAUAUGAUGAAGUGGUUCAUCCAGGGGACAUCACAGCUCAGAGCACAAGAUUGAAAGGAGUAAAAUGGCUUCUGCAAGAGAAAUCUGCAAGGGUAGGGAAACAAUAUUGAGGAUCAGAAAUUAUGCAAGGCUGCGUGGCCAAAUAGUGUGCAUAAGCAUCGGCAGCUCUAAGCUGGUCCAAAAUUAAGCAACCCAGAAUCUCACCUUCCCUUGCAAAAGGCCAGUCGAAUCAUUCAAGUCCACUCUCAACAAAGGAUACCCUGCCUUCCCCUUGAAGCUAUAAUGUGAAGGGAACUUAAAAAGGGACAGAUGGCUCAGAAGGUAAAGACAACCUUAAAAGUACCCCAUAAAGCAUAACCAUCCUCCCAAUAACAGGACCCCCAAUUAGCAAAAAAACCAGCGUGUUCAAGAAUCUAUAGAACAGAAUUGGCACAGACAAUAUGAUAGGUGAUUUUUAAUUGACAUCACUGAAACCCAGCUCUGAGUGCAAAUCCCAUGUUCUGAACAUGAGCAGCAAGGUCGGAUCAUCUUAAAGCUAGAUGUGAAGCGGAGUCAAGGCAACCUUAAGAAGUACCCAUAAAGCACGCCCAGACACAACCCAUUCACCCAAUAACAGGAUUACCAUUAGCAGAAAGACCAAGAGUGCUCAAGCAGGUACAUAAUAGAAUUACUUUGAACAAUAUAAUAGAUGAUUUCAAUUGAGAAUAUCACUGAAAACUCCACUGAAAGGUAUUGGGCACAAAGCACAUGUUCUUAAACUGACAGCAAGGUCGGAUCAUCUAAAAAUGCACAUUAAUGCAGAUAAACAUGUACCAAAUUUACAACCAGUUGCUAAUGGCGUCUGUCAAGGAGAUUUUCAGAAGACAAUUACAAAACAUAAUGCAAUGCACACGUAGUUGCGUAUAAAAGAUAAAGAAAACAAUCCCCAAGUUAUAUAAUUUGCUUUGUCACAGCAUUUCCACAAAAGCACACAACGAAGGGCAGCAUACCUCUUUGACGAGAUCAUUCAAUGCAAGAACACCCAGACAACCAACAGCAGUAUAUACCAGAUAUGAUUUCUUCUCUUUCAGUCGCCUACAUGUAUCCAUCACAAACCUGAAAAAGACAUAACAUUAAAAGAAUGUAAAAACCCACAAGAGAGCUCCAAAUUCCUUUUGAAUAUAUGUAAUUUCUUUCGUUCUUAAUCGGGCAGGGCAUAACCUGUCUAUGUCAGUGACAUUAAUUCCAGGGCCACUGUUCCUUCUCCUAUUCCUCUUCUUCUUACCCCUGCGCUUCUGAUUCUUGCCCUGACGUUCUUGGUUUGCUACACUGACAUUGCCACCACUGAUCUGUCCCGAACCAUUUUGUGAGUUAAAAUCCACAAGCUCCCCUUCUUCCACAAGCUCUCCUUCUUCCACAUCAAGCAUCUCAACAUCUUCGCCAUCUUCAAAGUUAUCGUCUUCAAAUACUGCGUCUAGUAUGUUGUGUUCUCCUUCCAUAUAAGGUUUUCUUCAAUGGGGGGAAAAAACGCACCACAAAAUUUAUAAGCACCUACAGAGCAGAAAGCAGGAAGAAAACACGCAGAUUUCCACAGACGAGACAAAAACUGCAAACUCGUGCAAAUUUUCUCUAUGGCAAAUCACCAAACAGAUUAUGCGAGCCCUAACCAGAAAAAAUCACAAGUACAACGAAAACAAAAAAAAAAACGUAAAUAAAUAUUUUUUUUAAAAACCGAUGUACGAACCCUAACAAUGCAAAAACAAACACAGCAAUUCAAAGCUUAUGGAAUUUUCCAAUUAGAGUGCUCUGCUUAAGGACGAUGAAGCAUAACCGCGGCUUUUGGCGUUUGGUUGAUCAGAGGACUGCGUUUCGCUGGUAUGGUCUUUAUAGUGAAGCCUAGAUGAGCGCUGGCGGUAAUCAGUAAUGGCUUGUUUGGCUGCGUGGCAAACGAUGAUAUUAAUCCGGAUUGGGUUAUAGGUGGAAAGGCCCAACCCAAGGACGCUUUGCUUAUCUGUACUGAGCGAGCCCAAAAUGGCUGAAACUUAGUCCAUCCCCAAUCUAUUAGUGAUAUUUUAUGAUUUGUUUUUGUUGAAUACGUAAUUGUUAGUAGGUUAUCUGUCGACGUUUGAUUUCUUUUCAAUAGUGGGCCAUACGUCAUUGGCCAAUCCGUACGAGUCCACAACAAAACUGAGUUGAUGUGGAUUGUUGAGUGUGAAAUUUUGAGGAGUAAGUUUUGGGUGAAAAGCUCGGACCACGUAAUCUAUCUGUCCAACUGUUUUCAUAAGAGGGUAUAAAUUUUAUUGAGCGCCUGUCGGACGGAUGACAUGGUUUUAGAGCAAAGCCAAGCCCAACCUCAUAUUCAGACACCAUUGAUUGGAACGGGUAUGAAGUGGAAAUACAGGCCUUCCUUUAUCUUGUUCAGCAAGCAAUGGUGCAUUUUUGUCCUGUAAUUCAUAAAUCUAAUAGAUGCCCUUUGUCUGCAUCAUCACUUUUGUUGUAUUCUUUAAAUUAUACCUACCUUGUUUUCUACCUAUUCAAACGAGGGGAAGGUGGGCAUGAUUGGUACCAAAGUUUCAACCUAACGUUCUUCAACAUCUAGUAGCUUUUAUAUUAUAAAGUUAAAAGAAGAAAAAUACAAAAAGAAAACUCAUUAGAGCUUCCAGCUCUUGUUUUGAAUGAUGAUAGAUUAAGUCUGAUGUUGGGUUGAAAUAUUCUUUAUUAUGGCUAACUUAGCAUUGAUGUGCUAUGAAAAUAUACGCUGUUAGAUUUAUUGUGAGAAAAAUCAACAGUGAGAUAAAACAAUUUGGUGUUUGAUAAAAAAACAAAAGGGUCCCCACUUGCUCUAACAACAAAAAAACUAAAAAUCUUGCAAGUUAACUAAAGAAACUGUAUUCUUUAAUAAAUGAAAUUUCCCGUUAUUAUCUAUAUAUAUAAAGCAAAAGGCAGAGAAUGGUGAAACAUUCAAAAUACCAGAAAAUACCCUUGGUUAAUGCAAAUAUUAAGAAUUGAAAUUAUUAAUUAAAUGAGGAUAAUAUGGUAAAUUCACAAUUUUUCGUAUUAAAAAAAUUAAAAUUAAAAGAAAAUUCAGAUAAUGGAUCCUAUUUUUAUGGAACACAAAUAUCCAUUAUCUUUUUUAAUUCUAAAAUAAAUUUAAAUUUUUUUAAAAAAAAACCUCUCGCAUGCGCAGAAGCGCGUGCAGAGAGGCUAGUAUAUAUAAAGCAAAAGGCAGAGAAUGGUGAAACAUUUAAAAUACCAGAAAAUGCCAUUGGUUAAUGCAAACAUUAAGAAUUGAAAUUAUUAAUUAAAUGAGGAUAAUAUGGUAAAUUCAUAAUUUUUCGUAUUAAAAAAAUUAAAAUUAAAAGAAAAUUCAGAUAAUGGAUCCUAUUUUUAUGGAACACAAAUAUCCAUUAUCUUUUUUAAUUCUAAAAUAAAUUUAAAUUUUUUAUAAAAAAAACCUCUCGCAUGCGCGGAAGCGCGUGCAGAGAGGCUAGUACGAAUUACGGGUGAAAAAACCAGUGGAAUUAUACGGCGCCAACACUGUAAUUCCCGCAAUAAUACGGUGCCGACGUGUACGCUCCAGAUUGCACCCCUUUCCAAUUAAAGAGUGAGCUCACUGGGGCCCGCAAUCAAUCAUCCAAGUCGCAUUGAAAAAGAGAACCCACGUGGUCACCAAUAAAUAUCAACUCCUCCUCCGACCUUCGAUCUUUGUGUUAUAUGUCAGCUCCACCAAUCAGAUAUCCUCAUACCAAUUUGACCGGAAACCGCCAUGACUCGGUUGGCUAGCGCCGUCGUCCUGUUGUUCCUUGUCUCCCUCUCCAGUUUCGCUGCCGGUAGCCGGGACCUGAUCGGAGACGUUUUACGGUUACCUUCUGAAGCUUCUAGAUUCUUCGGCAGAGGCGAUGACGGCCCUGAUGAGCAAGACGACGGCACCGUGGGGACCAGAUGGGCUGUUUUGAUCGCUGGCUCAAAUGGAUACUGGAAUUACAGGCAUCAGGUCUUAAUUUUACACGAUAUCAUCUUUCUUAAUUCAGAAAUAUUCUUUUUUGUUAUCAAACUUCAGUUGUUAAUGGAAUUUGAGUUAUAAUUUUGGAUGUUAAUUUCAAUUUUUUUUCCCUUCAUGUUUUUUGAAUUGUUUGAUAUCUGAAUUUGGGUAACCUCAUAUUGGAAAGUUUAUGCUUGUAUAAUCUCGUUUAAAUUUGACUUUCAGCUUAUCCAAUUUCUGAUUCUUUUACCUUGUUGCUUUCGAAUUUGUCAAACUAAAUUUUGGAAGCUUAGAGUUUGUUUUGGAACUAAUAUGAAUUUAGCUCAAGCUUGUGUCUUUCUUAUCUUCCUUGAUCUCAUCUCAUUUUGACUAAGACAGAGUUUUAAAUUUACAUGUGGCUUGAGUUUGUUUUGGAACUCAUAUGCAUUUAGUUCAAGUUCGUUUUAUUAAUUAUUAUAUUCCUUGAUCUCAUCUCAGUUUGAAACUUUGACAUGGAGUACAUGAUCUCAACGUUAACCAUAUUUGUAUAGGAGCUGGAUUUCUGUGUCAGGGGUGAAAUUGAUACUUUUGUUGUGUCUAUAUCUUCAUAUGAAUGUCAAUAAAUAUCUUAUUGGUUUCACAUAUUUGAAAGCUAAGCCACCCUCAUUUCUUGAUUGAUGUUUAACACGGACCUUUUUAUCUUGUUUGUUUAGGCUGAUAUUUGCCAUGCUUAUCAACUACUGAAGAAAGGUGGGCUGAAAGAUGAAAACAUUGUUGUAUUCAUGUAUGAUGAUAUCGCUUAUAACGAAGAGAACCCUAGGCCCGGAGUCAUCAUUAACAGCCCACAUGGUGAUGACGUUUACAAAGGAGUCCCAAAGGUCUGUUAUCUUCCCCUCUAGGUGUUUACCUGCUUCUGAAUUGAUAGUUAUAAUUCCCCUCAUGCGGUCGAUUUUACGGUGGCAGGAUUACACCGGCGAUGAUGUUACUGUUAACAAUUUUUUUGCUGCUAUCCUUGGAAAUAAAACUGCUCUUACAGGGGGUACUGGGAAGGUUGUGGACAGCGGUCCAAACGAUCAUAUUUUCAUUUACUAUUCUGAUCAUGGUGGUCCUGGAGUUCUCGGUUAGUAUCAAUUCUGCACAUGACAAUACUGACAUUAUUUUGCCCACAUCCCCAUAUCUUAUCUACUUACUCUUUCCCUAGGGAUGCCUACCAGUCCAUAUAUUUAUGCUAACGAUCUAAUAGAAGUCCUGAAGAAGAAGCACGCAGCAGGAACCUAUAAAAGCUUGGUAAGUUUCUAGUUGAACUGUAAAUAGAUGCUGCAUAUACCAAUAGAGUUGGACUAAUUCGUAGAACUGCAGGUAUUUUAUCUUGAAGCUUGUGAAUCCGGAAGUAUCUUUGAGGGACUUCUUCCUGAAGGUUUGAAUAUCUUUGCAACUACGGCAUCAAAUGCAGAAGAGAGCAGUUGGGGGACUUACUGUCCAGGAGAGUAUCCUAGUCCUCCCCCGGAGUAUGAAACCUGCUUGGGUGACCUGUAUAGCGUUGCUUGGAUGGAAGACAGGUAUGCAGAAUUAUUUUAUUUUGUUAAAUUUUCAAUAAAGGGGUGGGAAGAAAAGCAGCUUAAUGUUAGCUUCAUUUUGCAUACCCUUGGUAAAUAAUAACAAUUUCAUCUUUCCCUAAAAGUGCAUUACUUCUUGAGUAUUGUCACUUUAAGAUUUGCCUCAAAAUAUGAAGAAUAUAUGAAUUAGGUAGAAGUUUGAAACUGUAUCAUUUCAUGCCAGUUGUUUUUUCUUCUUUAAUUCUUGCACUGGUGGUGUGGGUGUUUGGAUUGUCUUUGCAAGAGCAGUUUCUUUCUCAGGUUGGAGAAUGAAACUGUUCAAAUUAUAAUUUUCAUUUGAGAUUUAACAUUUUGACCUUGUGAACAGUGACAUACACAACUUGAGGUCGGAAACUUUGCACCAACAGUAUGAGCUGGUAAGAAUUCGUCUCUUAACACAUUGUUAUGGAACAGAUAGAGAUUUUUUUUUCUUCUUUUGUACAGGAAAGACCAGCUGUUUAUUAUUGUAUGUUUAAAUAAAAGAGAUUGUCUGUAUUUAGAGAAGUCUUGGGGGUCUAGCCAAGAAAUAUCUAGAUGUGAUCCUGCUAGUUGCUAAUGUCAGUUCUUUGAUUUCAUUAUGAUGGCCCAGGUUAAAACGAGGACAGCAAAUGACAAUUCUGGCUUUGGUUCUCAUGUCAUGCAAUAUGGCGAUGUAGGGCUCAGCAAGGAAAACCUCUUUGUGUAUAUGGGGACAAAUCCUGCAAAUGAUAACUACACUUUUCUGGGCGAGAACUCCUUGAGGCCAUCUACAAAAGCUGUCAACCAGCGGGAUGCUGAUCUUGUCCAUUUCUGGCAUAAGGUUAACUCUUACCUUUUUCAUCCGUGAAUAGUUAUUUUGCCUUUUCUUUUAAAUAUCUAGUCUUAAAAUUUAUGUACUAGUCAUCAUCGGUACUUAUAUUUGGAAGUAUUUCAUACUGUUAGAUAUUAUGAUUGAUUUGAUUAAAAGUCAGGAGAGAUCAGUAAUGAUGAUUGGGGAAUACUCCAUGUUUUCAUUGUUUAAACGGUAACAUAUCAUAAGUACCAUGGAGGUUUUGGAACCAUGCCAUUUGCCCUGCUCUCCUGUGAAGCUCCAAACAAAGCAGUAGAAUAUCUCUGCUUGGAACAAGAAUUUUGAAUACCAAAAAGGGAAUGAAACCAAGGUUUUGAUUAAAUAAAAGCCUUAAUUGUUAUGAAAAUCUAAGGUUCUACUUCUGAAUAUUCUGUGGUUUUGUAACUAUUUCUGUGUGUUAGCUGUCAGCCUGAAGAUCUAAGCCCCUUGUUUUCCCUUCUUUUCUUUUUCUGGAUGCAGUACCGCAAAGCUCCUGAAGGCUCACCAAGGAAAAUUCAAGCUCAAAAGGAUUUUGUUGAAGCAAUGUCUCAUAGAAUGCAUAUGGAUCAAACCAUGAAACUUAUCGGGAAACUCCUGUUUGGAAUCAAGAAAGGUCCAGAAGUGCUCAACACUGUUCGACCUGCUGGGCAGCCACUUGUUGAUGACUGGGACUGCCUUAAGACAAUGGUAGUACUUCUGCUGUUCAUUUUCUCCUUAAUGCUGUUAAAACUUUUCUGAUUCCAUCUUGUUCUGCAUAUAAAACAGAUUUUCACAAAUAAUAUAUGUGGCUGUGCCUGAUGGGUUUGUGUGUGCAGGUGAGGAGUUUUGAGACAUAUUGUGGAUCCCUAUCUCAAUACGGGAUGAAACACAUGCGGUCCCUGGCAAACAUCUGCAACGCCGGAAUGACAAAGGAGCAGAUGACCGAGGCUUCAGCACAAGCCUGCACGAGCGUUCCUUCUAGCCGUUGGAGCUCCCUGCACCGGGGGUUCAGCGCAUGAUUUCAAGAAGAAGAAAAAAUGUGGGAUUUGAAUAACCAAUCCGUGGUCAUCUCUAUAUGCAAAACAUAUCUUAGGAUGCAUUUCGAUUAUUGUUAAUGUUAUUCUGAUUGCUUCAGUGUAACCUUGUGUAAAUACAACUCAAGCCCCUGUACUGUAAUGCACGUACCUACUGAAUCUUGUAAGUAAAUAUUAGCAUGUUUGUUGCGUAUGAAUACGUACCUGUUUGCUGCAGCUGGUGUACGCAUCAGGCUCUGGUUAUAAAAAAGUUUGCAAUUACGAUAUGCCUUUGUUUUAUGUUCACUUUGGUUGCUUCAUUAAGGAAGUGAGUGGCUUGUCUCCAUCUCCUUCACCACCACCACUAACAGAACAUAAUUAUCGCGUAACACUUUCAACUUUAUGUCUAUUUGAGUUAUUAUUUACAAUUACAAUUUUUUUAUAUUAAAAUUUAUCAAAUAAUUUUGACAAUGCUUUUUGUACUAGCACUUCAAAAGAAUUAUUUAUUAAACAUGAAGUUGCUUUACUUUACAAUUAAUUAUUUUUAAAGCACAAUAAAAUUAAAUUUUUUAAAAAAGUCACAUCAAUCUCAAAUUCCCCUUCUUUCUUGUCCGUCUCCAAAUGGUAAACUGGUAAUCUAGCUUUUGACCCCCAAAAAAAUGGAAAUCUAGUGGGCCUUUCAUAAGAUAAUGUCAUUAUCAUUGUGUGAGUAUAUUCCGUGUAAUUGAGUAAUGAAAGAUAUCGAUCGCGUUGGGAAUUGGGGAAAGUUAGAAAUAUUUAAGAGACGGAUUUACUCCCUCAAUUAAUGUAAUUUAUGGGUUUUCAAGAAUUAAAUGACGGAUUUUAAUGUGGAACACACAUAAAUUUGUAUACCUGAUGUAAAUUUAAGAGUUGGAAUAAUUUUAAUAUCCAUUAUAGGCAAAUGAACAUGCCAUGCUAUAGGUGUGUGCCCAAUUUCAUUGUGGAGAACGUAGCCGUAGGAGAGCAUGCGUCCAACCCCAAAUUCCCUUUCUUCCUCACCUUGCUCCAACCUGUAGCUGCCAAAAUGUAGGUAAGCAACAGCCUACAUUACGGGUCCAAUAAUGUACAAUUUUGGCAAAGUCCAAUUACUUUAAUGAUGGAAUGAUUGUAUAGUUAAAUCUUACUUAAUAAGAUAAGAGUGAGAGUCAAAUUUAUACGGUGCAUAUUUAUUUCAUGUGUCAAUGCCAAUUAUAUUACAUAUUUUAAUUGAAUAAUACGGACCAUUUAACUUGACACAUGCAAAAUUAUAGAUGAGCUUGUAAUUGUAACAUUAAGAUUCACACAAAAAACGAAACUCACAAUAUUUAGCUGAAUGGAAAAUGUUUUCAAGAUGCAUCUAUCAUAAGUUCUAGCUGUGAACAUUAUUAUAUGGCAGUGUCCCAUCCCAUGGUCUCCCCAAGACUCACAACCCAACAUUUUCUUUUUCUUUUUCUUUUUCUUUUAUUUUUUUAUUUUUAUAAAACGCAACCCAACUUUAAAAAUAUGAUCCAUAAUUGCAUAUUGUCAAACCAACAGUGAAAAAAAAAAAAAAAAAAAGGGAAGCAGGAACCGACGCUCUAGAUUCAACAAUUUUAUUUGGUCAACACACAAAUAUUUAAGCUUGGCUUAUAUACGGUCUAUAAUCGGCCACAGGAACCGGACAUCAAGGACAAUUGUCUGAUAACGUGAAAUCCACGACUCUGGUUAAACUUACCAUGGUUAGUUCACUAUAACCAUACUACAACGAACCGGUUCACCAGAAAAAUAAAAUUAAAAAAUUAAAAAAUUAAAAAAAGGUAAAGGAUGAAUAAAAAAAUAAUUGGGUAAUGCAAAUUAUUGCCACUUAACGGAGUAGUAGAUUCUGUUAGAUUCAUUUGACGAGGCGAAGAGGGGGCGCAUAGUAAGAACGUUGUAACGAGGUUUAAAAGAGACGGAGCUGACGGUUUAAGAUAGGGAGACGCGGGAGCCGUUGGAUUGUUGAUCAAGGGCCGAUAAUGCAAGGCGUUGGACGGUUCAAGUGUGACGGAGAGUGGGAGGGGUCGUAUAAAGCCUGGGUUUUGAAAGGUGAGAGUGCAUUUCGUUCCAUCAAAACAAGAAGAAGAAAGAGGAAGAAGAAGGAGAAAGAGCCUCUCUGACGUUUUGGCCUUCGGUUUUUCUUCUGCUUUAGAAUUUAAAGAGGAAUUCGGGAGAGAAUUCGUAGAGCUGGACUGUGUGUAAUGUUAAGGAUCUAAUUACGAAGCUUUUCUGUGAGCCUGUUGUGUGUUCGCGGGAGAGAGAAGGAGAGAAGAGCUUGCAGAGGUUGGUGAUGGAGAAAACAGAGCUCGAUUUUGGUAGUUUUAAUGUAAUCUGAUUUCUUAGAAUGACCGGGUUAUUUUGUGCAAUUUCUGUUUUGCAGAUACAUUCAGAAGAGCUUUUGGAGGAAUUUGAAGUGAAAUCGAUUGCGAUUUGCUGGGAUAAUUUCCAAGGUGGACCUCAUUUCAUUGAAAUUUACAGAGAAAAGGUCGAGAAAUCUAGUUUAGAGGUGAGGGGAGUUGGAUUUGCUUAAUUUCCUAAACGAUUUCACUCCCUUAUUCUAACUCAUCGUUCGUUUGAUUUUGGUUUCACAGGUACAUUUCCCGGAGAUUUGACCCCUUUUUUUUGAAGAAAUCUCAACUGGGGUAUGAGAUAAAGAAGAACAAGCAUCUCUCAUUCAUGAGUGUCAGGGACAUAGGCUCUAAGUUUCAAUCAUUUCGUUGAUUUUCGGCUCUAGAUUUGCAUUUUGCAAAGUCAGAAGGCCUAGAAGAGCAAGAUUACCCAAAAGAAGCAAACUUUCUUUUGCAAAUUCAGGAUUGUAGCUGCUUGCGAAAUCUCAGUAUAACAGGUGAGGAUUCAUUUUCCGAAUCCUAGAUCAGUGAAACCAAGUCUCGGGCUUAGGAUUUCACUGGCUGAUUUGAUUUCCUUCCAUUUUCGGUUCUUCGAAUUUUGAUAUCUUUCUACUCAAUUUGGUUUCUUCAAGGAGGCUCUCACUUUUCUCUUCUUUUUCCUCAUCUGCAGCAGAGUCCAAGCAAUUGGUUUCUCUGUUUUUUGAUUUUCGAUGUUCAAAAGCAGAUAACUUUGCAACAGAAUUUUAAGCUUUUCAAAUGAAGCCAGCCGAGUUCCUUGACUCUCUCUCUCUCUCUCUCUCUCUCUCUCUCUCUCUCUCUCUCUCGCUCGCUGGGUCUUACAUUUGGAUCCAUCAUCUUUGUCCAUCAUCUUCUUUCAAUUUUCUGUCAUCUGCCUUCUGUGCAAGAAUUUUCAAUUUCAAAAAACUAAUUGACCUUUAUAUUUGGGAAGAUUAUCUCUUCUUCUUCGUCUUCUUCUUCUUCCUCUCCUCCUCCUCCCCAUUUUAAAGGCUUUUAAUAUAUUUUUCUGAAUGAUUUCCGUCUGUAUUAUCAGCAUUGAAAAGAAAAGACCUUCUCUAUGAAAUUUUACCCGCUGUUUUGUGAAAAAUCUAUCUAUCUUUGGUGUUCUUUGCUGGCAGUCCGAAGUUUGUGUCUUUUCCGAAAUUCAAACACCAGCAGAGUGCAAAAUCUUCUGUUUGGUUCUCGGGAAACUGAUACAAGAAAAAACUGAGCUAACAGACGUAAUUGCUCAACUUAUUUAAUCGCAAUUCGUUGGAAGCGUCUGAUAAAAAAAAUAUAUAUAUAUAUCAAAGAUACAAUUUUCAUUCUUUGUCCUUUCCCUGCCUUUUUUUUUUUUCGAUCUUCAUCUUCUCCGUCUGUUUGGGUAGGCCCUGCUUUUCAUUUGAAUUUUAUUUUUAGGCACUCGCAGUUGCAGAGAGCCAGCCACAAUCCAAUUCCAGAUUCUCAGUUUUUGCCAUUUCCGUCCCUAACUUUAAUUAUGAGCAUUAACCGCGGUUAAAGUGUAAAAAAUCAUGUUAACUAACUAACCGCUGUGAUUAAUUCUUGUUUUGGCAUGGGUGGACAGGUGUACAAAAGGAGAUGGAAAGGGACUGUCUUAGGCACACCCAUACUAAAGACACCCACAAUCCCAACACUCGAGACAAAACCGGAGGGGACGCCUCAGCCUCUCUGCUGUUGAGAGCGAGCCCCGAUGCCAUACGACACGCAACGACGUCGUCCGAUUUCGUUUUGCAGUGGGGGAACCGCAAGCGCCUCAGGUGUAUGAAGAUCCAGGUCAAAGACAAGGGCAAAGACGACUCCGACGCCCCGGUUACCCGAACCACAGUCCGGGUCGACCGCCGGGUCGUCCGACCUGAUAAGGACCCGGCCAAUCAGCCUUCCACGGCCGGUAACUCUAAUCAGACGAAUGGGUAUUUGAAUCUCCGUCAACGGCCGUUAUCUCCGCAGCAGCCGCCACUUCAGCGUGUUCUCAGGUUACCACUUGCACUUCACGCUUUUGCUUUAUCUAAUCUAUAUCUAUUGCUUCCACGGGACGUCGUUUCGGUCCUGCCUUUCGUUAACAUGUAGUUUCGUCGUUUUGUGGGGUAGUUGUGGUGGCGUUUUGUCGUUUAAAUUAGUGGCGGGUGGGCCAGGUGCGUGGGUUUUGUCGUUUUUAGUUAUUUUGGGACUUGUUGCCUACGGUUACAUCUGUACAGUUUUGGUGCGGUUUUUAUAUAUACCUUGAUCUCACCGUCAGAUGCAUGAGUCAUAAUCAUCAGAUCAGGAGAUUUUAUAUUCAGACUUGCUUGAUUUUAGAUUUUAGAUUUGUGAGGAAAAAUCUCAGAUGAUUGCGUGGCCAAUUUCUCUACGUCUGUGAAGGUCAAAGAGAAUAAUUUUGUUAGGUAAGUGUUUGUUGCUUUGAUUAGAUUAUUUCAUAUGCAACAAUAGAGUGAUUGCAAAUUCUGUUAUCUUCUUCCUUGUUUGGUUGAAGAGAAAAUCUUGUUUGCGUGAAGGGAAAAUCUCUGAUUUUCUUGUGCAAAUUUGUCGCUUUAGAUUGGAUUGAUUUAUAUGAGUGGGACUGGAUAAAUGGAUAAGGCUAGAAAGCAUGGAAUUUUGUCCCACACCACUGGUUUUUUAUAUUCCUGGCCUGCCAUUAACAUGGCUGUGUUUAAUCCUAUGUGCUUAAUGUGUAGUUGAAUGAAAUUUUGUCGGAGGGUUUUUGAGAUUAGGAGUUUUAAUGAUGAAAUUUGGGGCUGAAUUUGUUGUGAGGCUUAUCUUAAUGAUCAACUCUCCAAUUGGUCAGGUGGGUGAAGAGAUGUAAAAGCCCCAGAAGGAGAGCUCAUGGUAAGUGCAUGAGGGUAGGGUGCCUUCUUUGUUUGUCUUUGUAGGAAACUAGUAGCAUAUGAUUGAAUUAGGUUGCUCAUGUAGUCAUGUAAUCUUUUUGGCUUGAUUGUGCACAACAUAAAACACAUUAACAUAACAAACAACUUAAAUUAGAGAAAGAGAGAGUCUUAGUGCCAUAAGGUCAAGCAUUUACCCUCACAUUCACGGCAAGAGUUUGAUUCUUCCUCGUUCGUGUUUUUCAGGAUGCGGUAUUAAAUUAUGGUAUCAUACAGGAUGGUGUAUCAAUAAGUUGAUGUCAAGCAUGAUUGAUUUGAUACUAGUUCUAGUUUUCUUUUUUGGAAUAAAUGCCUUAUUUAUUGUGAUUGAUUUGUUAUUUAUUUUAGACACGAUGUUAGGGCUGAUUUGAUCAUAAAUCUAGAAUGAUUAGGCUUGAGUAAAUUGAUUUCCACUAGGACUUGUGUAGCAGGCUUAUGUUGCUCAUGGUCACACCGGAUCGGGGCUCCACUACAUCUUAGCAUGAUAGCGUCCGAUCCAUAACGACCGGCACCCUGAUUCCAUGGGCUCAGUGGAAAUAGGAAAUGGGCAACUCCUAUUCCACGUGUCCACGGAAAACCAAUUCUUCAACCCCGUUUCUAGCCCUGGGAUCACUGAUGGAUCAGGCAAUGGAUCCACGCCUUCCACGUUUCAACACGUGUUCCUUAACCCCACAAAAGGCACUCUCAAUCCAACGGCUAAAAUCCUGCCCAAAAACCAGCUGUGCACGUUAUACAGUACAUCACAUCCCUUUCCUCUCUCUCUCUCUCUCUCUCUCUCUCUCUCUCAAAUAUCUAACUUUUCAUUAAAGAAAAGAAAAUUAACAACUCCCUCGUUUAAAAGCAGAACACAAAGGUCCCCCAAAGAAGCCAAAAACCACGCUAAUUUUCUACGCAAAACCCAUUACAAAGCCUCUCUCUCUCUCUCUCUCUCUCUCUCUCUCUCACACCAAUCCACCGAUCUAGAUCGUCUCAAGGCCAUUCCCGUAAUUUCACAACUACCCACAUUAAUUUAAUUUAAUUUAAUUUUUUGCCCAAAAAGUAUCAUUUAUUAUGUUUUGUGCCAGCUUUUUUAUGGGUUUAUUGAAUUCAAUUGAUUUGAUUUGAUUUGAUUUUGAUAUGCGUAUCUGAAUUGUGUAGAAACUCAGAGACCACAACAAGUGCCAUGAGAGGCCAGAGCAACGGAGGCUUGAGGGGAAUUGUUUCACCCGACAACAGAGGGGGUGCGCACGAUAAGAAAGGCAACCACCACCAUCACAACCACCACCACCAUAAUAAUGAGAAUAACAACACCAAGUCUGCAGCUUCUUCGGACACGGCGCACGAUAGUAAAAAGGGGGGAGGUGGGUCUUCAUCGGGAAGCGGCGAAGCAGCGUUGGCGCCACCGAUGGUCUGGCCGCCGAAGUUCGUGAUUGCUUUGACCAACAAAGAGAAAGAAGAGGACUUCAUGGCAAUCAAAGGGUCAAAAUUGCCUCAGAGACCCAAGAAGAGAGCAAAGUUCAUUCAACGCACCCUCAAUGUAAGCUCCUCUAUUUUCCUUUUUUAGUUACUUUAUUAAUUAAUUAGUAUUAAUUAAAACUAACUAGUUUUUUUUAUUUUUUUUCUUUCUCUUUUUAAAAUAACACCAUUGCCUUGCAAAAACAAAUCAAAACCCAGUUUGAUUUUAUUAUAUUUAUAUGGUUGUUUUACCUGUAUUUAUGCAAAUUGUUGUUGCGACAAAAUGUGGACUAGCUUAGAAGGAAGGAAAAGCAAAAAAUAAUAAAAUAAUAGAAUAAUAAAUAGAACUUUCUGGUAUUUGUUUAGUUUGGGUUAAAAGAAGCCGAAGAAGAUUGCUAAAGUGACAGCAAGAACAAGGCAUACACGUGUCCGCCAAGCCAUGUAUGCAUAUACCUAAUAUGCCUAAAAGUUAGUUUGCUGUCCGACUGGAAUAGUAUUAAUAGGACGAUGGUUUGGGUUAAGAUUAAAUUCUAUAUUAUUCAUAAUAAUAUGAUAAUGAAAUAUUUUAUUUAGGGUCGCCUCGUUUAGUGGAAAAUUGAUGUCACACGUGGCAAUACAUGGUUGUUGCUUUUGGGUUGGUUAUCGUGGCGAUGGACGGUGCGUGGCGUCUCAUGUGGCCGCAUGUGAUUUAGUGGGCAUCAGUGGACGUUUAAAGCAAGUGGGCCUUAAUUCUGUACUAACCGACAAAAAAAGGGCAUAUGGGUCGAAACGGACCCUGGGCCUGUUACCGUUGGUUUUUUUUUGGGGGGUUCUUUUUGGGAAAUAAUAUGCUUCAUGUUGAGGGCAUAUAGGUAUUUUCACUAGCCCUUAAUUAUGCUAACUGUUUUCUGGCUUGGACCGCACUGCCAACUGCUGAGCACAAAAGCACGAAAGCUGACUACCCACAAUGCACCGUUUUCGUUUUUUAAGUUCCAAACAUAGCAAAACUCAUCAAAGUGCUUAUCAAAAAGCCUAUCCCGCUUUUUGCCCAUUACCUAAAGCAAAAGCUACGCUUUUGCCAGUCUGUUUUUGCUUGUUUUGGCCUCUUCCUUUUAAUUAGCUGGAAGAUUAUUGUUCUAAUUAGUUUUUUAUUUUCUGUAAUUUUGUUUUAUAGCUGGUAAGCCCAGGAGCAUGGCUCUGUGAUCUGACCCUAGAACGGUACGAGGUCAGAGAGAAGAAGAUUUCCAAGAAGGUAUUUUAUUGAGUAAUUUUCUUCGAUUCAGGGCCUAAAUCAAAUUUCCUUAAUUUGCCUUUAAUGUUGAUAUUUUUAUGCAGCAGAAUGAAUAGUUUUUUUGUGUUUUUGCAUGAUGCUGCAGAGACCAAGAGGGCUAAAGGCGAUGGGCAACGUGGAGUCUGACUCUGAAUAGAAAGGAGUUUUAGUGAAAAGACUAAUAUAGCAUUUUCGUUUUUUUUCUCCUCCUUUUUUUGAAGGUAUGAGAAAAAUGUUAGAACUUUGUAAAAAUCUUCACCUUUCAACCAUCAGAAUAAUGAAUGGAUUCAUUUCCGGUCCUGUAUACAGUCUUGUUCCUCAUCUUCCUACUAAGUUUGUUUAAUCAGAACAAGAAAAAAAAAACAAAUCAUCACGUCCAAGCACACGAACAAAUGAAAUUUCUCUCUUUCAAACCCUAAUUGUGAAAAAUAAUUAAAAUAAGCUUCAGGGAUGUAAUUCAAGUGGUUAGUCAUGACAUGUUACACAAUCCAACAAUUUUUUGUUUUCUUGUCAACCUACAACACAUUUUCUUAUGUCGUAUUAAGUUAGAAAAGGGAAUUAACGGUGUUGGAUAGUCGUCCAAACGCACGUGAGUGUCUUAUGAUUGUUCAUAUAUUAACAUAUGGGUCUCAGUCUAACAUACAUCGAUGACUUACGGUGGAAGUGCUCAUUAGGCAUGGGCAAAAUCAGUUUCAGACUUCACCAUCCGAGUGAAAAAGAAACUCGAGACUCGAUCGCUCUCAAGAUGUGAAGAAAAUCACGAAAUUGACUCUUGAGACGAGAUUUGAGACUCUUUAGAGGUUAGACUUCAAGAAGGAAGAAGAAAAACAACAAACCAUAACUCUCUUUAGCUGACACACGUAACGUAAAACCACAAUAUAUGAAUUUGCAAAGCUAUUAAAGACAAUGACAUCUAAAAAUUUACCCGAGACAGGAGAAAAACCAGAACCCCAACUCCCUAAAGUUACCUAGUCAUUAGCAAAUUGAAGGGCCACGUCUAAUUUAUAAUGAUAAGAGAUAAUAUCAUUGUUUGGUCGCAUGAUUUGUGGAUGCCACUUUACAUUAUGUGGCCUCCUUAAUUGGUAUUUUGAUGUGACACGGAACACUUAACGCGGUAAUUUAAUUUCUUAACGUAAUUGACAAUUUCAAUGAAAAUCCAUGACCUAUCAUAUCAGACCACCAAACCAAACCCAACUGAAUUAAACUAUUGGAAGAGGAGAAAACAUGGGUCCUAAUUCAAAUUAACAUUCAUAAUUCGCCAUCAUUGACGGGAAGACCCGAAUUAAUCCCCUUAAUUAUGCCACGAAGAAGCAUAAACACAUUUUAAGAAUAACAUCUGCUCUGUGAGAGUUUGUGGAGACAGACAGAUCCACCACCCACCAUCCAGCUGGUUCUCAAAAGGCAAUUCUAAUGCUACCUGCGGGUCGUGAAGAAAAGAGGAAGAUUUUUCAAUUUAAUUAGCCCCCAAAAAAUAGCAUGGAAAAUACCCCCAAAGGGCCCUAAAUAUACCCUUACCCACUGGGCAUAUUUGUCAAUAAACACUGAAAUUAGGGAUUUUUUCAGGACCCAAACACAAUUGCUAUAGUCGGUGACCCAGAGCCUAUCAAAUUAUAAACUCAUUACGUGUUGCAGUUGGAAUUACAGCUUUAUUCUGUUAGAAUAAAUGAUUAAUUUACACCGACUUGGCUACGCCGCUUUUUUGGUCCAAGCGAAAAUAAAAUAAUUGGAUCUGGAUUUGUAAUUUGCCGCUUUUUAUUUGCAGGUAAUGAAAAUGAAAUAACAAUUUGGAUAUUAGUUAAUUUUGAUAUCACAAGCUAGACAAACACCAUUCUCAAAGCAACUCAAGCAUCAAACACAGGAGGAGGAGGAGGAGGAAGACAAACGAAAUAAAAUCAAUGAAUUAUUUACUCAUAAUAAGGAUAAUAAUCGAAAUCCACAAAUACAAAACCCAUAGUAAUAAACCAAGUGCAUUAUAUAUGUAGUCUAUGCACCACAAAAACCCAUAUGACACUGAAAAUCCUAUAGAUCCAUAAUCACCAGCUACUAAAAUGACAAACGCUACUAAUAAAAAACCAAUCAGAAACCCAACCGCUCUCUACACAGCCCCAACCAUAGUUGCAGUAGUAAGCGAAGACUCAAACCCUGAGCGCAGAUCCGAAGACGAUAGCGGCGAAGGCGGCGGCGAAAGCAGAGAUGAACGACGGGGAGAUGGAGGCGGAUGCGGAGGUUGGGCUAGGAGCUGGAGAUUCGGCGGCCUGAGCGGCGCCGAUGACAGAAAGGACGGUGACGAAGACCGCCAUGAGAGCCACGAGUGAAGUUGCCUUUGAGACUGCCAUUGUUGAUUGGUGUGAGAGUUUCUUGUGCUUCGGAAUCUAGGGUUUUGGGAAUACGCCGAGAGACUGAAGCACAAAUAUCAGAGGUGGAAUGAAGUAGGCUCAAGGAACGUAUUUAUAGCGGGGAUUUUGGGCUGGGGUCGGGCAGCCUGGGCAGCUGCCCGGUUCUACAGGCUGGCUACUUGUGAUUGGUUCAGCGCGACAGCUCACACCGCUGGUCGGGGUAAAUUUUUCUCUGUGGGCCCCACUAGAAACCAGUGUCUACGCGGAGUCGUUUCACGCACGAUUUUACCUUCGUCUGAAACGACGCCGUGUGUUCACAUUCCUUAACGAAAGGGCUUUUCGCUUCGCGGCCGAGUCGACUCAGUGGAGAAUAUAUUCGCAAGAAUCUUCUAGCUUGCGACGCGCGGAUCAGAUUCUGUCCGUACGGUGUCAUUUGAGUCACAUCACAUGAUGAACGGUCCAGAUGAACCCGUGGGAACACGUGGGAAUGGAAGAGGUUAUAACGGUUUCGCGGUAAAAAAAUUUGGUUUUUUAUUUAUUUUUAAACUUAAAAAAUGGCCCACAAUGCGCAAUCAGGGAGAUUACAGCGCAGAAAACACAGAGAGGAUGCGUGACUUUCUGGUGAGCGACUCGAUGGCCAACGGGCGAUCGACACGUGGGGAUUUCGAAAAAGACAGGUUGUUAAAUUGCGAGGAAAAAGAUACGACAGGUGUAGGGUGGGAUUUGGUUCUGUUGCUUCUGAUAUUUUUAUUUCGCGGGAUUUCCAGAACAUUCGCUUGGCAUUUUGCGUUUUGGAGUUGAGGGGCGCACAUGCGUGCGGGUGAAGUUACCGUAAUGCCCUUGAGAGUGAUUGGGUGCGUGUCAAUUUUAUAUUCACGUUCAUUAUGAGGAGCUAUGAGUAUCUACUUAAGAAAACCAAAAGGAAUGUGGCGCUGAAUCUGAAUGGGUUUGAAGUCCAUUAAUGCGUUCCAGGGCUUUUCAACAUUUUGUUCCAUAUUCCAUGCCGUGCCCACUGGCUAAUGGGUUUGAUGUGGGCCCAACAUAUUCUUUUCUCGUCAAAUCCAAAUAAAGAGGCCGGGUGUUACGGGAGCUCCUAUAAUCCAGGUCGGUUUAUGUCGUCGAAGUUUCAAUUCAGCUGUCUAAUAAUAAUACUCUUAAAGUGUUGUUGAACGAACUCACAAAUUAACUGUGUUCACUUUACUAAUAAACUAUUUAUUGAAUUAUCAAUUUGCUCUAGUAUAAAAUGACCAAAAAUGAUAUAUUGAAUUGUGAAAUAAAUGUAAUGUUAAUAAAUACACCAUACACUAAAUAAAUAAAUAAAAAUUACACCUUUCUCACUAUAUUCAACCAAAUUGAACUUUUGUUUUCUUUUUCUUUUUCUUUUUCUUUUUCUUUUUUGGGUUUGUUUGUUAACCUCAAUAAUAAUAAAUGAAUAAUUAGGGAGGGACCAACCAUAAAGCCAAGCAGGAUUAACAAAUAUGUAUAGAGAUGGGUUAGUAUUAUGAGACAACCAUCACAAUGUCUGUCUGAUUCAUAUAGAACUGCAUAAUUAAUGACAAUGAUGAUAUUAGUGUGUAUCAGGGGUAUUUUUAAAGUUUUUAUAAUUGUGUAUUAGUGUGUAUCAGGGGUAUUUUUGGUAGUUAAAUAUGGUGUACUUAGUUAAUUUUACAUUUUGAUUUAAAUAUUAAAGUAUGUUUAGAUCAUAGGGUGUACUUAGUUAAUUUCAGAGUUCGUUUAGCAAUGCUCUACUUUUAUUGAUCAGACAACUAUGAAGACUCCCACACUAUAGCCUCAUACAAGUGGUACGCAGCAUAAAUGGGCAUGUAAACCAUAGAGGACCAAGAUAUAGAACCGUUGACGCACGUAAGUUCCACAAUACUGUUAAUAUAUGUGCGGGCGACUCCGAGUAACUGUUAACCUAGAGUCAGAGAAAUGAAAUUCAAAUAUAAAAUAUUUUAUUCUAAUGUCGAUUUCUGAAUACAAAAAUGUGAAUUUGAUGCAGUGCUAAAUAAGGUGUGCUACUUCUCUGUACAUCUGAUACUGAUACUGUUGUGGACGGGGGUUUUGGCCAAAGAGCUAUCAAGUGAACCUCAACUAAUAAUAAUAUUACAGCUGAGGUUGAAUUCUAUGAUGACAAAUAACACACACCACAAACAGGGAAUUUUGCAUGCUCUUCGGCUAGAGAAGUUUGAUUUGACUGAGGAUUUAUGUGUUAGAAGCCCAAAAACUUUGGUGCUAAAUGCAGAAGGGGUUCCAUAGCACUUGGAGCAAAUUUUCUUCCAAAAAGAAAGCAGAUUGAAGAGUUCCGGUCGUUGUAAGUGCAGCGAUGACCCUCGAGCAUUCUCUUGAAGAAUUCCUCAGUGAUAUCAGCUCUUCCAAAGGUAGCUGGGUGAGGUCCACCCCUUGACCAAUCCACCCAAGUGAUGCUUCUGUUUGCUAAGGAAUUCCCUGCUUGAAUGGUUAGCAUGGUGGGGAAAUAGUGCUCAUCAACAUAACAUGCGGGUCUACAGAACUUUUCAAAUUUUUGGUAAAAUGUCGUAUCUUCGACAAUGCUGAUGGCAAGCUUCCGGUUAACUUCAAACCAUUGGGAGCCCUUGCGCCACUGGGUUAUAUUCACUUCAGGUGCCAUGUUAUUAUUAUAGCGUCCUCUCCCGAAUGGCCCAGGGUCGUCAAAUGCACCGAUGAAGCUGUACUUGGAUUUCAUUAAGUAGUGGUAAAUGACACUGAAGUUAUAGAGCGGAAUGCAAGAUUCGGAAACAAGAAUGAACCAUUCAUUGGAUAUGUCAAGCAAUGCAUUAGCAAGGAGCCUUCUCUCAGCAUCACACAUACUCAUUCUUCCCCACUCAGAAACCUGCACAGCAGAAAACCAAAACUCUUAGCAGAUAUGUAAGAGAUAUUGCAUAAUAUCUAUCCAGAUUUGAACAGAAAAAAUUUCUACAGCAGCAACCAAGAUGACCUCAAAGAAAUUAGACAAAACAAGUUAUCCUCAAGCUACAAAGCAACAACAAUAUAAUUUUCCCUGGAUACUCUGUUUUUGAAGCUACUAACUGCGGAUCAUGAGUUUCUCUUUUGUUCAAAACACCCAGGUUAAAAAGUAAAACAAGCAGAGAUUUUAUGGAAUAUGUUCAUGAAUCUGAAAUAAAUACUUGGUAUGUUUCUAUACAAGCUUGAACUCUAUCACAAAGCAUCAUUCACAUAAAUAAUUAAUUUCUUCCUCAUAACCUGAAGGCAGAUAUCAUGACAGUAUGGAAAUGUCAUGAUUGUGGCACGAGAACAAGUCAGGAAUCAAGAACGUAGAUUAAAAAAAAAACAUCAGGACUAUGUGAAGAGGUCCAGGGUGCCACCCCAGUAGUCAAUGCCUUUACAUCAGCUGUUCAUCAUGUACGAAAACAUUUAUGCAUCUGCUUUUUUCAUGUUUAUAAACACAGGUGUUGUAAUAGUCUCAAGAUCCAAAAGUUAGCAGCAGAUGGAGUGGACCUAGUGGAGUUUCACAUGCAGGAUUGUCAAAUUCAUGGAAUAAAGAGUCAAAUCCAUUCACUUAGUUGAGUUUGCACUUGACACACGAGUCCAUGGAACAAAUAGGGCGUCCUGCCCUCCCCAAGAGAUGGUCUAUAUAUCCUACAUCACUGUAAUUCUCAAUACAUGAACAUGAUAAAACUGACCUGUUCCUUUCUACCAACACACAGAAAGGUAGUUUUAACCCUUUCUUUGAUGAUAAGCAAAAAUUACCAACUCUUGGAAAGAUGAAUUUCGGAUUUCAUCAUGUCUUAAGCUUCACAUACAUAACCUAACAUUUUUAAAUGCAAGAGACCAGGGUGUGUGCUCACCACAGAGCAAAUAUAGGAAAUCAAGAUGUGCAGAAAGUAAAAACCAGAUAAACCAGUGAUAGAGAACUAGAUAUCUACGAAUUUACCUCAAAAUAAAAAAUAAAAAAAUAAUUUUGUACUUGCUGAAGGAUGCUUAGUAGAACAUGCAAUCUCACAAAGGAUAGAAUAUGGACCUGGCUAGGAAUGUGUCUCCCAUAAAAAACGGACGAAGUGUGAAAAUGAGGUUGAAAUGACGGCAGUGAAUGAACGUAGAUUGAAUAACGUCCUUCAUGUCCCUUCAGAAACCUCUCCCAAAGGGGUGCCAGCGGCAACGGCCCCCUGGUCAAGAACAUAAAUGCAAUCUUUGGAACUCUCUCAAAAGGAUACUUCUUUAUUCUAGGCAUAAGAGAAGCCCUCCACAAUAAUUCCUUAUCAGUCAUAGUGUGUUGAAGAUUUGAUGGCGGCUUAAUCCACCGGUCCAAACCACUCGGUUCCUCAUAGCAUGGCUGGAAAGAGGACGUGACCGUUGUCAUCACCCCAUUAAUUCCAAAAUGACGAAUCGUCAAUAUGCUAAUGACUGAGAAAGUAAUACAGAAAAGCACAAACAGCACAAACAACUGAAGUAGCCUUAUCGGCAAUGCCUUGGUUUGGUUUGUCCUGCCAGUAACUCCGGGGUCCUUGCCUUCCUCUAAUGGCACAACCCUUGAUUGCAUGGUUUGCAUCUUGAUUAAAACACUGCACCAAAAUCAAUUUCUAGCUCUUCUGAUUACUACAGAGUACCUCCAAGUCUCAAAAUUUUGGACACCUAUUGACUUCUCUCAAACAAGAAAACCCACAGUCCAAAAUUGCAUCUUGCAUCACAAACGGUGAAGUGAACACGAAUUUAAUCACAUUGGAAUCUGAAUCACUCAGUUUUCUUCAAAACUGCAACCCCACCAAAUAAAAACACACUGCACAGAUCUGAAACUAAUACUACAGUACUGAACACAUACUGCGUAAAAAAUUUUAACUUCAGCACAUGGGUUCUUAAUAAACUGAGCUUAUAUCAACGAUCUAAGCUAAGAUCAUACAAAUAUGGAUCGAACUUCUCUUUCACCAGAGAAAAAAGUAUGACAUACCAUGUGACUUUUGAGGUUGAAAGCUAAAUUGAUGAAGACGAAUGAAGGAUUUAGAUCCUUGUAUUUGACUGCUUGAAUUGCGCCCAAGAAUACGGGAAGUGGUCAAUUGGAUGAAGAACAAGAGAACAGAAGGAGGAGGUCACGCAGAGGAGACUUUGGCGGCAGAAACAAAAAGGUGCAGUGACCAAUAAUAAUGAGAGAGUUUGAAAAACUUGGGGAGAAGUCUUGACCGAGUGUGCGCGUUGUGUGUGAGAUGAGAGAAUUGUGAGGAAGACGACGACUCUGUGAUGAUCUGUAGAAUCUCAAGUUUUAAGAAUGUCUCUCACACGGUGCGGUGCGAGUGAGGAGGGAGAGGGGAUCCAGCUUGUCGGCUAACUUGGGAGUGUGAUAUAUAAGCACCCAUCCAGUUUCAUAGCUUGGUGGAAAAACGAACUUGCCUCAUCUGUUGCGUGUGUGUAUUUUUGGGUAAAUUCAUUAGUGACUAAAAUGAUAAAAAUCGACCUUCGGAUGCGAUUACUAUGUUUUGAUUAUUUUUUUUCUUUUUUAGUAGAAGCGAUAGUUUCUAAACUGAAUGAAAGUGGAAUUUCUCACACACACACAUCUAUAAUGUCAUGGAGAUUCAAACUUGAGACCUCUAUUAUGCAAGUUAAAAUUUUUCCACGCAAUAGACCCUGUUGGCGAUACACUUUGAUUUUAAGAUGGGCAGAUAACAAUAGAAACUUUAUUUUAUUUAUUAUUAAUUGCAAGCACCCUAUUGGAACACGUUUCACCCUAUUGGAGCAUAAUUAGCAUCAAAGCAAGAAAAUCAACUAUUUUCCCCCCUCAUAGCCGCAUAAAAGAACAGAUAAAAGGAUAGAGUAUAGAAGCCUAAGUACAGAUGUAAAUGUAAUUAUUGGUUAGAGAUUGGGUUUAGUUUAAACAAGUUAAUGAGGCUUUGAUUGGUUGUUGAAGCUUAAUGUCUUAUGGUGGUGGAGAACCCAAUUGUAUCAAACAACGUAAUAAACACGACGUGGUGUAGUUGGGCAGACCGCAAGUCUUGGCCUCUAGUUAGGUGGGAUUUCAGUUCUUUCACCAAACCAAACAAGCCAUGAGGAAAGCUAAAGAAAGUCUAAAGGUAGGAGCCAUAUGUAGGAUCAAAUCUGCCUAGUAACCAGUUGUAUAUCCCCUUCUGUCUACAACACUUUACAUUACGUAAUCGGUUGCAUAUUUCUAUUCUAUCUGUUUAAAACAAUCAUCAUCUAUAUAUAUAAAGCAAAAGGUAGAGAAUGGUGAAACAUUCAAAAUACCAGAAAAUAUCCUUGGUUAAUGCAAACAUUAAGAACUAAACUUAUUAAUUAAAUGAGGAUAAUAUGGUAAAUUUACACUUUUUAUAAAAAAUUAAAAUUAAAUAAAAAAUAAUGGAUCUUAUUUUUAUGGAACACUUUUUAAUUCUAAAAAAAUUUUAAAUUUUUUUUAAAAAAAUGCCUCUCGCAAGCGCGUGCAGAGAAGCUAGUGUUACAUAAUGAGUGUUGUAGACACGAGAAUACAAAACCGGAGAUAGCUAAGAUUCUCUCCAUAUGUUGAGUCUACACCUACCUACAACCGCAUCUAAGAUUCCCCCAGCAAUAAGGACACAGGGACAGCUGAGGAUCCAAAAUGGUUCAUAUACAUGGGGUCCCGAUCUCGAUCUAAACUUCGUUAAAAAUAAAGUUGAUUGGUUGAUAGAAUCAACCACACUCAAAAAAACAAGCAGUUUUAACUCGAGAGAGGAGUAGAAUCAACCACACUAAAAAAAAUAAGCAGUUUUAACUCGAGAGAGGAGUAGAAUCAUAAAGCCUUCGCUGCUGUGAAUGGCGAUCCUGCAAAACAAUUCAUGAUGUAACUGUGAUUUGCAAAGAAAACCAUCCAUGCAUUCAUUUUGAACGUGUGAUAUAAUAACACGUCAUAUCGACAAUGAGAUCCUUGAAAACUGAGCAACGUCACAACAUUAGGUCUGUAAUUUGCCAGUAUAUCUACUGUCUAUGAAAACGCCAAAGUUGAAGACUAAAACUAAGAUACUACAGAGCGUUUUCUGCUCACAGUCACAGCACAUGAAACAGCUAAGAUGUAGAUGUUUCUAUCUUAUUCACAAAGGAACAGUUAGCUCCACAUCCCAAAUUCUAUAUACCAUGGCAUAUUUCUUGUAGCAUAUACCACUCUACUUCACCACAAAACUGGCACGGAGGUUGGAAACCAUAACUGGGCACUCUCCCUUCUCAUCAUAUUCAACAAAGUCCCCUCCCGACAAGUCAACAUGGUCAAAUUUUGUCCCUUCCACCUACAAGAAUGAACACUAGUUUAAGUUGAAAUAAAGAUGCAUCCAGCAGAGUCGAUUGCAGUACAUAAAAAUGAAAACUAGAACUUCAAAAAUCGAAACUAUUCUCCUAUUUUCAAAAAUUCAACAAUUCAAAUGCAAAAAUUCAAUUCACUGGGGCCUCUAGUAAUUCGUUUUUCACUCCUUGUUUCUUUUUCUAAAUUUCAUUAUCAAUCUAAUUUUCACUUUUAUUCUCCUUGGGGUAGGGAAUGGCGAUAGGCGGGCAUGACACUCCUGGCCAAGCAGAACAGUAAAAAUGAGUUGACAUUUGGUGACACCAUCUCUGGUCCAAUCCACAUGGUAGGCUUCCAUAGUAAAUCUAGUGUACAAGACAAUUAUACUGUUUGUGGGAUGCCCUUAACGUCAGAAAAAUAAAAUAUCACUAUUUUCUGCAGUUCCCACCUCUUGAAUAUGAUAUGCUCAUGAGAUGUACUAACCUUAAGAUCUUUAUGCUAAAGGACAGAGACCUGAGCUUUCUCACCCCAAAAAGAAAGGAUCAGAACUCAAAAGGACAAAAAUACCAAAAUAAGCUUUGAAAGGCGCUACCACAUUAUGGAAUAGGAUAUGCAAUCCUUAAUGCUUAAUGUACUAUGUACUAUAAGUACAAACAAGGAGAGUUAAGAAGAGAAGAAUAAAAGAAUUUAUACAUAUGCGCUGAAGUUCAUAGGAGUUAGUGAGAUUUAGUGCUUAGGAAUGUUCGCACGAUUACUAUUUAUAAGACCAUUCAGCUCAAAGGUCCCAGCAAAGUCAUUUUCCAUCCAUAAGUACAAUAAGAAAGUUUUAUACAAUAUGCUACAUAAUUGGAAGGUGGUGUGUGAAGAAGAGAAACUUACAGAUUCAACCUUCCACCCACUAGCAAAUACAUAGUCCACAGGCUCAUAACCCCUGCACUCAAACAUCAUCAAGGGGGAAAAUUUCCUUUCUUCACACAUUUGCUGGGUCAGUGGUUUACCAUGACCUGGCAUCAUUGUCAGAGUUCCAUCCCUUCCACAAAACUUGCACUACAAGGGGAGAUGCAAAUCACCACACAUAUAUAGCAAACUUAACCAGAAAAUAUUCGUUCAAAGAUAAAACAUAAAGGGAACAACCCCCAUAUCCAUGAAUUGAAGAUAUGCAAUAGUAAUAACUUAUGUCAACGUAGUUGACUCAUAUGUCAUCAAAUAGAAACUGCACAGAGAAAUGUGUUGGAACCCACACAUGUAAACUUUAACCAAGAGAAGAGAAAUGAAAUCCCGAUAAAAUCUCAAAGUUGUCGCUACAAUUAGGCACCCAAACAAACAAAGCAUUUGCUCAACCAAACAAGCAUACUACAGAAAACACAAACUACCAUAACUCUUCUGUUCCUUUCCUUCUAUUUCCUCAGAAACUAAAUAUACUUCAAUAAGCUCUUAAAUUCCAAAGCCCAUUGAGCAAUUAGUAGAGAGAGAGAGAGAGAGAGAGAGAGAGAGAGAGAGAGAUAAUGGUUACCUUCUGAACGAGAUUAACGGUUGCCUUGCCCGAUGGAAGAGGAACAGUCUCGUUCAAGCUCACACAAGUUUCCCUCUGGCUCAGCUCUCCACACCUCUCACAUUUCAACUGCAAGAUUACAAAAAGAAUAGAAUCAUGUUAAUAAUGACUAUAUCAAGCUCGGGAGACUAAGCGACGAACAUCGACGUCAAUUUUAAGCUACAACCCCUAGAAAUCUGAACACGAACACCAACUAUAAUGACAAAAUCGACUGCAUUUUUGGAGCAAAAAACUUGACGAAAGGAAAUGAAGGUGACCUUGAAGAGAUAGGAAAAGUUGGGGUCGUUGCAGCCUUCCUGGGGCUGAAGGUUCGUCAGGUUCUCGAGGUCCGCAGCGAUCUGAAGUAAAAAUUUCACCAUUUUCGAUUUGGCGUCAAUCUCGAGCUGCUCACCGCGUCUUUGUCUCACUGUGUGUAGCUAGUGGCAGGAUGAGUAAUAAAUAAGGGGGGCUUGGGCGACGAAUAGACGCUAUCAGUUAAACGGCGUCGUUGUGCGGAAUUUAAUUUUUUUCCGACACGGGGAUUUUUAGCUCAAGUUAACUACAAUUUACCCUAAAAUCGAUGGCCUAUGUUCGAAUCAUCUUUCUUAAUAUCGUUUGUAUUUUAAAAAAUAUUAAAUUAUAUGAAUCAUAUUGUGAUACCUGUUACAAAGAGAAGUUUAAUAUUAUGAAAGUCUUUCAAGUAGCAAAUGUGAAUUAGGUCAGUUAGUCAAAGUAGUGUGUCCAUCUUUUUUCACAUUAGUUUUUAGAUUUAUGAUAAUAGUACUUCAUUUGAAAUUUUGAAGGCCAUUGAAGUGAAGGAACCAAAGCAAUAUUGUAGGAAUUUAACAAUCAUUUUGCCAUUCUAAUUUGUGAGGACACGUCAUAAUGUUAGUCCUCAUACCAUUUUCCAUUUUACACACCGCAGUUCAAAUAUUGGACCAAAAAACAAAACGAAAUUGGCAUGAUUGGAAGGUGAACCAUGCAAAGUUUGCAGAUAUGUAAUCAGAAUCAUGUGCUACAUAUUAUGGAGGCACUGUCCUUGAAGAGAUUCAACUAGUGUUGGGAUCUUAGCCCAUCUCAUAUACUGAAAGAAAGAUAAUUUCCAUUUCAUGAUUUUGGGUGUUUGUGAUUAGUUAACAACAAAUUAAUGGGGGGAAGGGGGUUGUUUGGUGGUGAAGGGAUUGGAAUAAGGGGCAUAAUGGUAAUUAUGUUGGGAGCAACUGUGACUCUUAUUAGAUGUGGGGUGCUUGUGGAGGGUAAGUUGUUCUCUAAACAGAAGAUUUUGGAAGCCGAAAGACAAUUAAACCAACUUAGAAGGCCUGCAGUUAAAACCAUUCAGGUAAGAAUUGUCCAGAACUUGAGCCCUUCACAUAAGUUUUCUGCAUUGUAUUCAUUUACUCAGUUCAUAUUAAUCUCUAUGAUUGCUUGUAGAGUGAAGAUGGUGAUAUCAUUGAUUGCAUUGACAUCUACAAGCAGCCAGCUUUUGAUCAUCCUGCUCUCAGAAACCACACCAUCCAGGUCUGCCUUCUGUUGUGCAAGUUGAAAGUAGACAAAGAUUUACUCUGCAACUUUAAUCUUUUUGCUACCAUAUAACAACUGCUUUGAGUCUUUUUUUCAGAUGGCACCAACAUAUGAUACAACCAAGGAGACAAAGACAAUGAAAAAAAUGGACAGAUGGAAGAAGAGGAAUGAAGAACAAUCUCCCAUUACCGUGAAGCAAACAUGGCACAAAAGUGGAAGCUGUCCUCAGGGAACAAUCCCGGUCCGAAGAAUCCAGAAAAAGGAGCUUCUGAGAGCUAGCUUGGUUAAGGACUAUGGAAGAAAGAAGCACAGUUCUACCUUGUCUCGUCAUGUUUCACAGUUAAGUGACAACAAAACUGUGUACCUUCAACGAGCAAACCACUCGGUACAUCAAUUCCCCACACACACAUUUUUAAUUCAUUGGAAAAUUAACUACAACUAUACACCUAAUGAAGAGGGUUUUUUUUUCUCUGUGUGUAAUUUGUGAUGGCAUCAGAAGGCAAUAUUGUUUACAGAAGGGUACAGAUAUAAUGGAGCCAAAGGAGACAUCAAAGUUUAUAACCCAUCUGUCGAGCUUGAUGAUGAAUAUAGUACUUCUCAAGUUUGUCUCAUAAAUGGUGCUUAUUAUGACUUUGAGAGUGUUGAAUCUGGAUGGGCGGUAUAUAUAUAUUAACAUAAUAAACCCUUUCACUUUCAUCUUGAAGCUACUUACUUCUUCUGUCAUAUUAUGUUCAUGGCAUAACUUUUUAGUCUGAAAAAUUACUCUAAUCCCUCUUCAGGUAAAUCCCAGUGUAUACGGGGACAGACAGACUCGAUUUUUCGUGUAUUGGACUGUAAGCAGCCAUGAAUAAAGACUUAACAUUCAUGCGAGUAAUUCCACUAGAUUUGAUGUGAUUUCUGAUGUUUCUGCAGGUUGAUGGCUCACAGAAAACUGGUUGCUUUGAUCUCACUUGUCCUGGAUUUGUUCAGACUAGCCAUGAAAUUGCUCUUGGUGCAGCAAUCCAUCCAAUCUCUGUUCCUCAUGGGCUUCCAUAUCAAAUAAUAGUCUACAUCUACAAGGUCAGGUCAACAGUUUAACAACAUAACGCGCUUGAUGAACAGUUUAGCAACAUAACAUGUCUAACAUUAUUCGUAAUACUAAAUAAGUUUUCCUAUCGUAUCUUCAAUUGAAUUUCUUUUUUGUUUUGCCUCCAAAUUUAGGAUCCAGUAACAAGCAACUGGUGGGUGCAAUAUGGGGAGAGAAUUAACAUCGGUUACUGGCCGCCGGAGCUGUUUGUUUUAUUGAGCUACCAUGCAACAAGUGUUGAAUGGGGAGGUGAAGUUUAUAGCUCAAGAGUGGGAACUACGCCUCACACAAGAACAGAUAUGGGCAGUGGACACUUUGCUGAGUCAUCAGUUUGGGGGACUUCAGGCGUCAUAAAAAGAAUUCGAGUACAUGAGAAUUCACCUGGGCUGAAAUUCCCUGAUAUAGUUAAUACUUUGAUGGAUGAGUUCAACUGUUAUGAUGUCAAGUAUCUUUCGGAUUAUGUUGAAGAUCCUGAGUUCUAUUAUGGAGGGCCUGGUAGAAAUUAUAUGUGCCCUUAAGCUUAUGUUAACUUUGCUAGGACUUGUUUAAGACCCCAUUAGAAUGGGUAAUUAUGUUGUUUUAAACUUUCAUUAGUUAUUUUUUCAAUAUCAAACUCUGUAAACCCCAUCUUAUUUCUCAAAAUGACAUAGUUUUAGACAUAGACACGAUACAAGCACUAAAAACACAAGUGGAUAAUCCUAUUUCGUCCCCAAAAGGAAAAGCCUUAGAGAGUGGAAAUCUCCUAAUAAAUUGGUAAAAAUUAGGCAUAUUAAUUUUAAUUUCUAUCCAGAGGUUGCGCAAUAUUUGAAUUCAGAUUUAGAGGGAAGUGAAGUUUUUGGUGUAUAGGCAUCGAUUGUGUGUUACACUAACAUAACAUGUAUAACUUUGCACAAACGACUUGGAAUUUCAUUUUUUAUAUAUAUAAUAAUCGAGAAAAAUAUUUGUCUCAUUUCUUAAAAUGAGUCAUUCCUCCUUACAUGCAAAUUACAAUUUGACAUGAUCUACACGUGUUAGGUUGACUCGUUUAAUUCUACUAUUGACACGUAGCAUUAUCUCCUAAUAACAUAGAAAUUUAACAAUCAUACUGUAGAAAUUUAACAAUCAGUUCAUACUGUAGAAACCAAGCCAUACUGUAGAAAUUUAACGAUCAGUUCUUCUUUGGCUAAAGAUUUAUGUAGCUGGGUUUACCAAGGUUAAGGACACACUUGUCCAAAUAUUCAACAGCUACCAUUUUGAAUUUAACACUUGGCAAUUCAAAUAUAGAAUAAAAAUGUGAAAUUUGCAUGAUUUGGAAGGUGAAUCAUGCAAAUUUUGCAGUAUAUGUAGUUUGCAGAAGAUAUGUAUGCUGCACAUUGUGGGUGGCAUUGUCCUUAAAUAACCUAAGCUUAACUUAGAUUCUGAAAGCAAGAUAAUCAGUUUCCAUUUUAUGAUUUUGGGUAUUUAAAUUACCUGAGAUUUAGUAUAUAAUCAAACAAAUGGGGAAAGGGUUGUGUAGUGGUGAAGUGAUUAGAUUAAGGGGGAUGAAGAUGAUGGUAAUUAUGUUGGGAGUGACAGUGACUCUAAUUAGAUUUGGGGUGCUUGUAGAGGGUGAUUUGUUCUCUAAACAAAAGAUUUUGGAAGUUGAAAGAAAAUUAACCCAACUUAGAAGACCUGCAGUUAAAACCAUUCAGGUUUGAAUUGUCCAGAAUGAGCCCUCCACACAUAAGUUUUUUUAUUAUUGUAUUCAUUCUCAGCUCAAAUGAUUGUUUGCAGAGUGAGGAUGGUGAUAUCAUUGAUUGCAUUGACAUUUACAAGCAGCCAGCUUUUGGUCAUCCUGCUCUCAGAAACCACACCAUCCAGGUCUGCCUUUCUGUUGUUCUAGCUGAAAGUAAAAAAAAGAAAAGAUUUACUCUGCAACUUCAAUCUUUUUACUACCAUAUAACAAGUGGUUUGAGUCUUUUUUUAGAUGGCACCUACAUAUGAUGCAACAAAGGAGACAAAGACAAUGGGAAAAAUGGACAGAUGGAAGAAGAGGAAUGAAGAACAAUCUCCCACUACAGUGAAGCAGACAUGGCACAAAAGUGGAAGCUGUCCUCAGGGAACAAUCCCGGUCCGAAGAAUCCGGAAAAAGGAGCUUCUGAGAGCCAGCUCGGUUAAGGACCAUGGAAGAAAGAAGCACAGUUCUACCCUGUCUCGUCAUGUUUCAGAGUUCAGUGACAACAAAACUGUGAACCUUCAACGAGCAAACCACUCGGUACACCAAUUCUCCACACACACAUUUUUUAAUUAAUUGGUAAAUUAACUACAACUAUACAUCUAAUGGAGAGGGGUUUUUUUGUUUUUUGGUUUUUGUGUUUGUGUAAUUUGUGAUGGCCUCAGAAGGCAAUAUUGUUUACAGAUGGGUAUAGAUAUAAUGGAGCCAAAGGAGACAUCAAAGUUUAUAACCCUGCUGUUGAGCUUGAUGAUGAAUAUAGUACUUCUCAAGUUUGUCUCAUAAAUGGUGCUUAUUAUGACUUUGAGAGUGUUGAAUCUGGAUGGGCGGUAUAUAUAUUAAAAUUAAUAAACCUUUUCACUUUCAUCUUGAAGCUACUUACUUCUGUUACAUUUUAAGUUCACGGCAUUACUUUUUAGUCUGAAAAAAUGCUCUGAAUCCCUUCAGGUAAAUCCCAGCGUAUACGGGGACAGACAGACUCGAUUUUUCGUAUACUGGACUGUAAGCUGGCAUGAAUCAUAAAUUAGUUUUCAUAUGAGUAAUUCCACUAGAUUUGAUAUGAUUUCUGAUGUUCCUGCAGGUUGAUGGUUCAAAGAAAACUGGUUGCUUUGAUCUCACUUGUCCUGGAUUUGUUCAGACUAGCCAUGAAAUUGCUCUUGGUGCAGCCAUCUAUCCAAUCUCUGUUCCUAAUGGGCUUCCAUAUCAAAUAAUAGUCUACAUCUACAAGGUCAGGUCAAUAAUUUAACAACAUAACGUACCUAACCGAUAGUUUAGCAACAUAACAUGUCAACAUUACUACUUGUAACACGAUAAUAGGUUUUCUUCUCGUAUCUUCGAUUGAAUUUCUUUCUGUUUUUGUCUCCAAAUAUAGGAUCCGGUAACAAGCAAUUGGUGGGUGCAAUAUGGGGAGAAAAUUAACGUCGGUUAUUGGCCGCCGGAGCUGUUUGUUGCACUGAGCUACCAUGCAACGAGUGCUGAAUGGGGAGGUGAAGUUUAUAGCUCAAGAGUGGGAACAACUCCUCACACAAAAACAGAUAUGGGCAGUGGACACUUUGCUGAUUCUGUUUGGGGGACUUCAGGCGCCAUAAGAAGAAUCCGAAUACAUGAGAAUUCACCUGGGCUGAAAUUCCCUGAUAUAGUUACUACUUUGAUGGAUGAGUUCAACUGUUAUAAUGUUAGGUAUCUGUCAGAUUAUGUUGAAGAUCCUGAGUUCUAUUAUGGAGGGCCUGGCAGAAAUUAUAUGUGCCCUUAAGCUUAGCUUAGCUUUGCUAGGACUUGUUUAAGACCCAUUAGAAUGGGUAAUUAUGUCGUUUUAAACUUUCAUUUAUUUUUCCAAUAUAAACUAUAAAAACCCAAAACUCUUAUCCUCAAAAUAACGUAGUUUUGGACAUAAACACCAAAAACACAGAUGAUUCUAUUUGUGAGAAUGUGAAGGUAAAGAGUCCCACAUUGGAAAGUUGAGAAACCUAGCAAGGGCUUAUAAGGAGUUGGGUUACUCCCCCCAUUGCCAAUUGGUUUUGGGGUAGAACCUCAACUUCCUUCAUGGUAUCAGAGCAAGGCUUCACAUGUUGAGCCCAACAGCCACACGUGCUCCCACGUCACCCAAUAUGUGUUGUCCACGUGUUAGGCUUGAAAGUUCGCCACACGUGCGGGGGCGUGUUGAGAGUGUUUGUCCCACAUUGAAAUGUUAAGGGACCUAGCCUGGGUUUAUAAGGAGUUGGGCAACUCCCCCCAUUGCCAAUUGGUUUUGGGGUGGAACCUCAACUUCCUUCAUGGUAUCAGAGCAAGGCUUCACGUGUUGGGCCCAACGGCCACACGUGCUCCCACGUCACCCAAUAUGUGUUGUCCACGUGUUAGGCUUGAAAGUUCGCCACACGUGCGGGGGCGUGUUGAGAGUGUCACGUGCUCCACGUCACCCAAAAUGUGUUGUCCACGUGUUAGGCUUGAAAAUUCGCCACACGUGCGGGGACGUGUGAGAAUGUGAAGGUAAAGAGUCCCACAUUGGAAAGUUGAGAAACCUAGCAAGGGCUUAUAAGGAGUUGGGUUACUCCCCCCAUUGCCAAUUGGUUUUGGGGUGGAACCUCAACUUCCUUCACUAUUUCAUCCCAAAAAAGAAAAGCCUUAUGGAGUGGAAAUCUCCUCAUUAAUUGGUAAAAUUUUGCGUUAGUUACUUACCAUCUUCAAUUUGACCGAAGUUCUAUCCAAAGGUUGCACAAUAUUUGAAUUUAGAUUUAGAGAGAAGUGACGUUUUUGGUGUAUUGGCGUCGAUUAUGUAUACAUUAACAAGUUCAAUUUUGCACAAAGGACUUGGAAUUUUUUUAUUUUUUUUAUAAAUAAUAAAUCAAGAAAAAUAUUUGGUUCCUUGUUAAAAAUGAGUCAUUCAUUUUCAGAAUGCAAAUUAAUUUGACAUGAGUGUAAAUUUUUUAACAUGCUUUUAAUAAGUUAUUUAUGUAUAAGUGUUAAGUUGCGAUUUGAAUGUAAGGAGAAACGACUCAGUUAGUUCUAUAAAUCAAACUAGAAGAAACACAUACACAUCCGUGUGUAAUUUGCUAAUUUGUAAUACCGGUUGCAAAGAGAAAGUAGGUAUGGUGGAAGCCUUAAAAGUCCCCCAAUACAUUGUAUAGCCGUGCGGCUCUACUUUUAAAAUUUUCUAUUUAUAAAGUAUAGCCGGCUAUACCCUAAAAACGCCGUGAAAGCAAAUUCUUUCUUUAUAUAUACUAGCCUCUCUACACGCGCUUCCGCGCAUGCGAGAGGUUUUUUUAAAAAAAAUUUUAAAUUUAUUUUAGAAUUAAAAAAGAUAAUAGAUAUUUGUGUUCCAUAAAAAUAGGAUCCAUUAUCUGAAUUUUCUUUUUUUUUUAAUUUUUUUAAUGCGAAAAAUUGUGAAUUUACCAUAUUAUCCUCAUUUAAUUAAUAAUUUCAAUUCUUAAUGUUUGCAUUAACCAAGGGUAUUUUCUGGUAUUUUGAAUGUUUCACCAUUCUCUGCCUUUUGCUUUAUAUAUAUAGAUAGAUAUAUACAUUACCGCCCAAUAGAUUUGUAAUUCAAAGCCGUGCGGCUAUACUAUUUUUUAUAAUAACAACCAUAGUAUAGCCGACCGGCUAUACCCUUUUUAUUAUAUAAAAAAAAUCCGAGUAUAAGUACCAUUUUUAAAAGAGGACCCACUGGAGCCUAGCGCCCCCUUUUGCCAUGUGUCAAAAAUAGUACAGCCGAGCGGCUAUACGCAAUUAAUUAUAAAAAAAUAAGUGUAGCCGAGCGGCUAUACUAUUUAUAAUAAAAAAGGGCCACCGCUUAACGAGCAUGGCCAAAGUAUAGCCGCGCGGCUAUACUCUAUAAAUAUAAUAUUCUGAAGGUAUAGCCGGUUGGCUAGACUCAUACUCGUUUGCCCGUAAUUUGUUUUUAAAAAGUAUAGCCGACCGGCUGGACUCGGCAUUUUCUUAAUUGUUUUUUAAAAAUAGUAUAGCCGAGCGGCUAUACCCGGGUUUUUAAUUUUAUUUUAGGGUUCAGGGUUUAGGGCGGCUAUACUCGUUUUCCCCUAAUUUUUUUAAGAAAUAGUAAAGCCGAGGGAAGGAAUCAAGCCAUAUUGUAGAAAUUUAACAAUCAUUAAUUCAUUGGCUAAAGAUUUGUGUAGCUAGGUUUAACCAAUUCUAAGGAAUUGUUUAAAUAUUCAACAGGAUACCAUCUUGAAUUUAACAUGUGACAAUUCAAAUAUUGAAUAAAAAUGUGAAAGUUGCAUGAUUGGAAGGUGAAUCAUGCAAAUUUUGCAGAUAUAUAUAGUUAUCAGAAAAUAUAUAUAGGUUUAGGAAGAUAACCCAAGCUCAUCUUAGAUUCUGAAAGGAAGAUGAACAAUCUCCAUUUUAUAAUUUUGGGUAUUUGAAUUACCUGAGAUUUAGUACAUAUCAGACAGAGUUUAGUUAACAAAAAAUGGGGAAAGGGUUGUCUGGUGGUGAAGUGAUUAGAUUAAGGGGGAUGAUGGUAAUUAUGGUGGGAGUGACAGUGACUCUAAUUAGAUGUGGGGUGCUUGUGGAGGGCAAUGUGUUCUCUAAACAGAAGAUUCUGGAAGUUGAAAGAAAAUUAACCCAACUUAGAAGGCCUGCAGUUAAAACCAUUCAGGUUUGAAUUGUCCAGAACUUGACAUAAGUUUUCUUCUCAUUGUAUUCAUUUAAUCAGCUCAUAUGAUUGCUUGUAGAGUGAGGAUGGUGAUAUCAUUGAUUGCAUUGACAUUUACAAGCAGCCAGCUUUUGACCAUCCUGCUCUCAGAAACCACACCAUCCAGGUCUCCCUUGUAUAAGUUCUAGUUGAAAGUAAACACAUUUUUCUUCUCUGUGACAUUAUAUAUUUACUGAUAAUCUAACAAAUGCUUUGAGUCUUUUUUCAGAUGGCACCAACAUAUGAUCUGACGAAGGAGACAAAGACAAUGACAAAAAUGGAUAGAUUGAAGAAAAGGAGUGAACAAUCUUCCGUGACAGCAAAGCAAACAUGGAAGAAAAGUGGAAGCUGUCCUCAAGGAACGAUCCCAGUCCGAAGAACUCGAAAAAAGGACCUGCUUAGAGCUAGCUCAGUUAAGGACUAUGGAAGAAAGAAGCACAGUACCCUGUCUCGUCAUGUUGCAGAGCCUAGUGACAACAAAUCUGUCUACCUUCUACGAGCAAACCACUCGGUACAUUAACUUCCCAUUUUCACAUUUUUAAUUGAUAAAUUAAUCACAUCUCAUGAAGAGGGGUUUUUUUUUUGUUGGUAAUUUGUGAUGUCCUCAGAAGGCAAUAUUGCUUACAGAAGGGUACAGUUAUACUGGAGCCAAAGGAGACAUAAAAGUUUGUGCCCCUUCUGUUGAGCUUGAUGAUGAAUAUACUACUUCUCAAGUUUGUCUCAUAAACGGUCCAAGUUUUGCCUUUGAGAGUGUUGAAUCUGGAUGGGCGGUAUAUUAACAUAAACCCUUUCACUUUCAUCUUGAUGCUACUUACUUCUGUUACAUUCUAUGUUCAUGGCAUAACUUUUAGUCCGAAAAAUUACUUGGAAUCCCUCUUUAGGUAAAUCCAAGCGUCUAUGGGGACAGAAAUACUCGAUUUUUCUUAUACUGGACUGUAAGUUGACGUGUUUCAUGACUUAGUUUUCAUGUGAGUAAUUCCACUAGACUUGAUGUGAUUUCUGAUGUUCCUGCAGGCUGAUGGUUCAAAGAAAACUGGUUGCUUUGAUCUUACCUGUCCUGGAUUUGUUCAGACUAGCCAUGAAAUUGCUCUUGGUGCAGCAAUUUAUCCAAUCUCUGCUCCUGAUGGGCUUCCAUAUGAGAUAAUUGUCUACAUCUUCAAGGUCAGCUCAACAGUUUAGUAACAUAACAUGUACAGUUUAGCAACAUAUAUAUCUGAUAUCUGAAAAAGACAAUGUAAUAUUAAGUGUUCUUCUCAUAUCUUCGAUUGAGUUUCUUUUUUAUUUGCUUCCAAAUUUAGGAUCCAGUAACAAGCAAUUGGUGGGUGCAAUACGGGGAGAGAAUUAACAUCGGUUAUUGGCCUCCGGAGCUGUUUUUUGCAUUGAGCUAUCAUGCAACAGGUGUUGAAUGGGGAGGUGAAGUCUAUAGCUCAAGAGUUGGAACUACUCCCCACACAAAAACAGAUAUGGGGAAUGGACGCUUUGCUAGUACUGCGGGAUUUUCAGGUGUCAUAACAAGAAUGAGAAUACAUGACAAUUCACCUGCACUGAAAAUCCCUGAAUGGGCUGAGACUUACAUGGACGAGUUCAAUUGCUAUGAUGCUAUCUAUGUUGAAGACUACGUUGAAGAUCCUGAGUUCUAUUAUGGAGGGCCUGGUAGAAAUUAUAAGUGCCCUUAAACUUAGCUUAGCUAGGAAUUGUUUAAGACAACACAAGUCGAUAAUACAAUUUCGUCCCGAAAGGGAGAACAUUUCCAAUUAUCAAUGUUUACCAAAAUGGCAUAUCAGCUUAAUUUCCAGGUUUCCAAAUGAGGUUUUUUUCUUGGUAGGUAACAUGGAAUCUGUGUUUGUAUGUAGUCGGUAUAGCAUAUCUUAGAAGAAAGUGAGACAGAAAGGUAACAGAGAUGUUAAGCAAAUGUCCACGAUUCACAAUAUGUGACUCUCUAAAUUAAAUGAAGGGACAAAAUGCUGCUAAUGGGAACAUCUUAAUUCACUGGAUAAAGAUAAAACCCGUUUUCUGUACAUGCAAUUAUGUCCAAAUAUUGCACCAAGACAAGAGUACUUAUUAUGUUUCUAUAUUUAAGAGAGGCGUGCAUGAACUGCACAUUUGACAUGUGGAUGAAGCCGCGAGGACUUGCAUCAUAUAUAUAAUAACACAUUAUCUUCUUUCUUUUCAACCAGACAUGCCUUCAUUUGGUUUCUCAAAGGUUAAUUUUACCACCUAAUUAUCCUGUUAAUUUUAUCUAUAGCUUGAUUGUAUCUCUCUGUGUGUACAAGAGUGUAAGUGAGACACAAAAAGAGAUUGAAGAUGGGGAAGAAGAGGGCUUUAAUGUUCUCGUUAGCAUUGGGAUUGUUUGUUUUUUGUGUUAGUGCAGCAGAACAUCACCAUGUGAAGGCUAAAACUAAACGAAUUUCUUUGGAAGUUCAUAAGAAGUUGAAGCUUUUGAAUAAGCGUGGCGUGAAGACUAUCAAGGUCUGAUUUUCUGCCAUUUUUAUUAGCUUUCUGACUAAUCACACUUUCACAGAAUUUUAUCUAUAUCAGAUCUGUUAUACAAUUUUCUUUCAGCAGUCUUCUCCAUUUCAAAAUUUAGCUCAACCCUUUGUGCUAUUGCCUCUGCUGUCUUAAAUUUCACAAUUUCUUCUUUGUUGUGCUACUGCUAUGACUUGGUAAGCUCAGAGGACUGACUGUAUGUUUUACCACUUGAUUAUUUGAUUUCUUGCAGAGUGAGGAUGGAGAUAUCAUUGACUGUGUUGACAUCUACAAACAGCCUGCUUUUGAUCAUCCGGCAUUGCGCAACCACAAAAUUCAGGUCGACUUUUAAACCUUUGUACAUUUGGAGAAUGUAUGAAACAAAAAAUAAAACAUUCUCCAAGUUUUAAAAACGUUUUAAAAACAAUCUCCAAGUUUUAAAAACGUUUUAAAAACAAUCAUGUUUUCUUCCAAAUGUUGAUAUAGUUGGUGUAUAAUAUUGCAGAUGAGACCCAGUAAUCAUGUACAAAAUGAUCAUAAUUCUUCUCAGCUGGUAUCUCAAAUUUGGCAAAGGAGCGGAAGCUGUCCAGACGGAACCAUUCCCAUUCGGAGAAUUCGAAAGCAAGAUUUAUUGAGAGCUACUUCACUUGAAAACUUUGGGAAGAAAAUGCCAGUGCAUUCUUCCUACUCCCCCACAGAUGACAAGGGCACUGUGUACAUCAACAGCACCCGAGUCGAACUCGGGCCUCAAGUCAAUCGUUCAGUAAGCAAACAUCGUGAAGAUUUAAUUAACAAAGUUUACUUUGAUCCUUGUCUAACUUGUGCAAAACUGUGUUUGCUAGGCUGCUAUCCUGUUAACUACUGGAUACAAUUACAUAGGUGCUCAAGGAGAUAUAAAUAUUUGGACUCCAAGAGUUGAAUCACCAGAUGAGUUCACUACUGCUCAAAUCUGGCUUAAGAAUGGACCUGGAGAGGCUUUUGAAAGUGUAGAAUCAGGCUGGGUGGUAAGUAGUAUAUUAUGGUAACUUCAUUUGGAAAAUAUUACUUUUCAACUAUCAGUUCCUCAAAAUCACUCCAUAUAUGUGUAUAUAACUGCUACUCUUUUUUGCUCCUCUUCGUUUGGCUUUGGACAGGUAAACCCAAAGGUAUAUGGUAAUGGAGCAACUCGACUUUUUGUAUAUUGGACUGUAAGUACUUCAUUACAAAAUGAUCAAAAGAACAGGAAAAUGUAGCAUAUAUUAUGUUUGCUCCAUCUGAAAUGUGCCUGCACUUAAUUCUUCUUUUUUUUUUUGGGUUUUUUCAGAAGGACUCAUACAAAUCAUCAGGCUGCUUUGAUCUCACCUGCCCAGGAUUUGUGCAAACCAACAAAGACAUAGCCCUUGGUAUGGUCCUUGGACCUGUAUCAUCUAAAAUGGGACCCCAAUAUCAAACCACCUUCAGCAUCACCAAGGUUUGAAAAUCUUAAUCACUUUUCGUGCAUUCAAAUCAUUUCCAUUGUUAGUCAACGGGAUUUAGCCCAGUGAAAAGGGCUUUGACUUGCAAACCAGUGGUCUCAAGUUCGAAUCCCCAUGGCACAUUGACAGUUGCAUGUGCGAGAAAAACCCAUCCCCUUCCUAAAUUUGACGCACAAAAAAUACAUUUCCAUUGUUGAACAAAAAUGUGAUGGUUUAAAACAUACGUUGUAGGAACCAAGCACAGGAAAUUGGUGGGUGCGUAUUGGCCAAAACGUUCCUGUGGGAUAUUUUCCUGGAGAGCUCUUCUAUUAUUUGACACGCGGUGCUGCAACAUUAGUUGAAUGGGGAGGAGAAGUGUUUAGCUCCAAGGUGAAGCAAAAUCAUCCACACACUGCAACAGGGAUGGGAAGUGGAGAUUUUGCAUCGGGCAAAUUGGGCAAUGCAUGCUAUGUGAAGCAAGUUAGGAUUAUAGAUUAUUCAAAGCAAUUGAAGUACCCAGAAUGGGUAGGCACUUAUUCAGAUGAAGAGUAUUGCUACUCUGCAUUGAACUACGCUCUGUCACUUGCUCAAGAACCUGUGUUCUACUUCGGCGGACCGGGUCGAAAUCCUCCUUAUUGUCCCUAAGUUGUUCAUAAUCUCAAAUGAGGACGCUUAAUUUCCAUAGUUUUUUCUUGAAAUAAUGUCCAAAUAUAUGAUGGCUUGAGCCAAUGUAGCAAGACUAUUUUAUAUUUGAAGCCUAUUGUUAUUGAUUUAUAUGUGAUCAGAAAUGGACUUAUAAUUUUGGUCCCAUUGUCUGCGAUCCUCUUGCAUUGCUCACUGGUUGUGCUUUCACAGAGAUACAUCUACAUAUAUGAGCAUAUAAAAGCCAAAUUACAAGAGAUUUAUCAACAUAAUUGGUCUAAUAGCCCUAUUAACUUUAUUGGCCUCCUCACAUUCUGAGGUUUCGAAUGAUUAGGUUUUUUUUUUCUUUCUUAUUUUAAAUUUGGUGAAUAAUUAAAAUGGAUUUUGAGUUUGGUAAUUAAGGUGAUCACUUGUUCAGUAUUGACAAAGCUUGGAUCGAAAGUAACAUAAAAGGACGGUACAAUUUCUGGAACUUGAUUUUCACUUUUUAGCUUGAACUUCCAGACAACAAUAUCAGAUAUUCAAAAAUGGACAAUUACUCCUAUUACCCAAAUAGUUGCUACCUAUGCCCAAUAACACAAUACAUGAGGGGAAAUAUCGCAUAUUCAGAUUACACUGCUCAGGUUGUGGUAUUCCAGAGGUAUACAAGAUAUACAUAUACGAAGAAUAUACAAUCACAAGAUCAAGAAAUAAGGAAAACCCCAUUACAGAAUAUCAUACCAAAAUGGCCAGGCCACACCAACUUCGAUGAGACCAAUAUCAUUUGCAAGCCAAUGAGAGAAAAUCAGCUAGAUCGAAUCAUGCUGUUUUCUCUCUUCUUGUAUAGAUUGGAAAAUACGAGCAGCUGAUGCAGUUGCAGUUCUUGGAUUGUGUGGCACAACUCUAAUCGCUCGUGUUGGCUGGCCUGAAUCAUGAGGUUGGGCAACUCCUUCUGGAAUUACCGGAGCCAUUGGAAAAAGUUGAAGAGCAUCACUUCCUUCAGCAUUUUGAUCUGUCCCCAAUCGUGCUGUGUCACCUGGACUAUUUGCAGUACUUCCUUGUAGCUCACUGUCGUUAGAUGCCUGAAACAUCAUGGCAUGAGGAAUAGCUCCACUUUUCUGGGAUGGCAUAUUGCAUGAGCUUUGAUGCUGCACAUUAGAGUUUGUUCCCCCUCCUGAUAACUGAUCGAUUUGACCAUGUGAACCAGGUCCGGCAAACCAAUGCAUUUGUUCAAUGCCUGAGCUUGGCAUGGCUGGAUUCAUAACGGACAUGCCAUAUGGAGGAAAGUAAGUAUGGCCUAAUGGAGGAGGGGCAGGAAGAACCCCCGUCCCUUGAUGAUGAUGAGAAGCUGGAACCCCAUAGUUUGGCUUAACAAAGUUACCCGUCAUGGGAGUUGAGUUGAAAGGUCCACAUCCUCCACAAACUGGUCCCAUAAAUCCAGGUCCAUGAUAUGGCUUAUAUACAAGUCCUUCAGAGGGAGACAUUACAGGAAUUAACAACUGGUGUCCAGGUGAUUGAUGGAAACACCAAGGACUGGCUUUAUUAUCAGUACCGACAGGUGUUGGCUGUGGGUUCCCUACAUAUGGCCCAUAAUUUGAAGUCUGACUACCAUUUUUCACAGAAGAAAGAGAUGUUUUCCCAACUGCAUUUUCUGCGGAACAUUCAAUUUUGUUGUUUGGCUUCUCAGGUUCAUGUUUGCGCUUUACAACACGUAGUAGUGGCUUUACAACAUACUCUGAUGAAAGUUUCUUUGCAGGAGAACCCCUUAAAGAAGAUGUGCCUAGGAAAGCAGUAUCUUCAAGCAAAAGAUUAGGAGACCCAGCAAUCAGUCGUUGGACCUGUUGAAAACAACUAGAAAGUUAAAAAUCUACCCUCCUGUAGUCCUUUUGGGGUUCAAAUAGCAUCAUUUAUUCUGUGUUUAUAUAUACAUUUUUUUUUUUGGGACUAUAUACACAUAUAUGUUUAUUUGCAUCUCAUAAUUGCAUUCCAAGAGAAGCAGAAUUACAGGGUCAGAGACUAUGUUAUAGUCUUACCUUAAUGAGCCUAUGCAACUCAAAUACUUGCACUGCAAACAAUCUUUGCUGACUGUAGAAAGUAACAGGGGUUGGAUCAAAAACAUAAUUAUACAACAUAUACCAAAUCAUAUGAAACUUGGCAAAACACAAAACCGAAACCAAUACAAGGAAAAAAAAAGAACUGAACAGAAAUGAAGGAUCAGGCACUUGAAAGAAUCAUUUAUACCAAAACAAUCCUUACUGUGUAAUAUAUUCCAUAUAAAACUCACAUUAUGUAAGAGAUAACAGCCAAAGGACUAGGUGCUUUAAUCACAAAAUAUCUGCUUACCCCAUGAAAAGCACCAUAGCCUAUUAACUCCACAUGACCACACCCCCAAGCUAAUCCUUAGACUUGAUAUUGAUCAGGAGUGCAGGCAAAUAUGACAUUUACCAAACAUGGGAAGAAAACAUCUUAAGGAUGGAUUCAGAAAAUUGCACAUCAGAAAAUAGUUAUAAACAAUGAGGCACAGAUCAGUAAAAUAAUAACAAAAAAUAAUAAUAAUAAUAAUAAUAGUGAAUACAAUAAAAAGGAAAGCUAAAUGCUAAAAACACUAUCUUCAGAGCAAUAAAAACGAAAGCUAAAUGCUAAAACAGAUUCGAAAACAUAGCAACUAUCUGCAAUAUAAAUCAAGAUGUCUGCAAAUCUCCUUUAUUUCACAUAAUUAGAGCUCCAAAUAUGUAAUAUUCAAUCAAAACCAUAUAAGAACUAUACAUUCAGUUGUAUGGAUGUCAUAAAUGAUCCUCGUUACAACAAAGUCGGACAGCAAGCGCAUAAUAGAGCUUUCUAAUUCACAUGUAAAUACUUACAGCUCUUUUCUUAUAGUACAGAAAGAAAGAAAAUACAAAACCUUCAAUAACGAAAAAAGAAUAUGUAAUGAUGAGAAGAAGCCAUAUAUAGGGGAAAUCUCAUAUUCUAUAAAGCAUAUAAAAAGAGUACGCAACCCCAACCCAACAAAAUCUUCCAACACAGGACAUCAAAGCACUACAUAAGAGAUGUAAUCCUCCUCACCACCAUGUCCACCACCAAUUCCACAAUGUCAAAUAUAGUCCAAGAUCCACAAAAUGUAGUCCCAAGGAUAAUCCUUCAUCACUUGUUCCCCUCCUUGCUCCCAGCCCUCAAGUGCCAUGAAGGGAAAAUUUUCCCAGUGGCCAAAAAACCAAAGCAUUACGAAACCGAGACAGGAAUACACCCAAAAGGCAGAUACAAAAGGGCAAUGAAUAAUGAGAUGAUCCGCUGUCUCGGAGGUCGCGUUGCACAAGAUAACUCUAUUAAGAUGUAUGUUUCCCUGCUUUAAGAUGAUCCAUAUCCACUGUUAAAAUGUUAUCGAGGGCCUUUUAACAAAAAGAAAUUCCACUUUAGAAGGGAUCCAGGGACUCUGCACUAUGAAAUAUCACCUCCCUCAAAGUCGCAUUUAAACAAAAUUCAGUCUAUAGUCCUAGUUGUUAUAUUUGAUGGUGUAAACGCUUAUGAAACAAAAAAUCCAAAGUACAAGUGUGGAAAUAUUAAAUAAAACAGAGGUAUUAUGAGACCAAAAUGCUUCACAAGGACAGCAAAACAUGUACUAUAUUUGGAAAAGGGUAAACUUCAAAUUAAGCACAAAGUAACAACUGAAUUGGAGCAGCUAUUGGAGAAAAUAGAGACUUACUUGACGAUUGCUUUUCUUGCCUUCCAGAAAUGUUUCUGACCUAUUAUUCCUACAACGUCAUCGGGAGAGAUAUCCAAGCCAGAUAUAGAAUCCACCAUGGAGGUCUCUGAGACAUCAUCACUUUUGUCUACAUGUCCCAUUUGAGGUGAAAUACACGUUCUAUCUCCACGGUAUUCACUGUCAUUAUCAAGCUCAUUGGGACCACCAGGAUCCUCCCCAGAAUAAGACAGACUUCUUUCCUGGAAAACAGCUCCCUUCUCUACAUCUCUUGUACACUCAACAAGACCAUCACCUUGCCCAGUGAUGUUUGGCUGUGAUCCAGAUCUAGACUCUUGUUGUAAGCAAGCAUCACUCUCAGAUAACCUGCUGAAUCUAGGAACAGGAUAGUCUGCAUACUCUUGAUUUGGAGAUGCACUUACUUCUUCUGCAGGCCCAUCAAUCUUUUGUCUAGUUGAUAUUUUUGUGGCAGAUUUUGCUGAAUGGUCCCUAACCGGGCCACUUACUUUUAUUAGAUCCUCUUCUCUUUCACUUCUCAAUUCUCGUCUCAAAUUGAGAGUAGUUGGGGAGCUUAAUUGUUUUGGAUCCUUCUUGCCCGUAUUUUUUAGUUUCACUGUAUGGCCAGAAUGAGAUGGGCCGAUUGGAGCAAGUUUUUCCUUAUCAAUACCAAUUUGAGUUUUACUAUGACAAAGACCCAUCCUUGAUUGAACAAAUACAGGCACCCUAAAAUCAUCCUCCUCUCCGACUUUCUUUCUUUGGUCGGGUUGUGUCAAGGGCGUGUUCUCAUUUGCUCCAUCAGAUUGACGAGCAUGAAACAUCUCAGCCUGACGACUAGGUGUAGAUGGAUGAACAUGAAGCGGAACAGGCAAAUUUCCUUCAGAACGACUUCCCUGAAAACAUAAAUUGCUCCAGAAAAAUCAGAUAUGAAAUAACCAAUUUUCCCUAUAGAAGCUUCCAAUACUAUUUCUGAAAACACUAUUGAUUUUCCCUUCUUAAAGUGCAGAUAUAGCAAUAUUGGUUAUAUUGGCAUUUUCUUUUCUGGACUGAACUAUAUUGGCAAUAAAACACAACACAUGUACAUAGUAGCAUGCAAAACUACUGGAUAUAGCAUAAAACAGAAUUUGUAGUUAGCUACUACAAAAACAGAAAACAAACCUAGUGAAAUCCAUAACCUAACUAAAGCUUAAAAGGAUAACACUUCAAAACUAAUCCUCAGUAAACCUUAAACGAGAAAGCUAGGCACAAAUUAUGAGUUUACCUGGCUCGAGAAAGCUGAGGGAACCACACUGCUAGUGUUAUUUGGAUUAAGAGGCAUCACCACAGGGUUGAACCUCUGAGAAGGGAUACUGAGCUGUUCAUAGAGCGCCAUCUUAUUCCUUGGAGGUGCUCUUGGCCCUCCUUUAUCUGCAUCAUUCACAUGGAGUCUUGGGAACAUAGGUCCCAUAACCUUUUCUUCGUUCCCUCUCUUCAUUUUCAACACCAACACCAAGUCCAAAAAUCUAUUCUUAUAUUAAAUUCCCAAAACCACCCUCAAAAACUCAAACUUGUUCAAACCCAUGCACCAAAAACAUCUCUUUUGUUGAAAUUGUGCUCGCUAAAACGAGAAUACCAAAAGGGAUCUAACAAAAUCCCAGCUAGCUAAAAGCCUUCUCCUUUCUCAUAAUAGAUCAAAUUCCAGAAAACCCAGAAGCAGACCAGGCUUCUAAAACCUGAACCGACAUAAACAGACUCAGCUUAUCACACCCGAAAAAACCAAGCUCCAAAUUAGGCAAGACCCAGAUGUCAAACACCAAAAGUAAACAGAUUCCCUUUGAAAAAACGAGAGAUUUCUUCACAACCCAGCUGGGAAAAAAGGGUACUUGAGAACUGAAACUGAUGGAGGAACGAACUAAAAGCGUGAAUUGUGGAAAAGAAGGGAUAGGAAUAAAAGAAGAGCCAAGAAAGAGAUUGGGAGUUGAGGGCUGAGAAAGGCUAAGGCUUAUUUUAGGGAUUCCGCAAAGGGAUCGUCUUCUUAGAAAAAGGAAAAGUGAAAAGUGCGGGGGUUGGUUGGGCCCUUGUUUGGGAUAGACCCAGAAGAAGACUAGAACCUCCUCUUAAGAAUAGAAAAAGACCAUAUGUUGCCAUUGCCAACUUGGAAUUAUCUUUUUCUCAAGACUACUCCUUCUGGUAUAAUAUAUUUUUGUCUGAACCAUGAUUAACUCUUUUUUUAACUACUUUAUCUGAACAUAAUUCAACUCAACGAGACGGAUGAGGCCAUUUUAGUUGAGAUCAUAGGAAAAUUGAAUAUACAUGGUACAAACCCAAUUACCUAUGGUAUUUUAUUCUCAAUUCUGAUAAGUGUCUAAUAUUCAUAUUUUUUAUCUCGGUCGCAUAUGAGUUACAUUCGAGUAAGUGAUGUAUGUGCAUGAUUAUAAGUCUUUUUAUUUAUGCAGACGUAUGAUUAUAAGUAAUUGAUGAAAUGAGUCUCACAAUUCACUAAUGUCUAACGAGACACAUGCACAAUGCACAAACGACUGACGAUAACAUUCUCUUAUAUCCUCUCAUUCCUUUUUUCUUUUCUAUUUUGUUAUAAUCUCUAUCUUGCCCUCAAGAUUGGCCAUUUGGGUCAAUUUUGCACUUUUUGAUCCUAGGUGUAGCUGGAACAUAAGGGACACGUGUUAGUAACUUUUUUGGAGAGUGGGAUCUAAAUGGUGAACAGCUUGACAAGCAACACAAAAAGUUUGAUUCGGUAAAAUCUGCAGUCGUCACACACAACCAAAACUAUUUUUAUCUGAUUCCAUAAGCAUUAAACCCAAUACUUUUGCCUUUUAUAAACAUUAAACCCCACAUGAUUUUCUCAGAUAACAUGGACAAUAUCACAAAAUGGUAGUAUAGAAUAUAGAAAAUAUAGCACUUUAGACUAGUUUUGGGUUAGGGGGAAUGUGGUCCACUCCUACUACAAGUAUAGAAGUAUUCAUUUUUCUUUGUCAAACCAAAAAAAGUUUCAAUUUUUCUCAAUUGGUUUGUCGAAAAUGAAAUCGGGUCGGGUUAUCCCCACGGGCUGUCGGCUUUCUCAAACUAAAAAUAAAAAUAUAAUAAAAGAAAUGGACAUAAUAUUUGGUGAAGUGGAGAGAGAACCAGGGUUAGUUGGUUUCAGAGGCAAAAUUAGAUUGGCGUGGAUGGUCCGAUCACAUGGCCUCUUUACCUCCUCCAUAUCAGACACACCUUCCUCUAUCGCCUGACCCAGGUGGGUCCUUUCAAUCAGAUCCAAUUCACGAAAGUUUUCAUUUUUAUUACAAGUUUCGUGUGCCUUUGAUUUUAUGUUCCCUUCGGGGUUUGCUCAUUUGCUUGCUGGGAAAAAUGUGGGAAAGAAAAAAGUAUAUGCAAAAUGUUGAAUCUUUGAUGAUCGAUUUACAUAUAUGCGUGACCCCAAAUGAUUUUGAAGUGGGUUUAUGAAUUUGAACUAAAAAAUAUUUCCUUCUUUUUUUUUCUUUAAUUUUCUGGAGCACCCAUUAACCUGUAAAUUUGAGCUAUUUUGUGUGUAUUGCAGGUGAGAAACCCCUAAAUUCUGAACCCCAGUUGCCGCUGGUUCCUAUUCAUGUAGUCACUCGUGCAUCUCAGCUUCCUGCCGAGUUCCUGGAGCCAUCAGCUGAAAGGCAAUUGGUAAUUGGCUUUGAUUGUGAGGGAGUUGACUUGUGCCGUCAUGGAACACUCUGUAUCAUGCAGGUAUGUAGAGUUUUACUUACUCUGUACUCUUAUGAAUAUUUGUUCCACUUCAAAUUUCGUUCCAAUCAACCUCAUUUAGUAGAUGCGUGCCUAAUCCAAACAAGGACAUAUGGGUUGCUACUAAACUACCACAAACAAAAGAAUUAAUAAAAAAAGAAAAGCAGUUAUUUGCAUCCCAAAUUGGUUGUUGAUUGGUUUCUGAUUGAAUUUCAGCCAUUUGCUUGUAUUCCCUUGCAGCUAAAGAAAAUAACGAGAGUAUCUUACUUAUAGGUCUUCUUUAUUGUGAAUUUUCUGCUACUCAUAUCCCUGGUUCUCGUUCUUGUUUUCUUUCUGUCAGCUUGCAUUUCCAGAUGCUAUAUAUCUGGUUGAUGCCAUUCAGGGAGGGGCUAUGCUUAUCCAAGCCUGUAAGCCUGCACUUGAGUCUAGCUACAUCACCAAAGUUAUUCACGACUGCAAACGAGAUAGCGAGGUCUCUGAUUGGUUUUAUUUGCAUCCCAUCAUGUACCUUCUUGUAAUAUGACAUUUCAUUCCCAUGAUUGAAUUUUUUCCUAUUUUAUAGGCCUUGUAUUUUCAGUUUGGCAUCAAGUUGAACAAUGUUGUAGAUACUCAGGUGAGCAUCCUUUAGCACUGGCUUUAACUUUUCAAUGGAUUGUUUUUUUAAGAGAAACGUUGAUUUAUAAGAUAAUUUUGAAUUCUUUCAAUGGAUUGUUGUUUUAAGAGAAACGUAUAAUGGUAGUUAAAGAAGUAAUAUAAUUGAGAUGGAGAAAAUACUCAUAUGCUAAGUGAUUUGAAAUUUCCCUUUUGGUAUUCAGAUUGCCUAUUCGCUGAUAGAGGAACAAGAAGGGAGGAAAAGAUUGCUGGAUGAUUAUAUAUCAUUUGUGGGCCUCCUUGCUGAUCCACGCUAUUGUGGUAUUAUAUAUUUCGUGGUAUCCAUUUGAAGUUUCUGUUUCUGAUCAUAUUUGAUUAUGCUUUUGGAUUACAUUGAUUUUAUGAAAUUAAAUGAUGCUUUUAUUUUUCUAAGAGUUUCGAAUUAAUAUUAACGGGGAAUUUAUUUGAAAGAUCAUUCUUGAAGUACUGCCUCCAAGUAUUUUACGUUAGCUUAUUCCAUACCAGAAGUUUUCUGGAUGACAAAAUAAAAAUAGACAUGAGGGCAUGGUGCGUUGGAUUAUUAAGUUUUGAUCUUCACAUAUGGCUUCAGUUUUCACCGUAAGAGUUUGAAUGCAGGAAUAUCUUAUCUUGAGAAGGAAGAAGUUCGAUUCCUCCUUAGGCAGGUUAGUGCCAACAUCCUAAGAAUUUUUCUGGAUUUUUUUCGUUUUCUUAUUCUCUAUGUUUAGAUUUUCCAUAUAACUCAGUUUGUUACUAGUCUUCUUAUUGUUAUCUGAUACUAUACUAGAUUUCUAAUAAAAUAUAUUGAAGGUUUAAGUCAGUAUGGUGACUGGGAUGUGAUAAUGAGAUUACAGUCCAAUGAACAAUAGGUUUAGAAUCACUCUACAGUGGUUUUAAACUUGAGGUUAUCAACAGAGCAUUAGCCUUAUAACUUAAAUUUGUCUAUUUUGUUGAUUCAUAUUUGCUUUACACUUAGCAAAGGACUUUAGAUAAAUUUGCUUCUAGACCUGUAGUUUUACCAGUGCAGCCACAGUAUUGUUUGGGACUAGGAUCUUCUGUCAAAUGACAUUUAUUUUAUAUGUAAUGUACAGGACCCCAACUUUUGGACAUACAGACCUUUAUCUGAACAGAUGGUCCGUGCAGCUGCAGAUGAUGUCCGCUUUCUUCUGUAUAUCUAUUACAAGAUGAUGGAGAAAUUGAAUCAACAGUCAUUAUGGUAUCUUGCAGUUCGAGGUGCUCUCUAUUGCAGAUGUUUUUGCAUCAACGACAACAAUUUUGCAGACUGGCCACCUCUCCCCCCUAUUCCAGGUAUCGAAUCCUCCCUCACAACUAUACCAAGACUUCAAAAUGAGAUGAAAUAUUUUGCCUUCAUAUAAAUACGUUCUCAUAUGAAUACAAGCUUAAAGCUAUUAUGUCUGAGGCUGAUGUUCGUAAUUCGGCUCCAAUUGAUUCUGCCACUAAGCAUUAUGUGCAUGUCAUCCAUUAAUGUCCUCAUUGCUAAUUUUUGAUAGAAUUAUGUGCAUGUCAUCCAUUAGUAGAAUCUCUAGCCUCGUAAACUUACUACGGAUACCGUUUUAUGUAUGACAUUAGACCAUAGUGUUUCCCUAAUGUACUUGAGAGCAUACGGUUUUGUUGGAAUGUGCAGCAAAGCACUUUAGAGUGUACAUUUAAUUGAAUACUAAUUGCAUUUCAAAAAAACUUGAAUACUAAUUCAGAUGUUAUUUCUUCUAGCAGAUAACCUAAUAGUGGAUGGCAAUGCUCCGGAGGAAGAAAUCCUUUCAGUGCUUGAUGUUCCUCCAGGAAAGAUGGGACGUGUUAUCGGGAGAAGAGGAGCUUCCAUUUUGUCAAUAAAGGAAUCUUGCAAGUACCAUUCUAUCUCUAUCUCUGCAUGUUUCGGUAGUUUGUGCUCCAUUUUUCUCUCCAUCUCCCCCCACUUAUUAUUACUUCAAUGGUACAAUUUUACAGUGCGGAAAUUCUCAUUGGAGGUGAUAAGGGCCCACCCGAUAAGGUCAGUCCAUUGCAUUUAUAUAACAGUUUCAAAGUAGGCGUAAAAUUAAUCCAAUUUUUUUUUUUUAAAUGAUUUAAUCAUCAAAGCAAAAAACAACUGGAAUUUGGAAAAGUUUCAAAUUCUUUUGUAAAUUUUAUUUGGUUUUGAUGUAGGUGUUCAUCAUAGGACCAGUGAAGCAAGUGAGGAAAGCAGAAGCCAUGUUAAGGGGGAAGAUGAUGGACGUGUACUACUAGAAACAUAUCAUGUUGUCGUCUUCGCCCCUUUCUUUAAAAAUAAAUAAAUAAAAGAAUUCUAAGAAAUUGGGCAUCUUUUCUUUUUCUUCUUUCCGUGCUCUUUUUCUUUUCUUUCGGUACAGAACAGAACCCGUCAUCUAUUCAAAUUGUUCUGUUUAUGAAACGACAUCCUGUUGUGCAAAUAAAUUAUAUAAUUGUCAAACAAAAGGACAAAGUAAAAAAAAAAAAAAAAAAAUCUGUCGUGGCUGAGACAUUGGCAAAAUUAAACGUUUAAUAUACAAAUAAAAUCAUAGUCAUCUAUUGAUAUCUAGAAUAAUUUUUUUGGACCGACUAUGUUAAUUGCCACCACAUUGUUCAAAAGACUGGAGGAUUAAUUUAAUCACGAAGCUGUUUGCAAUCCACUGGAAUUUAUAAAUAAAAAGUGUCGCAAUCAUCUUCACUCACGAUCAAUACAAUCCUCAAUACCACAAUAUCCAUUGACGGAUGUAUGAACAAACUAAGCACACCAAAAGAAAGGACUUUCUCUUCAAUAUUUUGGCCGAGUAGGCAAAAGAAUAUGUAGACGGAAAAAAUGGCAGAAAUAACAAAAUUACUUUUGGAAACCACCGUAUUGGUAUUGUUGGCCGCCGCCACCACUGAGACUUGAGAAGAUGUCAUCGCCUCCCAUUCCCGGCGAUGAUGGGAACCCAGAUUUUCCAAGACCAGUCCCGGAACCCAUUGCUCUACCCAUGUAAUACGAAGUUGGGGGCCCUUUCUCCCUUUCAUCUGAUCCGUCAGUCAAUCCACCCACAAUCCCUACAUCCGCCAGAUUUACCUUCUUGGCUGCAAGUACAUGAAGUGAAGAGGGGAUUACAACAGCAGCCUAAACAUGUGAUUCGAAAUGUCAACAUACAUAGUCUCUGCUCAAACAAUUAUAUAGGCAUACAUUACCCGGACAAUUUUUCUAAAUCUCAACUCACACCUUGAACAUUAAGCAAAAUUUACUUUCAUGUACACACAUAUAAAUUGUGCUCAUGAAAGGCAAAAUGCUAGUUGAAAUGGUUGAACUUACGAGCAGAUAUAUUAAGAUCAAUCAGUCCACGGCUAAGUGAGUCGGCCCAAAUGCCAGAUUUCACCUGGAAAUCCUUCUUGGGUGGACCAUUCAGGUCUGCUGAAGAUUUUUUACCCAAAUUAGUGUCGCUGCCAUCAUUGACAGAACUUUGGGAAGGUUCUGAAGAUGUUGAAUCAGACUGAGAGGUGAAGGCCCCAAAAAUAUCAGAUUCACCAAAAUUGUGAAGUGGAACAGUGGCAAAGGGAUCAACAAUGUUGGUGUUUGUUGGGGCAGCAUUUGUAGACUUGGUUUCUGGCUGCGUAACUGGAUCAGGGGCGGAAAAAAGAUCUACUGUUGAAGAAGCCAAUGGAGAAAGGGUUGGUUGAGAAGCAAAUAGAUCAACACCAUUCUGUAUAAUUAGUUAGAAAAGAAGAUUGUUAGCACUGAACUUUAAACCCUGUAUGAGGAACAAAAGUAAUAUUAAAAUAAAACUUAAAAAUGGAAACUCCUAAAUUCAGUUGCUUGUUAGAAUUCCAAAAUCACAACUAAAAUAUUUCUACAUGUUCGAAGGUUGCAUAAAUUAAACUCUGCCCCCUGUAAUCAGGGGUACGCUUUACUCAUACCCCUCUUUGUUAUUGUUUGGCAUUUAAUGACAAACGUCACAACCAAAAUCGAUGACUGGCUAAGCAACAAGCACACUGAAAAAGCUACCUCAAUUGUGAAUGGGUGUACAUGAGCUAUGUGCCAAAAUUGAGUCGUAACUGCGUCUGACCUGAGUUUGAGAACUUGCUCCAUUUGCUGUCUGGGGUGGUGCUGAUACAAAAGUUGAGUCUGCAAAUGCUCCAGUUUCUGCCUGGGGUGGUGCUGACACAAAAGUUGCAUCAGCAAAUAGAUCAACCUCUGAUGAACUGCUGUUAAUCCCAGGCUUUUCUGCAGGAACAGAUGUUGGAGCAUCUAUGAAGUCAUCCAUCAAACUUUGUCCAAACAGAUCCACUUGGUUUGAGCUUGCAACAGCAGCCUCUGUUGAAAUAAUAUAGGGCAAAAUGAAAUGUUCAACUAUAUCCCAGGAAUCAUACAUAUUAUUUAAAAAACCAAGAACAGUAAUUCAAUAAUCAAUGCACUAAAAGAUUACCCCAUUAAACGUCAUUGCAUAGGAUAGAAGAAAAAGCAGGAAAAAAUUACAUCAAAAAAUAAUGUGUUGAAUGUAACUAGUGAUAUUCAUAUAAACGCAUAUGUUUGAACAACUACCAAAGAAAUGAACUAAAUAUAUAGUACAUCCUAUAGCUCAUGCAAAUAUUCAAAAGAUCAUUAUGUUUAACAAAUCAAACAAUCUCGAAAAGCAUCCUCAAUGCCUUCACGACAUCACUUGUGAUAAAAAAUCAAAGAGCCAAAUGGCAUCAAAUUGAUUGUAGCUACGAGACACAUAGUAGAUGGUAAACAUGUAGCAACAUUUGCCAAUGUCUGCCUUGCAAAACUUCCUUUUAACUAACACUAAAUUAACAACUGCACCAGAGUUCGUAUACUUACUAGCAGCAGAAGUCCCUCGGGGAUCAAAAUCAUCAUCAUCGUCAUCAGGAACAUUUGCGCUUUGAGUAUGAACUGAACUGUACUUCUCAGAGUCAUUUGAUUUAUUAGAUGACUUUGACACACUGGAUGAUAUAUUAUCCUGAUCCUUCCUGCAAGAAAAACAUUCGGAAGUUAAUAAAAACAAAAUCACAAAGCAACAUAUAUGUGCUACAGUCUCUCUGUAUACAUCUGUGCAAGGUGUGUGUGCGUGAGAGAGAGAGAGAGAGAGAGAGAGAGAGAGCUGCAGUCAAAAUUGGUCAUUUGUAAUAAAAAUCAUAAUUAUUCCCAAAUCUUUCCCUCUAGUUCUGAAUCUCAGAAGAGCCUUAUCCAGUGUUGGUCAACAUUUCUCAGCAUAUAGGCACAAUUGUUUGACCUAUCAUGAACAGUAAUGAUUAAGUACCUGCUGCCAUAGCGUGCUGAGGCCUUCUUUGAAGAGCUCUCUCGACGUGACCUGCUAGAGCUGUCCUUCUCAAUCUUGUCUUCUUCAUGUCGAUCCCUGUCUCUAUAGCUAUCUUUGAACCUAUCACCAGCUCCAGUACCACUUAGACCUCCAUAGCGUUCGCUACUCUGAUAGCUGCUACUACUAAAUGAGGCUGAAGUUGCAGAACCUGACUUAUAUGUUAUCCCAGUAGAUGAAAGUCCAAAGUACCUAAAGUUGGCAAUGUGCUAAAAGUUUAUAAGAUGAAAACUAAUCAAAAGAUUUAGAGAAGUUCAAGUAAACUUGAAAAUUUAGUCCCCAAAAAAUAAACUUACUUGUCACGAUUCGCAGCAGCUUUAUUUCUAACUUCUUGUAUUUUAUCUUUGUUAUUUAAAAGAGCCACAAUGGUUUCCGCCUUCUUCCUCACAUUUAUUCCCAAAUCCUUCCCAUUUGGCUCAACAUAUUCAAAACUUGUGAGAGCCUUCACCACCAAAAAAACCAAAGGAUAAAGAAGUUUGAGUACACUCAACCGUAUUCUUAACUUCAUAUCUGCCAAAAAAAUUCAGGAUAAUAGAAAUAGUCCUUACUGAGAUUUGGAAAGUAUGUUCUAUAAUGUCAUCCACAGCUCGUUCAGAUCCAUGUGACACCAAAUAUUCUAUAACAGCCAAUGCCUGAUACAGAAAUGAUAAUGUUGAGGGCAUAAAUACGCACAUGAUUCUAUGAAGUUAUAAUACACUAGAAUCCUCUUUAAGCACAAUAUUUGAACAAUAUUAACUGAAUUCUUACCUUAUAGACAUAACGCCAAUCUUUUCCUGUCUCAGUCAAUCUUGUCCACAAAACAUUCAUAACCAUCUGACAUUCCGAACUGAAAGAUAACAAAAGUCAGCAAAUGCGGGUAAGUACAGCAAGCCAAGUUCUUUCUGAUUCUGAACUUUACUGCAGGGAGGAUUAAACAAGGAAAAAAACAGAUAAAUGGAGUUGAAAAUUACAAUUUUUUUGUGGCCUGUGCGAUCUCUGCCAAUGCAGAUCCAUGAGGACCCCAAGGUUCAUUAUCCGUUGCAUCCAAUACCUGUAACAUAUCAGUAAUGAAACAAAUUUGCGUGAGCUAAAAUUAAAAAUCACAAAUUGAGAAAUAGCUGAUAUUCAUAUCAUCCACAGUUUACCACUAGAAGACGAGAAAAAACAAAACGUAUCAGCUACUUAAGCUAAAAUACAAAUUUGAUGCAUGGAUUUCUUAAUUGGAGAAGACUUUUUCCACCAACCUCUCAAAGCUAAAAGAUCAAAACUAAGUCCAGAAUAUCAUUAUUUCUGUCUAAAUGUAUCUUAAAAGAUAGAAUUUAAGCUUGCAAAACGCACAAUGGUACAACAAUCAUUGAACACAAACAGAAAGGGCACUAUUCGCACCAUGAAUACAAUAAUUCGAGUUCAGAUCUAUAAUUUUAAUCACAAAAUAAAAAUUCUAAUGAAAAAUGAAAAAUUCGAAGAAAUUAAACGUAACCGAAGUUAAUUAAACUCUAUUUGUUGCUUUACCUUCUGUUCCAUCUCCGGAACCUUCAAGACCUUCAGAUUCACCUCCCUCUUUCUGCACAUUAAGACAAGGAAAUGGAAUUAACAGCUGAUAAAAAUGAAUAAAUUGCGUAAAUCGAAAAUGCCAAGGUCGGAAGCUGACAUUUCUCGGACCGUUUGAUCGAAGACCUUCAUGAAAUCCAUGACAAAUCUGCAGAAUCUGAAAUAUUCAAAAAAAUAUUCGGAAAUUCGUGAUCAGUUUGGAACAGACAAAUAUUGCGAUGCAUCCGAUGGAACCGCAAAAUUUGAAGUCAAUGUAUGAAAUUUUACAAGAUUAUAAUGGAAGAAGAAGCACCUUUGAGUAGAAACCAGAAAGGAAAGGAUUGCAGAUCUUGGCGUGCGUCGCAGUGGAUAGAGAGAGAGAGAGAGAGAGAGAGAGAGAGAGAGAGAGAGAGACGUAAUCAGGUGGUCUCGUCUGUGGUUUUAAAUCUCAUAUACUGUCCGUCAUAUUUUGCAGUUACAAAGAAAUUGAAGGUUAAACCGGUAAAGCCAGCGCGGCUCGCAAUCAUAUGCUGCCAAAUAAAAAUUAUGGGCUUUUUUUUGUUCACCCAAAAAUAAUAAUAAUUUGUUACUUGCCAAAUAAAAAUUAGUCGUUUUUGUUACUUAAAUUUGAUUUGAUUUGAUUUGAUUUUUUUUUUGAGUAAUGCUAUUUAGACACACAAUAUUGACCACCUUAUGUGGCAACUGAUGUGUCAUGCUAGGGUAAUUAAUGAAAAAAAUCAGGUACAAUCUAAAACAUCAUUAGUGGCAAAAGCCUUUCUUUUGAUUGGGGACGUGACAGCUUUUAUUUAUUUAUGGGGGUUAAAAUUCAGCGCCCACUAAAGUUGUGGAUAUCAUUUGUUAGAGUGACGUUCCCGCUUAAAACUACCCCGCCCACAAACAAUCUACGCACAAUAAGCUGACUCAGAAGCUCACAUUCCUGUUAUUCCUCUAAAAGAUUUUAUUGUCAAUAACUAAAUGAUUACUUUUGCCAGAUCAUUACGAGAAAAAGGCAUUAUCCUACACACCACAACCUAAAGGAUAGAAAAAAAAAAGGAGCUUCAUGUACAUCAAUAUAAUAAAUUUGGGUACAAGUUUGUAUACACUUUUCAAGUUAAAGGGGAACAAAACUCAGUCAAUGCGUGGUCANNNNNNNNNNNNNNNNNNNNNNNNNNNNNNNNNNNNNNNNNNNNNNNNNNNNNNNNNNNNNNNNNNNNNNNNNNNNNNNNNNNNNNNNNNNNNNNNNNNNUUGAUUUGUAUGUCAUAUCAGUGUCGCUCUAGACUUCAAUCUUGACAGGUACUAAUAAAAAUAUCGUCUAUUCAGGCUACCCAACGGAAUAAUGUCGUGUAGUUACACAAGAAACUUCGUGGUAUUUGUCCUAACUCUCAUUGAUCUGAAUUGACUGUUCUGAUGCUAACGCUACUUAGACACGCAAUACUUACCACUCUUAUGUGGCCACUGAUACACACGCCAUGUCAAUGAAUAAAUGUUGUCAUGACAAUUAGAAACUAAUUGGAAACACUCAAGCAUUCCUAGUGAGUGGCCUCAUGACAGCAUUCACUUAAUUGACCUGGCAUGACACAUCAGUUGCCACAUAAAGUGGUCAGUUAAGGUGGUCAAUGUUAUGUGUCCAAAUAGCAUUUUUGGUUUCAUUAACAAAUUUUAUUGACACUCAGAAAUUAUGAAUGUACACUAGAAGCUUCUUAACUUUGGACCCGAAGUUUUUGAUUUUAAACUACCUUGUUACAAUUGGUUUCUCAAUCUAGCAAGUUUUCCUUAUUUCAAAUAGGACUUAGGUGAGGUUAUAAAAUCCAGCUCAAUUGUGGGCAUUUAAAAUCACACAAGGAAGUUGAUAGUGAGAACCAAACGAGGUAUAAUAAGUUUGAGAAAGGGUGUAUAAAGGUUUUAUUCAAUUGUAUACAUGCUCGAUUUUGAGGUUAAAAGCGAAGAUUCUUUGACAAUAUAAAUAAAAUUUUGCUGAAUCACGUAAAUUUUUAGUUCAAAAACUCUGUAAGGAUGUAAAUAAAAUUUUGUCGAACCACGUUAAUUCUUGGUGUGUUGUUUUUUUGGUUUUUUUCGUAUUUCGUAUUGGGCUUUAAGGGUGGCUCACGGUGUUUUUUGCCCUUUUCCGAAAUUAGGGUUACGGACAAACUCAUGAAAUUUGUUAAUUGGAUCUGCUAAUGGGCCCAAUAAGCCCAACCCUAGAAAUAUAUGGGGCCUGGGUUUUCUUAAGGCCGCUCGGCCUUCGCGUGCUGGUUCAUCAACUCCAUUUCCUAAUUAACUGUCUGGCUCAUUUCUUCAUACAACGAACAAAUCCCAUCAUCGUAGUCCCGCUGAUUAUUCGUCUGUCAUAGUAAAUUACCUCACAGCCUGUGAUAUAAGUCUCCCUCUUUUGUCUGGUUAAGUUAUUUCUGGUACCUAAAAAAAACUACCAUUCCUGGUCUGCUUUUACUCUUUAACCAGUCCAACCUCCGUGACCGAUCACCCUGCAAAACUCUGAACGCGGUUUUCAAUAUUGUCAGUCCGUUUUUUUUUUUCUUUUUUCAAAAUUAUUUAAAUUAUAUAGCUUCAUUUAUGUUGACCGUAGCUUUGUUCAAUCAGAUGGGUCAAAGUCACUGAUCAACUUGUUUGAUUUGGUUGCAGGAUCUUAAAAGAUAUUGUUUUGCUUGUCUGGAAAACAAAUCAGAGCAAAAAUGUUUAAGCGAGUAUUUGGGAAAGCAAAGCAGGAAGCCAAUGCCCUGCCAACUAUACACAAAUUAAACGAUGUAUGAUUUUGGGUUUGUAGGUGUUGUCAGGGUUGUGCUGGAAUUUUUCGCAAAUUUUACGAGUCUGAAUCUUGUGUUGAGAUUAUAGUUAUAUGGGUUUUUGUUUUUCUGCUAAAAGUAUUGUUUUUUGGGAUUGUGCAGACACUUGAGAUGUUAGAGAAAAAGGAGAAAGUUCUUGUAAAGAAGGCAGCUGCGGAGGUUGAGAAGGCUAAGCAAUUUACUCAAGCACGAAACCGAACUGGUAAGACCCCCUACAGGCUACAUGUCGUUUAUUUAGUUUUUUUUCUGUUCCUUUUCUCUUUUUGGUGAAAUUAUAUCAUAUGAAUAUAUGUUUUGUAUAGGAUCCGGAAAGAACUAUUUUUUUUCUUUCUUUUUGAUUUUGUUGGGUUUUUAAGAAUGAUGCUAGGCUGUUGCAUGGUUUGCCAUUUGUGGUGGAAGGACAUGUAAAACACUAGAGAAAACAAUGGAGUUAUUAAUUAACUGUUUAAAUCUGAACCCGUAAGCAAGUAAAUUAUGUAGGUUUUGAAAGCAAACCGUAUUUUUUUCGCAAUUAGUAUCAAAUUGUAUAUCUUAUUCUUGUUUUUUAUCCAGCGGCAAUAAAAUGUUUAAAGAGGAAAAGGCUUUACGAACAACAAAUUGAGCAGCUUGGAAAUUUCCAAUUGCGCAUUCAUGAUCAGGUAGGUACUGUUGUAAAUUUUAGUGAAGUUUCAUUUGUUGAGAGUUUAUCAUGAAGACAUAUUUUGAAUUGGGGUUUCAGAUGAUAAUGCUGGAAGGUGCAAACGCUACAACGGAAACUGUUGAUGCAUUGAGAAGUGGAACAUCUGUGAUGAAGGCCAUGAACAAGGCCACGUAAGUUGCAUUUAAACUGCAUUCCGUAGAAUUUAUAGAUUCCAUGGCCAUAAUUGCCAUAACAAUGAAAGAAAUUUAAAUUCAAAUGAACUAUAGCAUCCUCUGCAAAGUCAGUCUUAAGUUACUCUCAAAGCACUUUGGAUGAUCUUUCAAAGGAAGCAUUCCAUAUCCUUCUGUUCUGAAUUGUACAUCUCAACUUUGGCCUUUUUUUAACAGGAAAAUUGAUGAUUUGGAGAAAACAAUGGAUGAGAUCAAUGACCAAACUGAAAGCAUGAAGCAGAUUCAGGAGGCAUUAUCAGCACCUAUUGGUGCAGCAGCUGAUUUUGAUGAAGUAUGAUCUUUGCAAGUUCUUAGUUCAUGCAUGCAAUGGUUUAUUUUCAAUAUAUUAGGUUCAAAUUAUGCAACUUUGUUUCUGCAGGAUGAAUUGGAAGCAGAGCUUGAAGAACUGGAAGGAGCUGAAUUGGAGGAGGAGCUUUUCCAGCCAGCCACAACUGCUCCCGCAGCUACAGUACACGUAAAUGCCCCGGUAGGCAGGCAACCAACCCAACCAGCUCCUCAGAGGAACAACCGUGAUGAGGAUGAGCUUGCUGCAUUACAGGCAGAGAUGGCACUUUAAGAGGUUACUUAUAUGUAUCAGGUUGGUAAUUUAUCUUGACAAUGGACUCCUCACUCAAGCGGGGUGAUGCACAUAAUAAGAUUUAAAUUGUCGUAGAACUUAAAUAAGAAUUCAGCUUCUGUUGGAUUAAGAUUUAAAUUGUCAUUUGAAUCAAAGUUAUGUUUCUCAAAGCAUUUAUGUUACUUCAUAUGAUCUGAUGGGUUUUGUUGCUGUGUUUGCAGUUGUUAACAUAUAGAAGGAGAAGAUUAAUAAAACUUGAAUUAUGGAGGAUGAUGCGAAUCUCUCGGACUCUCCAGACUGACUUGUGACUUUUAAUACUGCAUUUGAUGGUCUGUAUGUAUACAAAAUAAUAAGUUGGUAAAACUGUUUUUACUACUUUGUAAUAUAAUGGGUCAAAUAUUAGGCUUCUUUGUACAACUAAUACUGGGAACUUAUAGUCAUUUUUUUUUAUUUUAUCACUAUCGAAAUCUUAUUAUGAUUUUACAAAGUUAAACAUAAACUCUAUGCUUGAUCACAAUUUUAGAAUCGUUAAGCUAUGAUUUCGAGCUAAUCGAUGACUUGCAAAAACGGCUAUAGCUCACAGAAUGAUUCUAAGAAAAUCUUAACACACGCAUCGCAUCAAUUACAUGAGGGCAAUGGAAAUAUAUCAUUACUCUCCAUACAUAACAUCGAUCCAUUGACCGAGCAACGUGCAUGAAAAAUAUUCAAAACGACGCACCAUAAUUUGAAGGAUUCAAUGUCAAAGAGAAGAAUGAACAAAACAUAAAAGCAUGUAUAAGAUGGGUGUGAACCAUGCUUGCAAUUUGACAAAGAUUCUCUACUUAAAUAUAAACAGAACAAACCGUGAAAGUGGGGGGGGGGGACCAUAAGUGCAUCAUCAUAUGAACACAAGAAAAACAAGAACCUGUAUGUUUUUGCUCUGGUGUUUCAAUGAGUUUCAUAAUUUUAAUUUUAACUUUUAGACAGGCAACAAAGUUGAGGUUAUCUUUUUCUCUGACUUGGAAUAACUCUGUCUUCCAUAAAGAAAAGUCUGAAAGGGAUGCCCCAUCUUAAGUUCUUCACUUGCUGAUGAUUGUAAGGCAUAAAAUAGGAUUAUGGGGUGUGACUUCUUAAUCACAUCAGACUAAUUGCAAGAUUCUUCACUUGGUUUGUUUUUUUUUUUUCCUUUCUUUUUCCUUAUUGAUUUCUCUUAACAGCUAAAUUCCAUGAAUUUGGACUUUCUGAAAUAGCCAAUGGAGAAGAGGGACCUCUAUUGUGAAAACAAGGGGCUCUUACACAUUGUCUUUUCUGAUUUCUGAUAUGGGAUUUAUGCUUUCUUCUUAAGUUCAUUUGAAGAAGCAAAUGACCCACUAGUAUAGUGGUUUAGAGCAAUUGUUCCUUAAGAAAAAUUCUAGGUUCGAGUCCUAGCAUCCAUGUAGUGUGUGUGAGUUUAGUAUGUUAUCGCCCCUCUCAAUAAAAAAUGUCCUCAAAAAAGUUCAUUUGGAGAAGGAAUAUUCAACCACACAUAAAAUGCCACCAAGAAGGAGAUAAAGAACAUUCAUUAUGAUGCAACCUUUGAAGUUCAAUGUGAAAGCAUAAGAUAAGAGACAGAGAGAGAUCAAAACGUGAACCCCAUCUGUUUUAAACCUUUCUGUAAAUGCAAUAUAUCCCAUAAUUAAGAAAACUUCAAAACCAGAUUCCCAGCCCUGGAUAGCUUCGAUGAUUUUCAAACAAUCCCUAAUUGGGGCAAUUCUCGUAGACGGAGCAUAUGCAAUGUUUGGUAGCUUAUGGCAAGUGAUCUAAUCUCAUAUUUUAAGAUGAUGACUAAGACUAACAAUGUUUUAUUUAAAUUGGGUUUCCAAAAUAAACAAUAAUGAUUAAGUAAUGCUUAAGAACUUAAUAAUGGCAGUGAUUAGUGAGGCUUAAUUAUAAUCUUAAAGUCUUCCCUUCACCAAUAAAUUGUACGGGAAAUUAAAAAAUAAUUAUGUCCUCUCGAUUCGUGAAUGGACAGGGUACUUGACCGUACAAUGAACAAUGAAAACGAUCCAUGGAUAAGUUUAAUGUUCUAGUUAUGAAUCACAGCUCUCAAACAGUGACACUUGACCUUAGGCACACACUGCAUGAAUAAUUUAAACCAUAUGGAGUCGAAACAUUCAGAACGCGUUUUUCCAAAAAAUAAUGGCUUCUCAAUACACAUAAAAAGGGAGAAAAUUUUUGUAAGUUUCUAUAGGGUAAUGUAUGCAAAUGUGUAUUCACAUUGCUGCAUGAGAUGAAAAUAUCCAAGCGAUAAUGGAGAGGGGGAUUGAAACACAAGACCUCAACUGCUUCUUCAAACAUAACCUUUGAUUUUACCACUUCCAAGUCUUGAAGUUGCAGAGAUGAUGUAGGUUAUGACUGAGUAAAAUAUCAAAAGCAGGGCAGAGUAUCUUUUAUGGUUAUUUUUUGAGAGGGACAUUUCGGAUCAUGAUCAACUUUGAACUGGCCACACCCCCACACAACUUUCAUGACCCCUGGCAUAUAAAGAAACAGGCAAACAUGCUGAGGCCAUCCAAACCCCCCAACACUGAUUCUUUGUGCCAUUGUACCUUAAAGACAGAGUAAAUUAAUUAACCAAAUUUCUGAGAACCCACAAUGGGAAUGCCUGUGAAAGUUGAAAGCUUUAUACACAGACAAACAAAACAAACAGAGACAAAGAGGAAGGGUUCCAUACAUGUUCAUCUACUAGUCAUUACUUAAAAUUUUGAUUUACAUCACAUUUUCUCCUCCUCUAUGAACAGAAGCAGAGGUCCAACUGAGACUGAAUAUGACUAGAAUAAAUGAAAAAGAAAUUAAAACAAAGGGGAACCAAAAAAGAACAUCCUUUUUUCUAGCUAAUAUUUACUUCCCCCAUUUCCUUCGCCAGUUCUAAGCAUUUGCUUUUGUUUCUUUUCCCCAUGCUUUUUGGUUUUCACAGAUGGUUGAGAACCCUUUGACUCAGUCCUUGUUUUGUGCCUCAAUAUGAGCUUGAAAAUAAAUCACCAAAAUUUGUACAGCUAGCUGGGCCAAAUUCACUGGUUUUUUCUCCAAAGCACAUGCCAUAAUUCACAUCAUAAGGCAGACCGAAAUCUGUAAACAACCCAGAAUCAUCAAGGGAACCAUUUCCAGGUAGUGAGGCACACUUGUCAACAGCAGCUAUUGAAGAAGAGUCUGAAAUGUUUGAGCCAUCCUGAGAUAAUGAAACAGUAGUGUAACUUUUCUUUGAACUUGCACCAAAAUCUGAAAAAGCCAUGACCUUGGAGCUGUAUAAUUGAUCUGGUGAGUUUAAAGUCCAGGUUUGGUUAUAGGCAUUCAGUCCAGAAUUAACAUCAGUUAACAUGUGCAAUGUGGGUGGAAUUUGGGUUUGGAAUGUUGAAAAGGCAGAGUCUUGGGGUUCAGCUUUUGGGACACAAGGCAGGGCCAGUGAGGCUGCAGAGCCAGGAAGAGUGGCAUUGUUAGUGGGCUCUUUGCUGUUCUUUGUUGUGAGGUUUUGUUUUCCCCCAAAUAGCUUCUUCUUUAAUUUGGUGUUCCAAUAGUUCUUCACAUCAUUAUCUGUUCUUCCAGACAUCUGAGAAGCUAUCACUGACCAUCUGAAAAAAAGUGGGGAAAAAUGUUAGAAAUUAUUAAUAGUGUUGCAGAUAUAAAAACCAUGAAAAAAUUUAGUAUAAAGAAUGAUAAAUGGACUUGCCGGCUCCCCAUUUGGUUGUAGAGGCUACAUAUAAUGCUGUCUUCCUCUUCAGUGAAGCAUCCAUGUUUGAUGUCUGGCCUCAGAUAAUUGAGCCAACGUAAACGGCAACUCUUCCCACAUCUCCUAAGACCUGAAAAAAAAAAGGAAAAAUACAAUUGUAAGAAGAAGAAAAAAAGUUCAACCUUUUCUCAUCCAGAAAAAUUCUGAGAGUCAAACUGAUGAAUGGGUUUAGUAUGGACGAUUCAUUGAACAAAUUGGCAAAAUAAAAAAAGAAGAACCCUUUUGUUCUUUUUUUCAUAAUUUUCAUUCUGUGAGGUCAAAAGAUAGAACUAAGCAUCACACAGAGACAGAGUGUGUGUGUGUGUGUGUGUGUUUGUGUGUGUGUGUGUGUGAGAGAGAGAGAGAGAGAGAGAGAGAGAAAGAGAGAUACCAGCUUUUUUGGGCAAAAGGAUCCAAUUUCCACCAGUUCCAUGAGUCUCAAGGUAGCUCUUGAGAGUUGCGUCUUCAUCAGGUGACCAUGGACCUCUCUUCACAUUAUCUUUGUCACAACACGGAGUGCGUCCCAUGGCUAAUUACUCACUUCCACACACACACCACCAAAAAACUAAUUUCAGAGAGGGAGAGAGAAAGACUUAGAACCAGAGACAGAGACAGAGACAGAAAGAAAGUUCAGACACGCUGAUGCUCCAAAAUAAGCAAAUGCAGGAGCUUUUGGUGGAGAGCUUAUAAAGAUGGUGGCACCUUAAAAUAAAAAACAAAUAGAGUAAAUGAAAAAAGGCUUGACCUUGUACUUGUACGACCUCCCCAUUUCUCAACUUUAAUUAUAAUUUCUUUUUAUCUGGUACUUGUUCCUUGCAUUCCAAGACAAAGACCCAGUCAACAUUCACACAAAAACUGUAUUGACUUUAUUUUUAUUUUUAUUUUAACUUUUAAUAUCGGGUAGGGUAAUAUCAUGAUUCAUGAAGAUGAAUGAACCGUUCAAAACUGACGGUCCAAAAUGUCCCUUAGUCGAAUUUUACUGCUUUAAUUAGUUGUGUUCUUCUAGCUCUGGUCAGAAGAUAUGGACUUAGCCACCACACAGGCACAGGGGAACAAAACCCUACUCUUGCCUUGAUCCACAUCCACUGACAAGUGAUUAGCGGUAAAUAAAUAUUUGAUUAAAUAGUAUCAUAUGAGAAAAUUGUGUCCAAUUAGCAAUAGUAAAUCGAAAAUUGGAACUCAUACACAGACAGUUCUAAUGGUGAAUGCUUCAAAUGAACUUUUCAAUGUGAGCUUGUACUAUUUUUGACAUUUUACUAUUCAAAGUAACCCAUCAAGGCGAUGAGCAUUGAUGUCUUGGUCACAGCCAAAAGGGUUUUAAAAUAUCAUAAAAAUUAAUUAUUUAAUUUCAAGUUGGUGUGGCUGCUUCUCCAUUGUUUUCCUAUUGACUUCUUGGUAUUUUGUUGUUUUCUCUGCUUCCAGUCUAAAGAUUCCAUGUCACGGGCUCAAGUCGUUUUUAAUGUUUAUAUAUAUAUAUAUAUAUAUAUAUUGGUAAAUACCAUGAGAUGUUCGGGCCAGUUUGUGUCUACCUCAAUUAAUUUCCACUCGCGAAACUGAGCCUGUCACUGACCACCGAGUGUUGCAACCUUCGGGACUCAAUCUGAAAUACAAAUCCAAUAAAACCCCAGAACCUUAUCCAAAUGACGGACAAACCACUGGGCACUUGCUAAACCAGUAACUCGACAUCACCGUGUUUUUUUUCCUUUUAACCCCACCACGACAUCAUUUUGGUGCACAUGGGUUAAUUUAAUUGGUUUACUUAAAGCAAUAUUUCAUACAUUCACAGCCCAAGUCUCCUUAGGGCCUUAUCAAUGGACAGAACAAGGUGAAACUGACCAAUUUCUUUCAUUCAUUGGGUUCACUUGGGCUGGGCUCAUGUGUGAGGGUACCACAAAGGAAAAACGUACAGAAUUUGAGGAGAAGGCAGCUCUACAUAUCUUUGAUUUUUCCUGCGGCUUCAUAUAUAACCGAUGAGAUCCCUUGCUACUCCCGUCCAGACACUCCCGUCAAAACAUUAUUAAUACAGCGUAAGUAUUUAGCAAACAAAUGAUAUUUCUUAACUGACGUCCUAGAUUUGAUUUCCUCUUUUUCAAUAUUGUAUGUAUAAAAAAUAAAAUAAAAAUUAUCCGUCUUAAUAUGUGAAUAAACUAAUUAGAUGUAUAUAUAUUGAAAAUUUGCAAUGAAGGGCCUUUGCAUAAUCAUUUGAGGACAUUAAAAGAUUGGAACAAUAUGAUUGAGAAUUUGAGCCUACGUUACUCCUACUCCUAUACUAGUGAUAAAUCGUAUAUCGACUAAAUAAAAUAUUUUAUAUGCCCAACUUCCAUUAAUUUACCCUUAUCAUUUUGCUGGAUGCACAUACAAAAUCCAAUAUGCUAAAUUAUUUUUCUAAUAACUUAGAAAACAAACAAAAUAGCUAAUCAUGACAUAUUUAUUUUACACUACCUAACUCUUUCUAUAAGAUAAAAACAAGAUUUGGAUAAGAGCCCAACUUGUCACAUCAUUUUUGUGCAACCACCACAUUUUCAAUCCAAAAUAUAUAAAUAUUAUAUGGUCCUCCCCAUAGCAAACAACAACGUAACACCCAACGAAUAGAUGGCACAAAGGAGGGAGGAAAUAGUGCCAAAUAUUGGCAUAUAAUUGUCAAUCAACUUAGCACGAUAGCGACAAUGUUUUGUCCAUCGGAAAAAAAUUACUUGGGUCCCUUCAAAACGUUCGUUUGUCCCUUCAUUACCAAGUCAAUGUCUCGCAAUCUAUUUAAGCUUGCAUUGCAUGGCUAUACACAUUUUGGAGUAUAAUAAAUAUUUUCUUGUCGGGAGAUAAAUAAAGAUUUAUCUGAUUGACUUUUAUUAUAAUAUAUGGUUCAAAUUCAGUCUGAUAAAUUAAUAACGCAAGUCUGAUAAGAAAACAUUACCCUCUAAAAUAAUAAGUUCUUGCAAGUAGGUAUAAAUCUUUAGACAACCGAUGGAAAGUUAGGUAUGUACUAAUAUUAUGGCACUCAUGAAGAACUUCUACUCCAUAAGAUAUUUUGGAAUUGGUUCAAGUCCUUGUCCUGGGUUUUGGAGAUGAAAUUACAUGUAACCAAACAGAGCCCAAUAACACACUCUCCAAGGGAUUUUGUGAUGGAAGCUUUUGUUUUUGAUUUGAUGGUAAUGUAUAUAAUAUAUAUAAGAGUAAGACCCACCAGCUCAAACAGUUUUGAUGAGCACGCCACUACAGGAUCCCUCCCACUCAAUAAGUAAAGUUGCCAUGCCACUGCAAAAAUCAACGAAACCCUUGGAACCACCGUCCACUUUGUCUGCCUUUUUCAUUCUUUUGAAUCAUUCAGUUCCCUUUUUCUUUUGUUUUAUUUAAUCCUUCUAUUAAACCCAAUCUCAAAGGAGUGGUCUUUUUUAUUUAUACACAUAAUUAUACAACCAAGAUGUUAUAAGAAUUUAAAUUAGAAAAAGAAAAACUUCAUUGUAACGAAAUAAUACUGUUUUAUUAUUCUGACCAAUAAUACGACACGUGAAAAAGUUAUGUCAAGUGAACAAAAAAUGAUAUUCUCGUUACAUGAGAGUUUAUCUCCUAAAUCUGAGACCUCUAAUCUACAUGCCAAUGUACUUUUCUUACUUUCAAUGAGAUAUAUUAAUCAUAAACAGAACUAAUGAUUUUGAUUGCUACAUAAAACAAUUAUUUACACGGAUGUGCUUCUCUAAACCAUCACUUUCAAACUUAAUGGAUUAUAUAGACAUUAGUUCUUGUAUCUUUGUAUGAUUAAGAUUAGAUUAAGUAGGAACAAGUGUGGCCGUUGAAUAAGAUACGUGAAUUAAGAGGUAAAUUUAUUCAAAUCUGCAAUCUAAAAUAAAUUGACAACGUGCGUAAAUCUUUGUAUGGUUUAUACUCUAGUACAUUUUGUGAGAGAAAUGCAAAUAAAUAACACUACAAAUGAUCAUCAUCACAAGAGAUCAUGACGAGAGAUUAAUUUGAUGUGGAAGUUGUAACAUAAGCAAAUGGUGCCUCCUUGACCAUAUCCUCUCUUUGAAAACCUUCACAUCAAAGACAUUAUUUUUACAGAUAAAAUCCACGAAAGAAUAGUCAAAGCACAAGUGGUGGCACAUAGUGGAUAAAUUAAAAGAUUUCCAAUGGAUAAGGACGGGCUUAUCAGCUCCACAAGCCACGUCAUGAAUCCAAUCGCUGUGUACAUGAAAACCAGAUAUAAUUGUUUAUAGAGGGUGGUGGGUUUAAAUUACAAUGAUUCUUUUCCACAGGUUUAAUCAUUUUCUUAAUCCAUAUAGCUCUAAAUGAAUAAUUUGUUUACAGGACACUUUAUUAAAUAAAUUAUAAUUUUCUAUUGCUUCAUUCUUUAUAAUAAGCUUGGAAAGCAAGCUUGAUCAAAGCGAAAGCAUCAAUGAAUUCUAUCUGCUUAGAAACCCACAGAGUCAGUUAAUUCAAUAAAACAAAUGAUAGUCUAAAUCAAUCUAAUGUUCAGUAAUCUAAAUUAAUCUAAUGUUAGGAGAGUUUAAUUAAUCUAAUGUUCAAUAAAACAAAUGAUAUUCUAAAUUAAUCUAAUAUUUGGAAAGAGAAACUCGAAUUACUAAAUUUCAUAAUUCAUUCAUAUGACAUGUCUGAGAAUCCAAAGCUUAAGACUGAAGCUUGAAGACAAAACACAACUUUUUUCAUCAUAAUGUUAAACUAUCCAGAUUAAAUUACAACAUUUUCUUAUAUGUGCAAGACAUUAAUUAUGGAGAAUAAAACACAAUUCAAUCGCAGAAAUGGGGAAAAACAAAAUUGAGGAAAUGAAAUUUACAUUAAUUGAGCCAUGAAAAUGAACUUACAAUAUGAUUAUCCGAGAAAAUUUGACAGAAGAUGCAAAAAGAAAAUUAAAAUUCAUAGACAUUGAUCAAAGAAAGUAAACAACAGCUACCCAAAUUCCCAGCAGCCUCAACAAAUUCUUCUUUUUUAUCUGUACAAAUUUGCAGAACGGGACUUUGGAAAAUCUCCUUCCUUCCUUCACAGUUCAUCACAUCAACUAUUUACAACAGUUUCAAAAUUAACCUCUAUUCACAAAAGGUCAGAAGAAUCAGAAGGCCACUGAUAUUUAACGCAUCAGCCAAAAAAUUGAAUCAAAACGGAACACGAUCGACAAACGAGUUCACACUGCACUCGGGUUUCAUUCACUCACUAGCUCCGAAACCCAGCCCACAUCAGGAGCUGACAUGCCCGAGUCGACUCGGCCGACUCUGCCCAUCGAGUUUUCCUUACUCAGCCUCGCAUACAUUCUCGCUCGGAGAUCCCUCCCGGACUCCACCCUCUCCAUUGCCGGCUCUUCCUCGCAAGGGUGGUCCCAAAUAUCAACCGCCCCGGGUCCAGCCCGACCCGAGGUCCGAGUCGGAGUCGAAGGAAGGCUACAAAACGCGGGUCGGAGCGCAGACCCGCGUGGAGAAGAACCAAACCCAGAUCCCAUUUGUGGGCCCCAUGCAGGCGGAGCACUCAUUUUCAUCUUAGCAAGCUUAAAGUUCCGCAUCGAAGCGACGAGUUCACUCACCGAGUUACAGCCGAGUUGAGGGCUGUUGGGCGACAUUGGUGGCGAGUCAGACGGCGGAGAUAUCGGCGGCGAUAUCAGGAUCGAGGUGGGUGACGAACCGUACGAAUACGAGUCGAAAGCGCCCGACCCGUGAGUUCUCGGGCUCUGCCCGGGCAGGACCCGAAGCUGUUCGGGCGUGUGAGCAAAGAAGCAGACACGGCGGUGGCAGCCCAGCCCAUCCUUGCAUGGCUGCGUCCGGUAACGGGCCGGGUGGAGCCAACACUCGAAAACGCCGUGCGCGAACUCGCACGAGUCGCCUUUGGCGCAAUGGCCCUUGCGGAAUUCGGGGCAGGCGGCGCCCGAGUAGUGGUACUUUCUCGGGUCGCGGCGCCGGGCCUUCUCGCCUGGGUGGGCGUACGGACACUCGGUCCAGUCAUGUGACCUGCCACGCGCGCACCGCCGGACCUUGAACUCGAACAUGCGGAACUGGUCGCAGGAGAUCGGGUUCAUGGGCAUGUCCGGGUCAUCGCCGAGCGAGUCAGACUCGUUUGACGGAAGGUAACGGUGGAGUGCGGCGAGCGAGUCGAGAAACAUCGGAGACAGUGGAGAGUAGUCUCCGUUGCCGGCAUUGCUGUUUACGUUGACGGAGGGAUUUGGGGCGGAGAACGGCGACGUUGGGGUGAGAUCGUCGAAUGGGUCCCACGGAGGGACUUGGAGGGUCGGGUGCAGUCGGGUCGGUUCUCCUAACAUCAUUUUCGGGUGGGGGCUUGGACUCGGGAGUUUCUGCAAAUGCGAGAGAAGAUGGUCGCUGAGUGUCUCAUAUAUAUAAACGGUUUUGAAGUAGCAGGAAGAAGGAGAGAGAGAGAGAGGGUAAAUGCCAAGUAGGCCACAUAGUCACAGAGUGGGGUUGGGUUUUAAGUUAACCGUGGUGGAGUUAAAUACGUAACUGCGGUCAAUUAACUCUAGUAAAAUAUCUACCGCCUCCAGAAUAGCCCCUCUAUUUCCAUGGAAAGCCAACGAUUUUUCAAAUUUUAAUAUAUUUUACAUUUUUUAAAACAAUAAAGCUGUACUUGCACCUUUUUUAAAUAUUUAUUAUAAUUCUAACGUUACAUCUAAAUUGCUUCGCACCCUUCAAAAAUUAAAAAAGCAAAAAAAAAAAGAAAAAAAAAAAGAAAAAGGUAUUGCUUGGAAGAAAGCCAACCAACACUUAGUUGAUCUCAAACAAAGAUUUAUAGGAUCGAAUCCAAUAAAUCGGUGCAUGAACUUGUAUAGAUCUGGUUUGAUGUUUAAAAUGUUUUAUUUUCCCCAAUCAAAUUUGCUUUAUAACGUUUAUCACCUAAAAAUGCAUGCAGAAAUGAAGGAUAAGGUUCAUGAUCAAACAAAAAAGGAAGAUAAGAUCAAGCAAUGAAAGUCAUGCAACAUUUCAACCACUUCGAUUAUGAUUGAUUAUAGACUUAUAGCUCGUUGCUAUACCUUAAUCUUCAAGACAAAAAUAGUACUUGCGUAUUUUCUAUGGAAGAGCUAUUUUCACACAAAUUUGUGUAAAGUUUAGAUUUCUAAAAUAAUAUUGCCCAAGAUUUUUAUGUUCAGUAUUUGUUAAAAUGGUAAUUGGAUAAAUGUUUGUCCGAAGUAAGACAUUUGUUUAUAAGGGGUUUAUAACUUAAGUAGUUUGUGCUAAAAAAAGUGAAACUUUUAAUUGUUAGUGGUGCUUGAAUUUAUAACCGAGUUUUAUUAUUCUUGAACUCGUUUGUGUGUUAUUUUUAUCUUUCACUUUUCAUACGUGUUAUAAUUUAGUCAUUUCCUCACAUUAUAUCAAUUCUAUCUCAAGGGGUAAAACGUCAAUUUUGAUACUAUUUUAUCCUCUAAAACCAACAAAAAAAUGUAACGGAAUAAUUAAAUUGGAACUUUAAUGAGAGUUGAAAGAUUAAAAGGUCGUAAUACAUGGAGAUUGUGCAUUCAUUCCAACGAGCUACUUGGAUUUAUGAACUCACGGACCACGGGCCCUGGUUUGGUACGAAGUAGUACCACCGGAUUAAAAUUGCACGUAGAUUUGGGUCCAGGUUAACCUAACCGGGUCAAGGUGGUGAUAAGAAGCUUGAGACAGAGAGGUUGUAGGCCCAACCCCUUCAAUAAAGAAAAGUUGACAGGUCGGCAAAAUGUAAUCGCUGUGGGAUCCUCCGUCAAUGGAUGGUUCAUAAAUACUCUGGGAUGGAGGGAGGGUUACGUGUAAUUUGUAAACAACAAAUUCUGUACGGAAAACACGUGUGAGCUCGUUAAGCGAUGCUGUACAUACACGUGGUUGGUGGUUUCUCGAGGUGGCGGUGACUUAACUUCGUCCUUGGCUGAUAGUCGCAGGGCUCUAGCUGAACGGAUGGUGUACGUGUGGCACCUGAUUAGCUCCUCCGCGUUUGCCCUCCUCGAGAUCCUCAUGAUCUUGUCGACUCAGUCCACUGGAGAUUUUAUUUUUUAUAUUUAUCUUGUUUUUCCUAUAUGUAAAUUUCAUCAUGGAUAUUAGAACAAACAGAAUCUUAAACAAAUGGUUAAAAAAUGGCAAGGGAAGAUAGUCACAAAUUAACAAUGUCACUUUUGUUUGAUUUAUGUUUAAUCUUCACUCUUUUGUUAUUGAGAGUUAUGUUACGGUUAGUCGCUCAUGUAUAUUAGGAAGUCUAUAAAUUAAUCAUGAUUUGUUUUGAAUGAAGAUAUAAGCUUAGUUAAAUUGAUUAGAAUAGUUAUACUCCUUUUUAUGCAUCUGAGUUCGAAUUUUUUAUCUCGCAGUUUUAAUGAAUUUAAAAUAAAAUAAAACCAUGCUCUUAGCUUUGGUUAUGAUGUUACCUAAUUUAAGUGGUUGGAUGACGGUGAAUAAGUGGAUAAUCAUUUAAUCCCAUGCAUUUGGAUGGUCUACUUGUAAAUUAGAAUAAAGAUGCUAGGCUUAGCAAAAAGAGAAUGAAGAUAUUAAUAAUUGUGAUUUGGUGGGGGUUUAUGCAAGACAAAUCUCAUCGGCCCGUGGUUUAGGGCCUCGUGCUUAGUAAAUGUCGCCAGGAUAUGCUGCACAUCACAAGAUUAAAUCACUAAAUAAACCCAAAUUGAGCACCAGGUUCUAUCUUAAUCGCAGUCAUAAAACCCUUUUAAAAGCACUCGGAAGAGUUAAAGUCUUCAACCAUUAAAUAAUUAUAAAACUAAUGAAAGGAUUUAUUCUCAAAAGGGUAAUGAUUCGUUGGGUCGUUUUGCAUCAAAAUCGGCUUAGGCCCAAAAUGAAAAACGGGCUUUUGAAAUUGGGCUAAUUUAAUUUUAAAAAUCAAAUUAUUUUAAUUCAUAAAUCGUGGGAAUUAUAAUCCACAUCAAGCUAGGGUUUUAGAGAAAAAAUUCGCCAAAUCGGUUCUGACAAAGCUCGAAAAAUUGGCCUAGGCGGAUCCGGUCCUUUUUUUCCUUGAGGCCGAGAUACCGAGCUCUCUCUCUUCCCCGACUUUGAGGGGCGGCGCUGAUUCGAUCACCUCGCCGACCUCCUCAUUUUGAAUGUCUGACACGUCUGUGGCUUUCUCAACCUCCAUGGUGCAAUCAGAACUCCAAGCGACGGUAGCAUGGAAGUUGUGAUUUUUGUACGGGUGAGAUUAAAUUAAUAUAUUUAAUAGGUGUAGUAUAGCCGAACGGCUAUACCCGUUAAAAAAUAUAUUUAGUGGGGCGGCUAUACUCUUUAAAUAAUGUAUUUCAUGGGUAUAGUAAAGCCGGGCGGCUAUACGCUUUAAAUAAUAUAUUUGAUGGGUAUCAUAUAGCCGAACGGCUAUACUCGUCAAAUAAUAUAUUUAAUGGGUAUAGUAACGCCGUCUGGCUAUACUCGUUAAAUAAUAUAUUUAAUGGUUAUAGUAUAGCAGUAUAGCCGAACGGCUAUACGCGUUAAAUAAUAUAUUUAAUGGGUCUAGUAUAGCCGCGCGGCUAUACUAUUUAAAUAAUAUCUUUAAGGAGCAUGCGGGUAUACGUUUUAAAAAGGUAUAGCCGCGCGGCUAUACUAUUUAUUAAAAUGAAAAAAAAAGGGGAAAAAAGGACCCGGCUAGCACCCACAAUUUUUUUUUUUUUUUUAAAAUUUUCCUGGGCGGGGGGCGAGUCUGGCAUCUCUACAAAUACAUCAAGCUAGGAUUUUAGCACUCACUCUUUCUCACCAUUUAUCAACAACGUAAAGGUUGGCUCUUCCAACAAUUCACUGUUUUUUUCUGUGCAUUAUUUUUGCUGCGACUUAGAGUGCGUUCAUUUGAAAUUUGUGAAAUUGUCGAUAGCUCUGAAGAAGUUGUCAAGUUUUGUGAUAAAUAUUGGGCUCUUUGUAUUGAAUAAGUCCAAGUUUCACCUGAAUUGCGUCUCUUUGAAAAUUCAAACCCUACAAGCUGAGAAAUUGCAAUUGAAAAUCAGUUCCAUUUUCUGUUUUGGUUUAUGUUAUGUUUGGUUUGUAGGAAGCUGAUGAUGAACAAAUAUUCUCUUACCUAAAUAUUCAGUUUCAUGUUUCUUUUGUUGUAUUGAUUGAUUAGUUACAAAGUGAGUUGGUCUGGUUAACUGACCCAAAAGGAGUAGGCUGCUUUAUCAGGAACACUUGGAGAGCAAUGAGGGUGAUCCUGAGUUACUUGUUGUUUUAUGUGUUAUCUUCAGGACAUGAGUUAAAGAAUGCAUAAACAUGCAAUGGAUGGGGACAGGGAGAUCCAUUGGUUGAGUAGUUGUACCCAUUUUUCCAUAUUUUCAUUCAAUUUCAAUGGUAACAUGUUUUGUUACAUCUCCAUAGUCAGAUCUGUAUGAGUUUUGAGUAUGGGAUUUAACCACUUAAUUUGUGUUGCAUCUUUAGAAAUUUUAUUAAAACCUACCAUUCGAAGACCAACUUAUUAGAUGAAGUUAUCUCUGGAAUAUUUUGUUCAUUUAUUUCUGAUAGAUUUACAUCAGAUCUCAAGAUCAAGAGCAUUUCAAUUAUUGGUGGUGCUAAAGAUGCCUGCAAAUUCGUGACAUUUCCCAGUCUUAAAAUUUGGUUCCGGUUUUGGUUUUUGCAAUUUGACCUGCGAUGCGAGGCUGCAACCACAAACACACACACACGUUAUCUUCGUAAGGCUUUAUAGCUCCGUAAUGAACUUCAAUCCGAAAAGGCAUCAAAUCAAAUCAUAUCACUGAAACUACAAUUUGAACGUUAUGAGGGAAGUGCGACAUGUUGAAUCUGAAUGAUUGUAGCCAAAAAUUGUAGUACGAAACCAGAGAGCAUUUCGAGCUAUCUUCUUCCAUUGGCAACAUAAUUGGUUCUUCUCCAAGCGGCAGUCAAGGCAAAGGCACCACGGAAUAUAAUUGGUUCUUGCUGUUCACUCGUACAUUUAGAGCCCAAAACACUCUUUCAUUCCUCUCACAUCACAGUCUUAGUUGUUUUUCAUUUACAGGCUUAUUUAAUCUGCUUCUGGUGAUUCAACAUUUGUUCUGGUGAAAUCACAUUUGUUCUGGCUCCAGUCAUAGAAUCUAACAAUUAAUUUACAGGUCUUUUCAUAUGCAUAAAAGGAUUUUUGUGGACACGUCACCUGAACUUAAUACCUAAACCCAACAAAUUGUUAUGCUCCAACCGACUCAAAAAAUUGUUAUAAAAAUGAAAACCAAUUUGCUUGAUGUACUCAAAGUCAAAGAUAGAACAAAAAAAUUCAUGACUUUUGAGUAGAAUACCAAACCGGCCUUAAAGUUUUCGACGAAUAAAAAUGGAGGAUUAUUUAUAAAACUAAUUAAAGGAUUAUUCUCAAACGGGUAAUGGUUCGUUGGGUCGUUUUGCAUCAAAAUUGACUUAAGACCAAAAAACAAAACGGGCUUUUGAAAUUGGUUCAUGGGUUCUCAGUUUGCCAAGAAAUUUACCUUCCAGUUCUUGGGUCAAGACUCUUGAACUGUUAGAUACGUUUUGAGAGAGGCAUGGAUACCCAGUCCCAUAUAUAUAGAAAACGAUAGUUCAAACUAUAGGAGAGAGGGGGUUUCUCACACACACAAUCAAGAAUCAAGGGAUUCGAAUCUAAGAUCUCUUAGAACAUCGGCAAUGGUUGUUCAAUAGUUCAAGAAAUUGAUCUUUUUUGGCAUCUAUUGAAUUGAAUUGCAGUUUUACUUGCAAUAGUAUAGUUCAAUAGUUUCAGAUCAAUAGUUAUAUCUAUUUAUAUAUUUUUUUUACAUACUCAAAUAAAAUAAAAGGGACAAAUUCAAUAACACUAAAAAUUGUAACAUUGCAAUAUUCUCAAAGAGAUCUUUAAAAAGAGACCAAUUUUGAAUAUAUUUGAAGAAAAAAAUUUAAUUAAUGUAUUUUUUUCUAUUGCAUUGAAUUAUUGAACAACCAUUAUGGAUGCUCUUAAAAACAUAAUACAUUAAUUGCUGUAUUUUUUUUCAAUUUUUAUUAACAUGUGGGUCCCAUAUUUAGCUUAUUACAAUUGCGUCUAUUGCAAUGAACUAAAUCACACCAUUGCAAGCGAGAUUUUACUGUUUUAAUUCAAUUUCAUGCAAUAAAAUUGCAUUGAUCCUAACUAUUGCAGAUACUCUUUAAUACAUUUUUCCACUGGGCUAGACCAUUGACGUAUUAACAUUAUCUUUAAUUCUUCAUUUAUUUGUCAUAUAGAAAAUUAUUACCCUUAAUAUAUUUUGCAAAAACAAAAACCCAUUAAUUUUUGGUCCUGCCUAAAAUGAUUAUUUCAUAUUGAUGGAACAUUUGUACCCAAUCUUAUAUCUUUCUGGGCCUGCAGCCUUGCACACAAAUUUGAAAUUUGCAAAUGAAAGGAAUACCGGAAUGGCUUGCAUUCCUUGACUCAAUGAGCACGGAUAGUUAUGAAGGCCCAGUCUCACCUAAUUUUGCAAAGGAUCCAACAGCCAAAAGAUUAAUAUCAUUCAUGUAUCUUGCAGUCAAAGGCUAGAAAGGCAAAUGAAUAUUCAAAUCAUAAAUUAAACCCUCUGGAGAGCUUCCAUUCCAAUACAAGCAUACCACCAAUCUGCAAGACAAAGCAAAGCACAAUCCUUGGAACAACAAAGAAAGAACCAAGAUUUUUUGUCUUGUUUUCUAAUUUAUUUGUUCAGAUUGGUAGAGUCGUUCGUUGCUUUUAAGGUUUGUUGAUCCAAAUGUUUUGUUUGUUUGGGUUAAAUUAAACCCAGGUAGACAAAUAAAAAAAUGGUCCCGCGCUUUUCGUAGUCUUCACUUUACUCGAAAAUUUGCAGUUGGGAUUGUGUUUAUAUAUGAGGAGGCUCAGAGCUUGGUGCUUCAGAAGCCAAGUCUCCAAAAGCAAUCAGCAGAAUCAUCCAAAGGUAGUGUUUUUAGUUCUCUAAUUAUCUUUUAUGAGUAAAAUGCAGCUACUCAUUUUGUAUUUAUUUAAUUAUUUUUGGUUUUUUGGUGUUGGGUUAGAGAUCCAAAGAAGAAGCCAUGGAGAACCAAAAACAGACCGACAAUGGCGCCGACCACAAGGAGGUUUGGCCUUUUUUUCUUCUGUUCUGUUCUGUUUUGUUCCUCAAGUUUUGUAGACGCUUUUCUUGACAUUGGGUUAUUCGUUAGGUUGCUUUUGGAGAAUAUUUAAUUCAGGAGAAUUGCAAUUGUCUUUUACUUUAUAAACAUGUAUUUUACUUUAUUCUUUUUUAUUUUACAGAACUCACUGAACUUUGAAAUCGAAGCAAAUUAACUUUUGAACACGAAAUAUAUAUAUAUAUAUAUAUUCAAAAUAAUGAACACAAAAAAUAGAAUUAUUUAUUUAUUUAUAAAUAAAUCUAAGCAGACAAUCUGACGUUACAUGGUAUUUGAUUUUGAGUCCUUAAAAGAGGAAAAUGAUGAUAAAGGGUUUUAAGAAGUAGCUACCUGAACUUAAAUGCUCCAAAUGCUCCAACAUUUUUAUGACUUCUGCUUUCUCCGGCUAGAAAUUGGUCAAUUCAAGUAGCAGCCAUGCUACAAAUAUCAUUCUGAACCAUGAUUUCUCUGGAGGGCUGCAUUCUUGGCACCCCAACUGCUGCGACGGCUUUGUAGUUUCAGCUGAUUCUGGUCACCCAGAAGCAAAGUCAGCAGGCAAUAAUUAUGCUGUUGUUAACAAUCGAAAAGAAUGUUGGCAAGGCUUGGAGCAAGAUAUCACUGGGAGAAUUUCCCCAGGUUCCACUUAUGUGGUUUCGGCUUGUGUUGGAGUCUCUGGACCUCUUCAGGGAUCUGCUGAUGUCCUGGCAACUUUGAAACUUGAAUACCAAGGUUCAGCAACUAACUUCUUGUUGAUUGGAAGGUAACCGAUGUUUUUACCGUAUUACUGCAUUUGUUUCUUUAUAGAUAAGGAACUUGUUUUAACAGUAGUAACCACCUGCAGAAUUUCUGUAUCGAAUGGGAGGUGGGAAACGUUGGAUGGAAAGUUUUCACUGUCAACAAUGCCUGAUCGGGUUGUAUUCUAUUUGGAAGGGCCUUCUCCUGGAGUUGACAUUCUUAUAAAGUCUGUUGUGAUCUCAUCUUCUAGUCCAAAGGAAUGCCAGGUACUUAUAGUCCCUUUUCUUGCUUCCUCAGAAGUAUAUAUGGAAGCAUUAGAAAGAGGUAGCAAUGAAGUGUUGUUUAUGGAAGAAGUUUGCAGCGACUGCUAUCAAGUUUUUUUCAAGUAGGAAAAGGUCUUUUUCUUCUUUGCUAUCAUCUAUUGCUGAUUGAUUUUGGAAUGUGUAUCUUCCUUUUGUGUUUUGAAAGAAUGGAAGCUCAGGAAAUGUCAAUCUUGGGGAUGAGAAUAUAAUCCUAAAUCCAAAAUUCGAUGAUGGAUUGAAUAACUGGUCUGGAAGAGGCUGCAAAAUUGUUCUGCAUGACUCAAUGGGAGACGGGAAAAUCGUCCCUCAAACUGGAAAGGUAUUUGCAUCUGCAACAGAACGCACGCAGAGCUGGAAUGGCAUCCAGCAGGACGUCACUGGAAGACUGCAAAGGAAGCUAGCGUAUGAGGCCACUGCUGUUGUUCGGAUAUUUGGUAACAAUGUCACUAGUUCUGAUGUACGGGCUACCUUAUGGGUCCAGUCACCAAAUCAACGUGAACAGUAUAUCGGCAUUGCUAAGUUAUUAUCUUUCUCCAUGUCUCUUUCUAAUGAAAUUGUCAUAUAAUUUGUUUCUUCAAUUAAAAAUCUUGAUUAUUUUGUUCAUUUGCACCUUAUCAGAUUAGCCUUAAUCUUAAUCGAAGUUGGUUUGCUAUAAAGUGUGCAGGCAACAGACAAGGAUUGGGCACAGUUGCAGGGGAAGUUCCUUUUAAAUGGCUCCCCAUCAAAAGUAGUCGUUUAUCUAGAAGGUCCACCAGCAGGAACGGAUAUUCUUCUCAACAGUUUUGUUGUCAAGCAUGCUGAGCGAGUCCCUCCCUCCCCUCCACCAGUUAUUGAGGUUUGUUGAUUAAGUGAUUCUUUUUCUAUAAUAUUUCUGAGCAUGUUUUCUUGGAGCUGACUACAAAGAUAUAAGCACUCAAGUUUUGGCUUUUGUUUUCAUAGAAUCCAGCCUUUGGAGUAAAUAUAAUUGAGAACAGCAAUCUAAGUAAGGGCACCAAUGGCUGGUUUCCGCUUGGUAACUGCACUUUGAGUGUCGGAACUGGUUCACCUCAUAUACUUCCUCCAAUGGCAAGAGAUGGCCUUGGACCUCAUGAACCUUUAAGCGGUCGCUACAUCCUUGUAACGAAGCGCACACAGACUUGGAUGGGUCCUGCCCAGAUGAUUGGUGACAAACUGAAACUCUUUUUGACAUAUCAAGUAUCUGCUUGGGUUCGGAUCGGUGCUGGAGCAACUGGUCCACAAAAUGUGAACAUUGCACUUGGUGUGGACAACCAGUGGGUGAAUGGAGGGCAAGUUGAGGCGAGUGACAACAGAUGGCACGAAAUCGGUGGUUCCUUUAGAAUUGAGAAGCAACCAUCCAAAGUAAUGGUUUAUGUCCAAGGCCCUGCUCCAGGUGUAGACUUAAUGGUUGCUGGAGUUCAGAUAUUCCCUGUUGACAGACAAGCAAGAUUUAAAUACUUGAAGAGGCAGACUGAUAAGGUAAAGGGGUUGUUCUUUCAUUUGUUUUGCAAGUAUCAUUAUAAGUAUUUCCAGCAUGACAUUAUUACAAGCAUCAUCAAACUUGUCUCACUGAGCAUUGCUUCAUAAGAUAAGAGCCUAAAGUAUAUAGUGAUCUGAAUUCGCAUUCCCCUAAUUUGUUCCAAAUUUGAGUAUUUCUCCUUUGUUGGAAUGCAGAUCCGAAAGCGUGAUGUUGUCCUAAAAUUUUCAGGAUUGGACUCAAGCAGCCUGCUUGGCUGCUUUGUGAAAGUUAAACAAACGAAAAACAGUUUUCCAUUUGGGACAUGCAUAAGCAGAACAAACAUUGACAAUGAAGACUUUGUUGAUUUUUUCGUUAAGAACUUCAACUGGGCUGUAUUUGGAAAUGAGUUGAAGUGGUAUUGGACUGAACCCCAAAAAGGAAAUUUCAAUUACAAGGAUGCUGAUGAGUUGGUGGACUUAUGCAAGAGUCACAACAUAGACAUCCGAGGUCAUUGUAUCUUCUGGGAAGUGGUGGACACAGUCCAGCAAUGGAUCCGUUCAUUGAGCCAAAAUGACUUGGCAACGGCUGUCCAAAGUCGGCUCACAGAUCUUCUUACCCGCUACAAAGGGAAGUUCAUGCACUAUGAUGUCAACAACGAGAUGCUGCAUGGCUCAUUCUAUCAAGACAAGCUGGGUAAAGAUAUCAGAGCAAAGAUGUUCAAGAGUGCAAACCAACUGGAUCCAUCUGCAACUCUGUUUGUGAAUGAUUAUCACGUUGAGGAUGGAUGCGAUACUCGAUCAUCACCAGAGAGGUACAUUGAACAUAUUCUUGAUUUGCAACAGCAAGGUGCACCUGUGGGUGGCAUUGGAAUUCAAGGACAUAUAGAUAGUCCAGUGGGGCCGAUUGUUUGUUCUGCUCUUGAUAAAUUGGGCAUUCUUGGCCUGCCAAUCUGGUUCACAGAGCUUGAUGUGUCAUCAGUCAAUGAACAUGUUCGAGCGGAUGAUUUGGAAGUGAUGCUGAGGGAAGGUUUUGCCAAUCCUGCAGUAGAAGGUAUAAUGAUGUGGGGUUUCUGGGAGUUGUUUAUGAGUCGACAAAACUCGCAUUUAGUGAAUGCAGAAGGUGAUGUGAACGAAGCUGGAAAACGCUACUUAGAGCUCAAGAAAGAGUGGCUAUCUCAGGCUCAUGGCCACAUUGAUGAGCAGGGAGAGUUUAUAUUUAGAGGCUUCCAAGGAACAUACAAUAUAGAAAUUGCCACUGCCCCAAAGAAACUUGUGAAGACAUUUGUUGUCGGCCAGGGUGAGUCGCCGGUAGAGGUGCCCAUUGCCCUAUAAAUUUGCUGCUUCACUCAGUGAAGGGAUCAUUAUUUUCAUACCUUACAUUUCAAAUUUGUGUUGCAUUGUUGUCACAGUUGUGCACAGAAAAAAGGUUCCACAUGUAUAAAACACAGAAUAAGAAAUAAGAAAUAAGAUGAAGUUUGUUGGUUGUGAUCAGUCCGACGCAGAAUAUGAAACAAGCCCAUUUGGCCUAUUGAGCUAAUGGGCCAAUCUUUCUUUUAAGAAUCGGGCCGUUAUCGAUAUCGUCUCUUUAACUGACUCACACACAAAAAUGUUACGAAUUGAUGUACAUAAAUCGUGUGGAGUUACAUUAAACUUUACCAAAUAUGUAGAAGAAAAAAAAUUGAGGGAGGAGCAUGUACAAAUCGUGUGUCUGCCUAUCUCCUCCUAACAAUCAUUUGGGUCCCAAAUUAUAUAAAUCAUGGAAAUUGGGCCCAAACCCAAAAUGCCUUUAUCAAAGGGAAUGGGCCCACCCAACACCAUCACAUCAAUCUGAUAGACUCCCACCAUCUACUACUACUAGCUAUAUAUCACUAUCACUAUGACAACUAGUUCUCUACUUCUCUCUCUCUCUCUCUCUCUCUCUCUCUCUCUCUCUCUCUCCCUUACCAUGAUUAUGAUGAUAAAUGGGACCCAAACACAGUCCCAUCCCUGUCUCUAAAUACCUGGUUCCAGUGGACCCCACACCCCACAUGGGUGCAUAGUCAGGCUUGCCCGUGGCUCAUAUUAGCCGACCCCCUUCUAUAUCUCUCUUAUUAAUGCCCAUUUUACCAUCCAUAUAUAUUUGUUACUGAGCUUGUCUAUUUCAAUUAUUAUAGACAUGAAUUUUCGCCGUUUGUUUGUUUAAUGUGUCCAGAUUGAACUUAUUAAAUUUAACAAUAAUUCAAUAUAUUGUGUUUUAUAAAUUAUACUUAUAAAAAUUAAUUUCAAUUUAAUUUCAAUUCAAUCCAAACAGACCGUUAAACGAUUAUGGAUGUCAGCAUCACGAGAGUUUUACGAUUGAUUUGAUGGGGGGGUGUUCGGUGGGUCGCAGACGUAUCAGAAGGUUUGAAAGAAAAGUCUAUUUUCUUCUUAAAAAUGGUAAAAUAAAUUUUUAUGAAGAGAAAGAAAAAAAAAGUUUGAAGGGAAUGAAUGAAUGAAUGGUGGAGCGAGAGACUGAGGAGAGAGAGAGAGAGAGAAGUGGGGACUGGUAGGAGGAGCAGAGUGAGUGAGAGAGUGAGAGAGAGUUAUGAUGUCUAGUGCAUUGGGAAACAGCUCCCGCGCUGUUUUCGCGCGCCUUCCCCCAAAACGACAUCGUUCGUGGGACCCACCCACCCGCUCCUGAAAUAAGCUCCUGUCUGUCAUUAACCAACACCUCCGCUGCCACUCACACACAGUCUCUCUUCUCACAUUUGAAUAAUCUUUUUCUUCUUUUUUUUCUUUUUUAAUACCUUAAAAAAUAAUAAACUCCAGAAUUUCUUCACUGUGUGCUAAUCAAAAUGACUGAUGGGUCAUCCACUGGUAGUUCUCUGAAACCCUAACCCUAUAGAUUAAUAUAAAUCCUGAAAUGAAAACAUCAACUUCUGGCACGUGCUACAUUUUUAAACAUUUUAUUCAACUUGUCAUAAUUCAGAUUUUAUUUUUAAUAAGUAGAAUAGAUAAAUAAAGGUUUUCUUGCUUUUGGUUUCUUUCUUCCUUCUUUUUAUUUUAGGGUUCUGAAUCUGAAUCUGAAUCUCUACCCAAGGAUUCAGAGUCAAGUACUGAUAAGUGACAAUUAACACAAAUAAUUCUUUUUAGUCAAAGUGCGUUGACCCUUUUCCCACGGGACAAACUCAUCUGGUUAAGUGGCUUAAUCAGAGAAUUUAUCAGUAGACAUAAUACAGUUGUUCUCGUACACUGCUGUAUGUGUUUGCAUAAUCCUCAAAUGGUUGUUUCUGUCUUCUGAAAAAUAAAUGUUAUGGGCUGUUUUUUCGUUUUUGCAUUGAAAAGUUUAACCAACCGCAUUAUAUGAAUAGAUUAUAUCGCGUGAUCGUAUUACAAUAUUACAAUAACAUGUUGAUACCAUUAUAUUAAACAAAUUUUUUACGCGGCCACGUGGAAGACAUGCAAGAAGAUUUACUGAUAAUCAGAGACAUAUGGGUCACCAUGAGUGUCUAUGACAAUAGUAAAUUAUCAUUAAUCAUAGCUACGCUGCUACGCAUAUAUGAAUUUAAGUAAUGAAUUAAAGUAAAGGCUUUUGACUGAGAUUCUCUCCUGGUUGUUGGAGUGGGCAUCAGCAUACUUACCUACAAUUAUUAUGAUCUGGGACAUUCAAAGUGCAAAGAGAAAGCAGAUUCUGUCCUGUUAGCUUUUGCUAACUCGGGUAAUUUUUAAUGAUAGACAUGUGGAAAACCAAUUUGAAAGACUAUAGAUGAAAGUCCAUGCACUAAAUUUGUUUUGUGAGGGCUAGCUUUAAUUACUUUAGAAAAAAAGCUUGACAUUGAGAAAGAAACGUUCUGAUUAAGAAUCAUUAAAAAGUCGCUUAAGUUAAUUCGUAAUAUCAUAUGCUUUCAAUUCAAUCAUCCAGAUGUCAUGAUUUACAUGCAGCUUAUAACCAUUAAUUAAAUCUACUUUGAAACUAAUUAUGAUACGCUGCUGAAAAUUUUAAACUUUUGCUGGAGGGAAGCCUUUUAAUAAUAAUUACUAGAUUUAUAUUCCUCUAAUAUUCAAAAUUAGUUUUUUUGGGAUUUUUAUAUCCAACAUAGAGCAUAAAGAAAUGCCAAAUGUUUUUUGGUAUGCUGACAUUCUUAUUGAUAUUGUUUAUUCUUGUAAGAGGAAUGAGGAAUAAAAUACUAAUUUUCGUUUUUCAUUCUCAAAUUAUUCUCAUGGAAUGAAUUGUGAAAUCAUUUGGAAUAUAAGCGAAAUUCUACGCUAAAUUACAGGAAAUGAGAUUCAAACUCGAGUAAAUACGACAAAUUCAAAGUUAAAACAACAUUGCCAAUUUACAAACUCCCUCAUCAAUAAUUCAACCCCUUACAAAUUACAUGUCCAAUGAAAAUGAGACUCAUAAGAGCCAAAAAGAAAAGAAAAAUUGUACAGAUUCAAUAGGUUAUUGAUGCAUGAUAUUGCAAAAAGUCCAUGGGUAAAGACAGACAAGAUACCUUUUCUUUUUUCAACAACUUGAGUCUUUAUGUUUACGCUAAUUAUAUUAUUUUCUGUUCCCAUCAAAUCCGACUCUUAAAGAAGAAAUUAGACAUAUAAUACCUUAUUCUUAAUCUUUUAGUCAAUACUCAAUACUUAGUGCUCAUCACUGUACGAUUGAAACAGCCAGCUUUGAUCUUUACCCUUACAAAUUAAAGACAAACCUUUUAUUGUUUCACAUUGGUUGCGACCCUCCAACCUCUUCGCUUUCAUAAUUAGACACAAAAGUCGAAUACUUACCGAGCUAAUAAAGCCAAGACAAUUGUUUUAACUUAUGCUUUUGUAUGCUAAGCAGCUGGGUGGGGACGAAUGAUUAUCUUAAUCUAGGUCUUCAAAACUUGAGUACGUGGACAAUAUCCUUCCACGUAUAGCUUCUUAAUCUGGAAUCGCAGCCGAACAUUAUCUCCUUGGAUGCUUUUCAUUAACUUUGAUUGGUUGCUUAACCAAGUAUUUUAAAUACAUUAUCUCCUACUACGGUACGUAAUGUAUGUCUUGUCUUGUGAUGUAUUCAAAAACCUUUGUCUCACUCUCACUCAUGAGACCAACAGUUCUCCCAUAAUCAAACAUACCAAUCUUUCUUUUUUACUAUUACUAAUUAAUAAUGAACUGCCCAUCAAAUUUCUGGUAGGUCAAGGGUAUUUAAUUUAUAGCAUCGUAUUUAUUUAUGCUAAUUUAAAUUUACAAAAAAAUAAAAAAUGUAAGUUAAGUCAAUCGGUUUAAAAAAAUGAUAAAUUUAUAGCAUCAUAUUAGUUUAUGCUAAAUUUAAAUUAAAAAAAUAAUAAUAAAUCCGAGUUAGCUCAGUCAGUCAAAAGAGCAGUGCGUCCAUCACUUAGAAUUGUUUGAAAUGUUGCAUUCAAAGAAAACAAAACCAACUACGGAUAAAAAUGUGAAGUAUUAACCUGUUGCAGUGAAAGUUUUUCCUCCAAGUUAUCUUAGUUAGCUCUGGUAAGAAAAUAUUACCAGCAUAUAUUGAAGGAAGUUUUGGGUUGAUGUUAUUUAUUUAUGCGCUCUGUUGUAAGUUGUGAGUGAGUUGACAGGAACAGCUCAUUCAUAUGAUGAUGAGAAGAUGGUGAUGUGAUUGGGAAAAGGGAGGCACCAAUAAUAGACAGGUGAACUGUGCAUCCAAUCUAAUCCCCGCCAACUCAAACCCGAUGGUGCAUGUAUAUAUUCGUGUUAGGAUCACAACUUGCCACGACGUUUCUGAUUGGACAACAUUAAAAAUUAAAAUAAACCAAUACUACGUAUGUUACUUAUGUCCUCCGAUGUAUAAAUUAUUAAAUUUCCUCCCAAGUUUGGUCAUCUCUUUUUAUCUUUUUAGAAUUUAACUUUUAAACUUAGUCGGUAGUUUUUGUGAUAUUCUGUGGAACUAUUUCUGCUCAAAUGGAAGCCAAACUGAUGCGCACCAUUUUUUCUAAGAAAGAGGCCAAACCCAAACUGGUAGCUGCCCCAAAUAAGAAGGGUGCCAAGUGUAUUUAGCUUCUAUUUUAAUUUAUUUCUGUUUUUGUAAUUGACUUAUAUUUUAAUGUCAGUUGGGAACGAAUGUAUCUAUUUAAGUUUGUUUUCACCAACCGGUCUUUAUUCCGUAGAAAAAUAAACUUGACUCGCAAAUCUGUGAUUUCAAGUUUAAACUCCCACGUGUCUAUAAGAAACUCCUCAUUCUUUUGUAGUUUAAACUAUCAAUUGUAUUUAAAAAAUAAACAUUACAUUCCACUUAUCCUUACAUGAUACCCAUUAUUAAACCCUUCAUAGGGUGUCUCUUUAGCAAAUUAAAUCUACUCUUUUGAACAUGAAACCCAGUAUUUUUCACUUUAUAGGGUGUUUGUUUAGCAAAUUAAAUCUACUAUUUUUCACUGCAUAAUGUCUAUCUUCUCCUUCUUCUUUUUUUUUAGGGGUCAAAGAAGUAUUGUUCUUGGGGAGUGAGUGAGUGAUAGAAAGAAAGAAAUAGUAGAAGGUGCAUGGGGAAGAGGCGAAGAGCAGUGUGAGUGAGUGACAAGUGAAGAUGGGGGGCACCUGCUGCCAGUACUAGCUACUAGCUACCACCCUGGUCGUGUCUUCCUCUUGGACACGUCCAAUCUUUCUCUCAUCUCAACUCUGAAAAAAAGCAGAAAGAAAAUGCAGUUAAAAACUUAAAAGCAUAUAAGCUUACUGGCUAAGGACAUGUUUGGCAAUUGGUGCAUGGCCAUGGCCCCGCCCAACGGCUUUAGGUGUACAUGUAGCGCGAGUCUCCCGGGGGGAUUCUUUACACGCUUUAUAUAUAUAUAUAUAAGGCCCUCUGAUCAUCUGAUCAGUUUUCAGUGGGGUCUUUCUCUCUCUUCUCCUCUCUCGCUCUCUUUAAAUUCUCUGGGUGCGUGCGUCGUGCGGGCGAGAGAAGGUGGUCGUCGCCGCCAGCUAUACCUCGUGUUGCAGUGCUGCACAACCAGCAAAACGACGUCACACCACACACCCCACCCCUCCCAUUCCCUUCUCUACAUAAUAUUUUAAUAUUAUUAUGUCACUGUUAAGGUUAAUUUGUCUUGCUCUGUUUUGCUGUUUUGCUCUUUUUCACCUAUGUAUGCGUCAUUUGACUGACUCAUUUGUACACACAGCCCUCCUCUGGGUCCCAUUCCACUGUUUACCGUUGAAAUUUCGUACUCCUACGGCCCUACCUUUUAUAUAUGUGUACAUAUAUUACUAAUAAUACAGAUUGCACUACGGAUCAUCUUCUCUAGUGACCUAGUCCUCUGUAUGCAUGUAUGAAAGUGAAUAAUACGAUAGUAUGAUUACGUGCUAUAUAUUGUAUAGGUGUUAUAAAUUGAUAUGUAUUGAUAUUAUUUCUUAAAAGAAAGGAAAAUAAACUAUAUUGUCUAUUCAUGUUGUAACAUACGUACAUAAAAUAUAUCACGUGACCAUACUACUAUAGUAUUCUAUAAUUUAUUCUUCUUUAAUGACCUAGGCCUUUGUAUGCAUGUGUGAACAGUGAAAGUGAGGCCCCCCCCCCAACUAUGCACAAUUGUACGUUAUAUUUUGUUCCAUUAUUAUUUCAUCUAUUAUUUUUCAAUUCCUUUAUUGCACCCCCUUUGUUAUAACAAGAAACCCUCACAUGAUGAGUGAUACAUUAUGGGACUCACAUGUAUAUAUCAACGCUUCACGCUUAUAUAUGCAUAUAGAUGCACAAAGAUAAAGAAAAAGAAAACCAAUUUAUCUUGUAUUUUUAUAACAAAUCAAUUUUCUCUCCCUUCCUCGUUCCUAACUUUGGCACACCAAAAAAGGAGGGAGUUUCAAGGUUAGGGGGUCGCUUGUUUAGUAGUUGUACUCUUAAAUGUAAACAUCUUUUAAGAGUAUACUACGUCGUAUCUAUUCUCGGGAAGUUAAGGGGAAGUAGAAAUUUUUUUUAUAGUUUAUGCUCGAUAGUUAUGCGACAUUAAGUCAAUCAAUUGUCAUUUCAUUAUAAAUUCUUCUAGGUGUUCGAUGAGAGGUUAGCUACUGAGAUUUGCAUUCAGAUCCUGUCGAUUGAAGGAAAAAAUGAAAGCGGAAUAUUGCUGACCUGUUAAAUGUGUAACUGGUUUAAUUUGAUUGUAAGCUGUAAAAUAGCUAAGCAUGUGUGUUAAGGCAUUAAGAUGCUCUAAACCGUUGAAUAAAAAAAUCCAAGUCAAUGGAAAAGAAGAAAAGAUGGAGCGUCUUGUAAGUAAGUAAAUAAUACACGUCUAGAUUAUUCUUAUCGUCAUCAAAUCAAUAAUUAUUUGAUGUUACAGUGGAUAAAGCAGCUCCAAGAACACAGUAAAAACUUGAUUAAACAACACUUUUGUCAUGUUUAACUAAAACAAUUAGGCAAUGAGAACAUCAUCAUUUUAGUGCUAUGCUUAUCCUUUAAUUGCGCCUGUCAUUAGCGUGCUUUGGUUAAUGAGACAAAACCCCAAGGGAACUGUAUCCCCAAUUUGUUUGUCCAUCAAUUUCUCUUUCGGGUGCUUAUUGGACCUGAAGAAGAAUGAUUAAUGAUUGUUAGUGCAAAUUAUAAUGGGGUUAUGGUAUGGAUAAGUUUUUUUUAUCCAUUGUUUAUUUGUCUUCUGGUUUUAAUUGAAGAGGGAUUAUAUGAGAUUGAUGAAGGAAGUUGAGGUUCUACUUCAAAAUUAAUUGGCUUUAUAAGCUCUUUCAAAGUUUGUUAGUUUUCAAAUGUGAGACAUUUCACUUUAACAGUCUCGUUCUAUUUCUUCAUUCAACUGCCAAUUCUCGAAAUAGAAAAGGUGUGAGGGAUUAUAGUUUUAGUAUAAGGUGCUUAUUUUCACCAUAAAACUCAAAUUAAAGUGAUGGUUGUGCACAAGUUCCCGCAUCUAAUUUAAAUUAUACAUUUCUAAUGUGAAAUGAAGGGUUUAGCGGAAUGUGUAAUUGUUGAGUAACCAAUAACUAUUUGGUGUAGUGACAUUUAGGGCUUGUUCGGUAACUUUUUUGGAGAAUAUUUUAUGAUAAUGAAAACGAGAAACAAAUUUGCAUUUACAGGAUUCAAAAAUACGGCUGGUAGAUUAAUUGAAAAAUAAAAUUAUAAAAUAAAGAUAGUGAAAACGUGUCUGGUAUGACAAUUUGAGAAUAAUAAUAUGGGAGUUAUUUUUUGAUAAUUUCUAUCCUAAAAAAAUGUAUUUUUUUAAAAUCUGAUAUUUUAAAGGUUAAAAUUAUUACAAACAAUGAAAAAUGUAUAAUUUGAGAAUAACAAUGCAUAAUUAAAAUAAUAAGAAAAUCUAAUUUUAAGAAAACCUAAAUAAUAAAAUUCGAUUAUCUUUAGUUUAAAAUAAAUAUUUAAAAAUAAAUAUGAAAUUGAAUAAUAUUUGAUAAAAUUAAUAUACACUGGUGUAGCAAAAUAAAAUAAUGAAGUGGAACAAGAAAAUUGAAAAAAUAAAAUAAAAUCAGACUAACAAAAAAAAAAGGAAAAAAAAAACAAUCAGACCAAUGCACUGGGUAGAAAAUGAUAAUUUGUGGUUUUCAAUUUUUCUACAUGAGUUUUAAUUUGUUUUUAGAAAAUGAAUUUCAGUAAAAAUGAAAAGAACAUACCGAAAUCAUUUUUGAUAGAAAAAAAAAACGGAACUUUAAAAACGUUACCAAAUGGUCCCUUAGUCACUAUUUUGUUAGAAUAUAGUAUCUUGAAAGUUGUCCAUGAAUAUUUUCAUAAUUUUAGUAAUAGUAACUUGUUGAAUCUACAAUUCAAUUAACUAGUAUAAUUUUUUUUUUGUAGUGUCACAUGAAAAAAUUAUCUCAUGUUUUAUUGCGCUAUUGGUCGGGAAUAGCAAAAAAUGCAAUACCCGUUGCAUGAAAGUCUUAGUGGAGCUAUACUAACUUAAAUUUUAAAAAAUUAAAUAACAAAAAAAAAGAGUAUUUUUUUAUAAUAAAGAUUCAAAAGAAAAGAAGAAAGUUAAAAUAGUGCCCCAAAUGUCUAUAUAUGCAAAAAGAAACGAAAAUCAUAUUAAAUUCAAUUAAACGAGAAAGGAGCAAAUAAAAGAUUCAAAAAUGGGAAACGUCCGUGAAACAAAGGUUAAAAAUCAAGACUAAGAGGGAGAGAGCAAGAAGAUCAGAGAGAGAGAUGGAAGAAAAAUCUACAAUCUAUUGAGUUGCCUUAUCGCUAGGUCUCCUAGAGAGUCAUAGCUUUUAAGCAUUUUCAAAUAUUUCUCUUUUCUUUCAACAAAGCAAAGCCAGUCUCUUUCAACCUCACCCUCACAACGGGGAGCCCCUAGUUGCCGGUUCCGGCCACGCUAUCUCCUCCACUUCCCUCCUCUCUCUGAUAUUCCCAAACCAUCACUCAUGAUUCAAACGCAAGCACAAUUGAUACAUAUUCUGUAACGCAAUUAUAACAUGCUUAGUUCCCCGUUUAGCUUCACUUCCUGGCCUCCAUAAUUUCAUGGCUUGCCAGUAAUAUUACUUCCCAUUUCUCCCACUUAACUCCUUGACCUUUUUUGCGUAUAAAAACUCCGGCCAUGCUUUGUUUGUCCACUAGGGUUUUGGUCUCUUCCUCUCUUGCUCUAUUUCUUCUUCUUGCUUUAGGGUUUUAGUUUGCUCUUGUUGAUUGGAAAUCAUCUGGGUUUAUUGAGAGGAAAUGGAAGAGUACAACCAAAUGGAUCAUGAGAGCUCAGGUGGUAGAGGAAAUUUCCUGUACGCCUCACCAAAUCUUGGAGGCAACUAUGGGAGGGCAAGCCAUGAUCAUCAGAUGGGCAUCAACGCCUUUCAUCUUCAAUCGAGCGGUGGUGGUGAUUUCCACUCUCCAGGAGGAGCACACCCAAUUAAUGUCAAAACUGAAGCCAGCACAUCCCAUCAUGGCCAUCACAAAUUUCAGUACAACAACAACAACAACAACAACAAUAAUAAUCCUCUUCUGUCAUCAAGAGGACACCAACCAGUAGUUCAACAACAGCAUAAUCUGGACCGUCAAAACGAUGAUCACACCCUGAGCUCCAACGAAGUGGAAGCCAUCAAAGCCAAGAUCGUCGCCCACCCUCAGUACUCUAACCUCCUGGAAGCUUACAUGGAUUGCCAAAGGGUAAGUGUUUUAUUAAUUAAUCAGUUAUAUUCAUGUUUAUUUAAGUAAUUAAAAACAAACUUAUAUGUGUGUGUGUGUGUGUGUGUAGGUGGGAGCUCCGUCUGAAGUGGUGGCGCGGCUAACAGCUGCUAGGCAGGAGUUUGAGGCAAGGCAGCGGUCUUCUGUGGCUUCAAGAGAGGCUUCAAAAGAUCCAGAACUCGAUCAGUUCAUGGUGAUUCAUUUUCCAAUUUCAUUCCCUAUAUUAUUACAUGAACAUUUGAUUGAAUUUUUGUUUUUCCUAUUUCUAUUUGGAUCGGUGACAAUAAAAUAAUAAGCAGGAAGCUUACUAUGAUAUGUUGGUGAAAUAUCGAGAGGAGCUAACAAGGCCCAUACAAGAAGCCAUGGAUUUCAUGCGGAGGAUUGAAACUCAGCUCAACAUGCUUGGCAACAAUAAUGCUCCUCCACUUCGCAUCUUCUCACCCUCUGGUAAUUUUAACUCGGUUUCUCUCUGCACACUCACAUCACACACGUAUAACUUUUGGGGAAUAUAUUCUUAAAUAUUUAGUAGCAUUGGAAAGGAGCUUGUUGGAGUGACAAAAUUGAUGUGGGUUUUGCUUUGGUCUUGGGAUGGUGCAAAAAAAAAAAAAAAAAAACUGAUAGUCCGACUGUUUUGUCUCUCUUUGAGAAACCAAAACUUGUCAGUUUCUUCUUUUCAUUUGAUUGAAGUGGCGGGUCAAAUCCUGUGUUCAUGUUCUGAGUUGAAGGGAAGAAUUUUGACCCCAUCAAAUAAUGUGCCUUCCCAUAGCGAAGAACAAAGAGGGAUGAGUAAGCUAGACGAAGAAGAAGCAAUAACCCCGCACCAACCCUUUUUAAAUUGAUUCACGAGUGAGUGGCUUAAUUAGUUAACAUACCCAAAUGAUCACGAGCUUAAUAGUGUGAUGAAGACCUAAUUUUUUGCUUAUUUGUUUUGAUUUUUAAAGAAGAUAUAUCCACAUUGGAAAGAAAAGGAGUAUUAAUUAAGACAAAACAGAAUUCGUGUAGCUAAUCUCUGACAAAUUCUCAUUCUUAUUAGGGUUUCUUGCCCCAAAUCAAGACGUCCUUUCUGGUUCAUAAAUUCUAUAUGGGGAUGGAAUGAUUGUCUUCAUUCCCGAGCCUCACUAGAUCUGCUAAAAAGGGUAGUCUCUAACUAUAAUGUUGUGGAUAAACAAAAUCCCUAAACCUCAUACAGACCAAAAAGAGAAGACAAUCUUAUAAUAGAGAAAACAUAGGAUGCUGUUUAAAUCAGCUACACCAUGUAGUCAGUACGGACAUGUCAGAAUUAAAAUAAAACACCACCAUUUAUUAAUUUCCAUGCUACUAGCUAAUAGCUAUACGCCCUAUAUGUACUGAUCCAGAUUUGACUUAUCUUCAAUUCAUGCAUAUUAUUGUUGUUUUCGUUUCUGGUGUUGGGAGUUGCCUAGCUAACCUAUUAGCUAGCUAGCUACAGAAAAGGUAAUUCUUUUGUUAGGUACCUGUUCAGUCAAAACUGAAACUAGUGGCCAUGGAGAUCAGUCUGUUUAUCACUCCACACGCAGGCUUCAUAUAUCCUGACCUUGAUAGUAACUAACGUUGACCGAUUCAUUGAUCUGAAAAAAACUUUUUGAGAUAAACUAGAUAAUUAUAUUUUCAAGAAAAAACCCUUUUUUAUUGUUAAUUUUUACGUGAAGAACUGCAAAAAUCCUUUGGUUGAGCUUCUGUUUCUCUCUACCAAGGUUUUGAAUAGUGUAUCCAAAGUGGUGCUUCUCCCAUAAAAAAUAUUCAUCCUUUGGGAAAAUUUUAUUUUUUGGGGUGUAAAUAUGUAAUCAAUCAUGUUAUGAAUUUCAAGAUGUGUUUUUUUGUUGUUGGCGAAAAAUGAUUUAAAGAUAUGAUACAAAACCCCAGAGUUUUGCUGAGAAUAUUUCUUCUUAAUUAAGCUAAUAGUCACAAGUUUGAGUAAUUUGAUUGGUACAUAUAUACUGCAUGUACACAGAGGACAAAUGCGAAGGACUUGGUUCAUCUGAAGAGGAGCAGGAGAAUAGUGGUGGAGAAACAGAAGUGCCUGAGAUUGAUCCAAGAGCUGAAGACAGAGAGCUCAAGAACCACCUGUUGAAAAAGUAUAGUGGUUACUUAAGUAGCCUGAAGCAAGAGCUUUCCAAGAAAAAGAAGAAAGGGAAAUUGCCCAAAGAUGCCAGGCAGAAGCUUCUCAGUUGGUGGGAGUUGCAUUACAAGUGGCCAUAUCCUUCAGUAUGUUUCCCCCCUGAAUCCUAAUAUAUAUUAUAUAAACAUUUCUUGCUUGCUAUAUAUUCGUGCUAUGUUACGAGGCCUUAAUCUAAACAUUGAUUAGAUGACCUUUUAUAAUUUGACGACAUAACAUGUCAGAUAUGUGACAAUAGUUUACUACAUACAGGAAUCGGAGAAGGUGGCAUUGGCGGAGUCGACAGGCUUGGAUCAGAAGCAAAUAAACAAUUGGUUCAUAAAUCAGAGGAAGAGGCACUGGAAACCCUCAGAGGACAUGCAGUUCAUGGUGAUGGAUGGCCUACACCCUCAGAAUGCGGCCCUGUAUAUGGAUGGACACUACAUAGGUGAUGGCCACUACCGUCUGGGGCCGUGACCGAAACAAGUCAUCAAAAGAGGUUGUGGCCUCUUCUGCUCGUGCAGGGCUCUCACAUGGAAAGUUUGGUUAAAUUAAUUCCAUAUAUAUCCAAAAGACAAAGCAAACUGCUUAAAUCAUAGUUUGUGAUUUGUAUUGCUAGAAACUUGGGAAAUGAAUGUUCUACAUUCCAAUCUGAUAAUUUAUAUAUAUUUCUUUUCUGUUAUUACAAAUGUUGUACUUUGUUCUCAAAUUUUAUCCAGUGUGGUCUACAUCUUUCAGUUUCUAUAGUCGUCUUCGACUCGUUUGCGUUUUAAAAAUCGAUUUGGGAUAUUAUUAAGACGUUCUAGAAUUAAUGUUGCCUAAUUGUGGAAAGCCCUUUUGAGUAGGAGUGCAAAAACAUAAACUGAUUUGCAGCAUCAGUUGGGCUGGUCUGGUCCAUGGUGGCUGGCAGGGCGGCAUAACUUACUUAUAAAAACAUGAUAUUUUAAAUAGGAUCGAUCCAAAUGGUAAUGAAGUUAGGUUGGUUCGGUUUCAAUCAGAUCAGACCAUAAAGUUCUAAGAGGAAAAGUUUUUUCUUUCUCCUUGGGUUGUUUGUUAAGGAUAUGAUAAAUUAAGUUUAAUCCACAAUUCUAGGAAUAAUUGUCUUCAAUAGUAGAGGGCAGAUUCAACUGGUUUAAUGGGGCGGACAAAACAUGUUAGGUUUAAUAGUUACAUGGUGUUUGAUAGGCCUUCACGAGGUCAUAAAAAAAACAACAACGAGAUAAAGACGACAGAAAGCAAAUGCCCACGACAAUUGUAACGUCAAAAACACAAAAACAAGGAAACCCUCCUCCAAUCCAAAACACAAACGUUGGCCUAUAGUCUGCCCAUUAAAGUUGAAACUGAUCAAUUUGAGUCAUUUUCCGAUAGCAUUAUUAUAGGUAGUUAGGUAAUUAAUAUAUAUGUAAGCACUUUCGGAAGUUGUGGAUGGUGCCGUGCUCUUGGAACCCAGCUACAGUUUGAGAAAGAAAAAAAAUCAUGUCAUGAAUAAUUGGUUUAGGUAAAUCCCAUUAUAAAACAGUACGAAUCUUAUCUUUUCACUAUUACUACGGAGAUAUAUUUGAACCAUAAGCAAUUGAACAAUUAAUCCACGUCCUCAUCAACACUACGUAGCAUCUCUUUCUCAAGGAAAAUUAUAACAGCAAAAGAAACUUUUGAAGGUGUGUGUGUGCAUGUGAUUGGGAAGUCUCAAGACAGAAAUGGGACAAAUUCUUUCUGUUCGUUUGUGAUAAAUUUGAUGCUUAUUAUGAAUUUGUAUUACAUAUGCGUUGGCAUUUUCCAGUUCCUUUUUGUUAAAUCCAAAAUUUUGAUUACGUUUAUACGACAGUAAAAGAAGAGGUGAAAGUAUACCACCCAAAAAAUUAAACCCUUAUAAAAACACAAAAAGGUGACAACAAGAGAUCUGUGGGUCAGUGGCUAUGGGCUGAACAACCCAACCAAUUUUCCAUUUCCAUGGUUUGGGCUCAAUGUUAUGGAACAAGUCUUACUGAACGUGCAGUAGUGGUCUGACCGUGACUCAGUCUGAGCUCAACUGCAACCCAACUUCGGCUCUUUCAAAUUAUAAUCAGCUCACAACUGAGAGAGGAUCUCUAUACCAAAGUGAUGGGGUAUUGAGAAAAUCUGAAAUUUGAGAGAAACUUAGAUAUCACGGGUAUGUCAAGUGAUAAAGAAAGAUAGAGAGAGAUUAGUAAACUUAUUCUGUAAGACUUGUUUAUAAUAAGUUUGAGAACAAUUUUAAUCGCUGCCCUAUUCUGUAUGCAGAUUAGUAAACUUAUUAAUUUUAGGGUAAUAUAAGAAUAAGAAAAAUUAUAUCACCGACUCUGUAAUUAACUCAUCACAUUGCAUAAUAAAAAAUUGGCUAUACGAAGAUUAGGACACCUAAUAAUUUUGUAUUAAGUAAAUAUACCGCAGCCUCAGACACUAAAUGGGUACUUUUCGAGUCAUUAUCCAAUAAGCAUUAGCUUACCACUUGGUGAAGUUAUGGAUCCAUGAUAUUGACCCAUGCUGGUUAGGAUAUAUAUUUCUCUAGGCAGAGACAAGAAAAGAACAAUAUCUUUUUUCCCAGAUUACGAAUUAGAUUUGUCUCCUUCACCCCCAUGCCCCGACCUAACACGGAACAAGCACUCACUGAACAAUCAUCAUCCCGGACCACAUUGGCUAAAAUAUACGUAUAUGAUGCCAGGCCUAACCCAAAUCUAGUGGUAUAUUUCAAUGUUUUUUUCCCAUUUAAUUUGUCCAAAAGGGAUAUGGAUAUUUAAUUAUUCAUUAUAUCUAGAGCGUUGGAUAUUUUGUUUCUAUAUAAUAUGCCUACCACUCUACAUCCCAAUUGGUGAGAAGGCUGCCUAAUUAUAUUAAUUACCAUCGUCAUUAUCAAGCACGCAAGUCUAAAGCUAGCCCGAACUCGUUCUCCAGGAGAGUUGGAGUUAGGGUGAGCGUUUGAACCGGUGAAUUGAUAAACAAUAAUCAAUUGAGAUGAAAAAGAAUUAAUAAAUUUGAUUCGGUUAUCUUUUUUGUCAUUUAAAAAGCAAAUGAUGCCGUUAUUUGUUUUCACAUGUGUUUAUUUUGUAUUGGGAAUAAUAUUGUUUUGUUAUCUUCGGCUAAUAAUGCAAUGAUAUAUGAAAAAGUUAUUUCGCGUGUUAUUAUUCUAUUGACUAGGAAUAGCAAAAAGUACUAUUCCUGUUGCAUGAAAGUCUCUCUCCUUCAUCUCUUCCUCUUUUUCCUUCUCUUCCUCAAACCGAACAAAAUUGAUUGGUCGAUUUUUGGAGUGAAGCGGCCGAACCAAGACCCACCCUAGUUGGAGCAAUGUAGAAAGAAUUGUUGGUACUUGAGAACGAAGUUAGAGGAACAGAUAACACGAUUACGACCAUAAUUAUGAUGCCGAUGUUAAUUAACCUUUUGAUCAUGAUUGCAUCAACGAACAACAACAACAAUCAAAUUGUGAACCGCUAUUUGUAUUGUCUUAAUCAAUCGAUCAUCUUUUACACUAUAUUUCAAAUAAUUUAAUUAAAAAGGUUUUGAAGUCUAAAAACGUGCAUACUCCCUGCAGCAGGCAAGUGGCGACCAACUUGGUCACCCAACACCAUUAUUUAUGAUCACUACUCACUAGUAUCUUUAUCUAUACCUAUCUUAGGUCUUACUCAUGCCAUAGGCCCAUAGCUUAAUUAGGCUUUUCCUUGUGCUUCUUUUCUCAUUCGUUGUCUUUUAUGAACUGUUUCUUUUGUUAACAAAUUAGACUGGGGAGUGGGCACAGCUAGCAAACUUUAAUAUACAUUUCAAAAUCACAAACCUGUAAAUACUCUCCUAUCCUAUGCUACUUCCAAAGAUAUCAUUAUCAGAUUACGCAAAACAAAUGAAUAGUCGGUUUGUAAGGCUUGGAAAGUAUCCCUUUUCACCUUCUUUCUUGCUUUCUUUAAAAUAAAAUAUAAAGUUUUUCUCUCUCUUUUCUUUCCUCCGUGGAUGGAAGAUUACAACAUACAAAGCUGCACACGUCAAGAGGACGACGUUCAAGGAUGGAUGAUAAUAAUAUGAUAUGGACUUGGCAAAUUCGGUCGGUUGUUAAUUUCAACCAAAAUAACAUCUAUUUUUUUUGGUUGGGUUCCUUCCUUUCCUUUCUAAAUAAUGACAUUUGGAAUUAUCACAAGUUUCAUGAUAGGUCAUGGACUCGUCACUGUAUUAGGAAUGAUUUAUUUUUUCCUGUUCUUGGGUUUCAUACUAUCAUAAGACAAAGCCAUGCUAUAUAAAUGAUAAAAAUUCAAUCAAAACUUACAAGUUAUGUACCUCUAAUUAAGCAAACGCAGAUUGUUCGUCGUUGUUUUUGUUUUCUAGUUCGAGAGAUUUUUUGUUCUAAAGUAAAUAUAUUGGGUUCUUUAAUUACUUCCUUGUGAAAUAUAAUUUGUGUUUGUUCAUAAAAUUAAUCAUAUUCGGUAUAACUCCCAAACCCCUUUAAUAAAGAACUAAUUAGGGCACAUUUACUACUGUUAGGUACAGAAAAAGCAACUGAUUGCUAUUGCUAUUGAAUGUUGCAAGGAAUUCAUCGAAUUGAUUUUCAAUACCUCAGUCCAAAUCACGUCCACCAACUUUGCGGAAAUUCAUAGAGGCUGAUCAAGUAGGUUUAAUUAAGAUGGACUUCACAAGCUUCCCAUACCCUAAACAUGGCAUUACGUACAAAUUAAAGUAGACCUAUCUAGCUAAAUUUGUCAUUGGACAAGAAGCAAGAAGACAAGGAUCCUUCACCAUACGACUAAAUCGUAAAAAAUUUACAAAUAUUUGUAAAUAAAGAGAGAGAAAUAGACAACCUCUCUACAGUUAAAUUUCAUUGAUCUCUAUACAAAUUAAUUUGAACUUUAGCAAGCUGUAGAUGGAUGGGUGCUAAAGGGGUUGAAGAUCAAGUGAGCCGGCUUCGAUCCAAUCAAAAAAGAACUCGUCGACGACCCAUGAUGAUUAUGGUGGUCACCGCCGUUGCAGAUUUUCUCACAAGAAGGGCACAUGGUGAGAGUGGCUGUUGGAAACUGCAUGUAAAAGGGUGGUACUGCUGCUGCUGCUGUUGCCGUUUGUUUCAUUAACUUGAGCUCUUGCAGCUCCUUGUGUAGCCUUCUGUUCUCUUCUUUCAGCGUCUCACAACACUUUUUCAACAACUCACAAUCCGCUUCAGUUUGCUUCAACUUGGUCCUAAACAUAUGUAUAUAUAGAACAAAUUAAAUUUGAGGCUAUAUAUUUCUCAUGCAAGCAUCAAACAUCUUGGAAAUUAUAAAGAAUAAGAUUUAUCGCGCCUACCUGGCCCUCCUGUUUUGGAACCAGACUUCCACUUGUCGCGGCCGUAGAUUUAGCUUUCUUGCCAGGUCUUGCUUUUGCUUCUGAUUUGUUCAAGAAAAAGAAAAAAGAACAAAAAGAAAACUCAAGCUUUAAUAAUUUGAAAAACAAUGAUUUUCCCCACAAAUUAUGGACAGAUAAAGAAGUUAAUAUGGUGUAAAAUAUUUACGGGAUUGAGGGUGGUGUGUUCUCUGAAGCUGUCUUCCAAAGUGGCAGAUUGUUCUUUUGAAAGCCUGAGCUUCUUUCUGGGGCUGCCCUCAUGAUCUUGUUCAUAUAACUCCUCGCUUGCUCUUGAGGAAGUAAUAUUCACCACUCUCUCUUCCUCUACCUCUACCUCUACCUCUACCUCUACCUCUAUCUCUUCACCUCCCAACUCUCUGUCCCUCUUGAAACUUGACGAGUUAGAAAAAGAUGAAAAGGCGCCGCUGCAGGGAGAAGAGUCCUGUUCCUGUGCGGCUACUGCCUGGUGCAAAUCAGUGGACUCGGCCUCCUCAAUCUUUGAAGCAGCCGAUGGGCCGAGCGUAAGAGAAGGCAAUAGGUGAUCAUAUUUCAACUGUAUUUGCUUGUUCUUGUACGUGUUUUGGUGAUGGUGAUGAUGAUGAUCAGGAGGAGCCUGCAAAUUUGUAUGGUCAUGAUCUGGGCUGUCACGGCAGCCUAGACUGAGACCAAGGCCGGUGUUACAAGCUUCAUCAAAACUCAUCUCUCUCUAGAAAUUUAAAACUCAGCUAGCUCAAUAAAUUUAUUUUUGGGGAGGGUUGGCUUUGUGGGGCUGGGUUUAUUUAAGCAAAGGGAAGUGAGUGAGAGGAGGAAUGUGGGGUUUUGUGGAAUUAUAAGAAUUCGAUCGACCCCAUGCUACUUUGUCCUCAUAGGUUGACCAAAUAUAUCAAAACAAAACACAAACAAAUUCUCUACUUGUCUAUCUUAUUGUCUUUCUGUAAUGUCUAAAUGAUGUCUCUAUACAAUUAAUGUGUGCUGUAUAGCGUAUGAAUCUAAUUAGUCUGUAUAAUGUAAGCAUGCGUGGAGCCACAUGGAAUGUGGGUGUACACAAGAACGCAUAAUAAAGAGAAGACAAUGAUGAUUCGGCGCUUUUCACACCUUUUCUUUCCACUUUUUUCAUCUACUGGAUUUUCACUUUACAUAUUAUUUAUUUAUACCACAACUAUUUUGUUCUACAAAUCUUAAUUACUCUUUUACAACUAGACAGGGUGCAUGAGAGAGAGAGAGAUAGAGAUAGAUUCUUCUGGUAUGUAUUGUUGAGGGUAUUUGUUCCACAUUGAAAAUUUAAGAUACUUAGUUUGGGUUUAUAAGGAGUUAGACUAUUUCUCUCAUUACCAAUUGGUUUUGGUGUGAAACCUCAACUUCCUUCAUGAUAUCAGAAUCACGUUUCACGUGUUGAGCGUAACGGCCACACGUGUUCUCACGCCACUUAAUAUGUGUUGUCUACGUGCUAGGCUUAAAACACUCAACUUCCUUCAUGUAUAUACCAUCACAUAUUCCUUUUUGGUAUAGAUUGAAUAAACAAAUCAAUAUACUCAAACAGUGUAUAUGCGUUAAUUAAUAAUAAGGCACAAAAUUAGUUACUUAACGAUUAUUGGGGCAUCUAAGUGUUUUCGUUUUUAGUAAAUAACUAGGUCUUUUAAACUAUUUAAAUGUGAGAUCAGACGAACAAUAAAUAAAUAACAAAUCCUAUUCGUUGUGGUGAAAUAAAUGAAAGCAAUCCAAGGGAGGAGACAACAUUCAUAAGAGUCUGAUGAAGACCAAUCCUUUGUGUUCCUGCAUGUAGACACAGUCGCAGACCCACCCAAAUGCCUCAACCCUCUCAACCCUCUACCAUCUUUAUUUACUUUUCUUUGCUUUUUUUACUUUUUGAUACAAUCUUUAGUUACUUUCACAAAUUCUCAAUUAUCACCUUCCUAUUGCUAUCUAACUUUGUAGACUCAUAAAUUUUAAGAGCAUCUUUUGUGAAGAUAAGCGAUGGGAAAUGAUAGCAUUUGUACGGUUAAUCCACCGACGAAUCUUGUAAGUUCAUUGCAUCCUUUAUGCCAGUCAUAAUUAAAAAAAUCUUGAUACAGUUUUGAUUAGACAUCUAACCGUCAGAGUGAUGCAUUUUUAAAACAUUUAUUUGUGUAUGUUAACAGUGUGUUUGUUCACGAAAAUAGUUAUUCAUGACAUGAACAUCACAUAAGGAAUGAAAGUUAGUUACACGACACCUAGAUGGCAUAAAGAUUAGAGAUAGGGUUAUCGUUAUCCUGGCUAAGCCUUCGUCGAUAAGUUUCUAGUGCGAUAGAGCAGAUAGAGAUAUAUUGACUUUGACACAGUGCCAAUCAA
This 108984-nucleotide long non-coding RNA is filed under the name Prunus persica (peach). RNAcentral describes it as "long non-coding RNA (PPER_LNC001442)". Lineage: Eukaryota; Viridiplantae; Streptophyta; Magnoliopsida; Rosales; Rosaceae. The record is from RNAcentral.